This 134382-nucleotide long non-coding RNA is filed under the name Triticum aestivum (bread wheat). RNAcentral's name for it is "long non-coding RNA (TAES_LNC019282)". Lineage: Eukaryota; Viridiplantae; Streptophyta; Magnoliopsida; Poales; Poaceae. The record is from RNAcentral.
CCAACCUCAGCCUAUUCAAAGGGAAUCUCGCACCAGCCAGUGUUUCAAAUCCAGUAUCUUUGGAUAACAAACAAUGGCGGACCAUUUCGUUGUAUAUCUUCAACAACCUGAUAGAAGUGCGGCCGUACAUCGAGUAAGUUCUCGGUACAUAGUUUCGCAACUUCUAUUUCCUUUGAACUGCUCUUAUUCCUGGAUAUUUCAUACAGUCGAUACGUCGCCUUAUUCUCGUAUGGAGCGGUGAUCCAAAAGGAUUCUGUCGAAGAGUAUGAGCUUCUCGCAAAGCAAGGUGGCGGCUAUCCCGGUUUCAUCUCUUGGUUCAAACAAACGGUAAUUUCUAUUAGACUUGUAGGCUAAUUUGUAGGCGGCUAUCCCGGUUUCAUUCGCUAAUUUGUGUGUAAUGCAACAAUCCUUUCAUAUUAAACUUGUAGGCUAAUUCAGAGUCUAUGGACGCCGAAUUGAGACAAGUCGCUAAUGGUUUUGACUAUAAGGUCCGUUCAUUUGACAAAUACGACAUCAACGGGUAUCGCUUUCGUACCUAUGGCAAAGAGCUAUCUAUGGCCGGCCGAAAGUCUACAAAUUGUUGUGUAUCUGCUAUCGGCGAAGGAGGUACCGAGUAUUAUGGGAGAGUUGAAGCAAUUUAUGAACUUCUAUUCUAUGGUGAAAACCCACCGAAUGUCGUAGUCUUCAAAUGUUAUUGGUUUCAGCCGAAGGAGACUAGAAGAACUCAUGAACAUAUAGGGCUAGUUGAAAUCAACCAAAGCACCCAUUUAGAUGUUCCUGAUGUCUAUAUUACGGCUCAACAGGCGACCCAAGUAUUCUAUCUACCGUGGGCCUGCCAAACUAAUCCAAAUCUGAAAGGUUGGGAAGUCGUUUAUGAAGUGCCGCCACGUGCUAGACUAUCUCCCCCAAAGGAAGAGGAUUAUGAACCUCACAUUAACCCAGACACAUAUGAAGGAGAAUUCUUCCAAGAGACACGUCUUUCCAAAAAGCGUUUCAAGAACCGCUAUACUUCACCCCAAAACAUUGAAGUAGACACUGACAGUGAAUCCGACAUCACCCCAGAGGAGGAACAAGAAGAGCCGGAACAAGAAGAGGUUACUGCUGCGGAUGACCUGUCAUUGCUUGACCGAUUACGUCAAGGUGGCCUUGCAUAUGUUGAUGCCACUGAACCCUAUGAGCCCGUCAUUGAUUAUAGUGAUGAUGAUGAUUAUGCAUUUAUUGAUGAUACUGAUCGAGAUUAUUAGUAGUGUCAGGUAUUAAAUUUUUUAAUGUUGUACUUGAUGAUGAUACACUUAAGUGAUACACAUAUUAUUAUUCAUGUCGGUUUUUUUUUAUGUUGUACUAAUUUCGUUUACUGUUUGUCAUGGCAGGUGUUGAAAGAUGGUGGGCGCUGGUCGGGAGCGCGCCAAGGCCCCUUCUUCCUCGGCGCGUGGUCUGAGGUCCUCGAUUCCAGACGUACCUCUUCGCCGAGCGUUGCUGGACAGUAUGUCCACACCGCCGGGCCCUUCUUCGUCCACCGCGGUGCCCAGCAGGGGACGAGGUAGGAAGAGAGGAGGUGGGGCACGUGGUCGCGGGAGAGGAGGUAGGGUGACUGCUAGGGAGCCUUCCUCGCCGCCACCCCCAGCUGUUUCACCCGAGCACGUGACUGCUAGGGUGGACUCGUCCGAGGAGGAGGCUACACGGACUCCGGUCCACGAGCCUCCGGUCCACGGGUCUUGGGCCCACGAGCCUCGGGUCGACUGGCCUUCGGCCCACGAGAGUUCGGCCCACGAGACCCCGGAGGAGCACACGUCCGGAUGGGGUACCUGGCCGGAUCAGCCCGAGGAGCCGAGUGGCCAUGCUGAUGAUGGCGGGGAGCCGACUGAUCUUGAGGAGGAGGGUGGCACCGUCUACCAGCGUGGUGCUACACGGCUCCCGUCCGUGCCGGCAACUCGCGAGCAGAGGUGGUUGAUCUUCCCUGAUGGGGAGAGGUACGUAAGUGCAUUUAAUAUUUUUGUACCUUCUGCAUUCACGUUUCUUCAAAUAACUAAUGCGUUGGCCUUGUCAUGCUGCAGGGGUUGGGACCACCAUCAUAGUGUCCGCCGGCCCAACUCCGUCCUUGGAGUUCUUUGCCGGCAAAACUUCCCGGGGUUUGUCACGUUGCCUGGUGAGGGUCGGCUUCCAGAGCUUGGGUUGAGCUGGGAGCACUACGUGGCUGCCCCGGCCCCGCCGGAUGUCAUUAUCGACGGUGUCGUGUGCGACACGAGGGCAGACAUGGUGAUCAGGACGUUCUGGGUAAUUUCUCCUUUACACAUUUCAAAAUCUUCAACUAGCUAGUUAUUAAUUGUACUAAUCAAUAUUGUCUCAUUUGAUUGCAGACAUUCUACAGGUGUGAGGAGGGAUACGAGGAGGACUGCGCAAAUGUUAUCCAGAACGUCUGCAAGCGCCUACUCCAGAACUUACGGCACGAGGCUCGGGUGCAGGCUGUUCGAGACUACUACGCCUUGCAUGGUAUCAAGAAGACCAAGCCGGCGUGCCGCGAUAAGUUCCUGAGUAAGGAGCAGUACAUGAAGGUAAUUCUUAAGGCCUUCUACUUAAGUUCCUUCAUUUAGUAAUUCUUAGCCGUAGCGCUCAAGUUUCUAUUUGCUAACUUAGGCGCCUCCGAGAUGGUGUGCGGAUCGGAUGGAUUGUUGGGAGGUGUUGGUCGAUGAGUGGUGCUCACAAGAAUGGCUAGCCCUCCACAACCAGGCCAAGGACAAACGUGCCCAAAUGGAAGGUGUGCCACACCAUCAAGGCAGCUCCAACUUAUAUCAGUUCGGGCGCAACUGGGUAUGUGGUUUGCUUCAUGAUUCAUGCAAUUCAUUCAUCAUGCUAGCUUGAGCCCUUUAGUUACUAAUUUUCAUUGUUUCUCUCUUUCAGGCACGCCACAAUAAGGCGGAUAAGGUGCCAGAGGUGUACGACCUGUAUGCCAUGGCCCACACUGGCUCUUACAAGAAAGUCAAGUCUUUCUCUCAGUCUGACCUCGAUGAUGCAAACAACUUCACCAACAUCUCCUCCCACAACAAGCUCGUGAGAUAUAGAGAUGAGGGGAAGGCGAGGAAAGGGGAGGACUUUAACCCGAGCCAGGGUCCCAUUGAUCCAGAGCUGGUGAUGAUAUCUGGUGGCGGGAGGUCCCAUGGCUCCAUAGCCAUUGGAGAUGGACUUAUCCGUUGUCCUAGCACUCUCCCAGAGAUCAAGGCGCGCCAGUCGAGCUCCGCUCCUGAGAUAAGGCCUCGUGAACGGCCAGUGCAACUCGCCAUCAAGGUUAGUGAUACGUACUCAGCUAUCUUUCUCCAUUACAUUGUGUGCGCUUCCAUCAAUGAUUACAAAUGGUCAUGUGAGUGGUGUUGCAGGCUGCUAUACAGAGUGAGAGAGAUAGAACGGAGAAACUUCUGGCGGAGGCGGCGGAGAGGCAGCGGGAGUUGGAGGAGAGGACGACACAGAUGAUGGAGGAGGAGAGGGCACGGAAUGACAUGCAGGCAAGGGCCAUGUACGAGCUCCUUGUGGUAAGUUUCUUCUGCAGAUUAGCCAAAACAUUCAUGUAGUGUUUGUCUCAUUACUAACUAGUAUGACUGAGUCGUCAAAACCAAAUGUGCAGUCUGUGUGCGAGAAGACCGGUCAGACCGCUCCGCCGAUGCCAGUGAUUGCUCCUGGGACCACGGUGAGUUUAAUUUGAAUGGACAUUACUUGCUAGUCUUAACAUUUGAGUGUCAUAAUGCUAACGAGACAUUGGAAAUGAUCUUUGGUGCAGCUUAACUCCAGAAACGCAUCGCAUGAUCCUUCUCCAGCUACCGGCACUAGCCAGCCCGCUCCUACACCUCCCUGAUCACGGUAAGUUUCUCUAGUGUUUUGCUUAACAAAUGCAUAAAGACCUAUACUUAGCUUUAUUUCCUCCAAUAUGCUUACCAUAAUGACCUAGAGUUAGCUUCUUUUCCUCCAAAAUGACUUAAUAAGCUUACUGACCUCAUAAACCAUCCAUUUUACCUAAGUUAGCUCUAAAACGAUAUGUACUUAGCUUACUUAUGUCAAAAAUUGCAUAAUUAGCUCAUAAACGACCCAUUUCACCUAGGUUAACUCAUAAACGACCCAUUUCACCUAGGUUAGCUCAUAAACGACCCAUUUCACCUAGGUUAGCUCAUAAACGACCCAUUUCACCUAGGUUAGCUCAUAAAUGACCCAUUUCACCUAAGUUAGCUCAAAAAGAUCCAUUUCAACUAAAUUAGCUCAUAAAUGAUCCAUUUCACCUAAGUUAGCUCAAAAACGAUCCAUUUCAACUAAAUUAGCUCAAAAAUGAUCCAUUUCAACAAAGUUAGCUCAAAAACGAUCCAUUUCAACUAAGUUAGCUCAAAAACGAUCCAUUUGACCUAAGUGAGCUAAAAAAGAUCCAUUUCACCUUAGUUACCUCAAAAACGAUCCAUUUCAACUAAGUUAGCUAAAAAACGAUCCAUUUCAACUAGGUUAGCUCCAAAAUGACCCAUUUCACCUUACUUAGCUCAAAAACGAUGCCCUUCACCUUAGUUAGCUCAUAAACGACCCAUUUCAACUAAGUUAGCUCAUAAAUGAUCCAUUUCAACUAAGUUAGCUCAUAAACAACCCAUUUCAACUUAGUUAGCUCAUAUAUGAUCCAUUUCACCUAAGUUAGCUCAUAAAUGACAUAUACUUCUUGUUCUAGUCUUCUUCUUGUUCUAGUCACCUAUUUCUAACUUUCUUAUUUACCAUUUUGCAGAUUUCAUUCACUUGAUGGAAGCUAGCUUGCUAUGAUGGAGUGCCUUUGAUGAAACUUUGCAUUGUAUCUAGCUUGCUAUCUUCAUGACACUUUGCAUUGUAAUAUAUAUAUGGAUGGAACAAUGUGUAUGGAUGGAACUUCCUUAUGUAUGAACAAUGUGUAUGGAUGAAACUGAUGUGAUAUGUGAUAUGUGCUGGAUAUGUGAUAUGUGAUAUGUGAUGGAUAUGUGAUAUGUGAUAUGUGCUAGAUAUGUGUUGGAUAUGUGCUGGAUAUGAAACUUAUAUAUGUGAUAUGUGCUGCAAAUUGUGGGAUUUAAUAAAAAACAGAAAAAACAGACAAUAUCCAGGCUCUUUGCCGUCUGCCACCGACGGCAAAGAGCCUUUGCCGUCUGCCGCGGACGGCAAAGAAGCCACGUGGCAGCCAACUGUGCUUCCUGGGAGCUGACCCAUUUGGUCAGUUUGCCUACAGUGGCAGACGGCAAAGACUUUGCCGUCCGUGGCAGACGGCAAAGAACCUGCACUUUGCCAUCAGUGGCAGACGGCAAAGAACCUGCCAUCUAGUGACGUGUACAUGACAUCAUAAGGUGGACGGCAAAGAACAAAGGCUCUUUGCCGUCUGCGGCGGACGGCAAAGGUCUGCCGUUAGCCACUUAACGGACUGACAGCGCAAUUAUUGCCGUCCGCCCUCUUUGCCGUCCGCCGCGGACGGCAAAGAGCCUUUGCCGUCCGCCGCCAGGAAGCAGACGGCAAAGCAGCUGUUUACCGUAGCCUUCUUUGCCGGAGCCUUUUGCCGUCCGCGGCUGAUGGCAAAGGUCUUUGCCGUCCGCCUUUCGAGCCUUUGCCGUCCGCCAUGGCAGACGGCAAAGUAGCUGUUUCCUGUAGUGAUUGGAGUUGCAUGCUACGGAUGUCGUCGAUGAUCACAAGAUCAAGAUGGAUGCAAUGCGCUUGAAGAUUAGAAAGAUUAGAAAAUAUGCCAUUCAUACCGAGGCUUGGUAUCACUAUGCCGUUGGAUCAAUUGUUACCUUGGUUGCGAUUAUGAUCGCAUUUGUUUUCGCAUUGAAAUGUUUUACAUAGUUUCAAUGUAUGGUUUAAUUAAUUAGAUGCUCUGGAGAGCUAUAUAUAUGUUGUUAGAUGAGAACUAUGUAUGUACUUUGGUUCUAAUGUGAUGAUGAACUUCUAUUAAUUUGGUCACUUAAUUAUCUAUUCAUGAUGUUCUGUAAUGGUUUUUGACACACUUAAUUAUAUAUAAUGCACGCAGAUGAACCGGCAAUGGAUGUACGGUGACAGACACACCUCCGAGUACAUUAAGGGCGUGCAUGAUUUUCUCGAAGUGGCUGAGGCAAACAAGCAGAAUGGUUUUAUGUGUUGUCCAUGCCCUAUAUGUGGGAAUACGAAGUCUUACUCUGACCGGAAAAUCCUUCAAGCCCACCUGCUUUACAAGGGUUUCAUGCCACACUAUAAUGUUUGGACGAGGCAUGGAGAAAUGGGGGUUAUGAUGGAAGACGGCGAAGAAGAAGAGGACGAUGACAACUAUGUGCCCCCUGAAUACGGUGAUGUUGCAACGGGGGAAGCUGCUGAAGAUCAAGAGGAACCAGACGAUGUGCCCAAUGAUGCUGCAAGGGGGGAAGCUGCUGAAGAUCAAGAGGAACCAGUGCCCGAUGAUGAUGAUCUCCGCCGGGUCAUAGUCGAUGCAAGGACGCAAUGCGAAAGUCAAAAGGAGAAGUUGAAGUUCGAUCGCAUGUUAGAGGAUCACAAAAAAGGGUUGUACCCCAAUUGCGAAGAUGGCAACACAAAGCUCGGUACCGUACUGGAAUUGCUGCAGUGGAAGGCAGAGAAUGCUGUGCCUGACAAAGGAUUUGAGAAGCUAUUGAAAAUAUUGAAGAAGAAGCUUCCAAAGGAUAACGAAUUGCCCGACAGUACAUACGCAGCAAAGAAGGUCGUAUGCCCUCUAGGAUUGGAGGUGCAAAAGAUACAUGCAUGCCCUAAUGACUGCAUCCUCUACCGCAGUGCGUACAAGGAUCUGAACGCAUGCCCGGUAUGCGGUGCAUUGCGGUAUAAGAUCAGACGAGAUGACCCUGGUGAUGUUGACAGCGAGCCCCCCAGGAAGAGGGUUCCUGCGAAGGUGAUGUGGUAUGCUCCUAUAAUACCACGGUUGAAACGUCUGUUCAGAAACGAAGAGCAUGCCAAGUUGAUGCGAUGGCACAGUGAGGACCGUAAGAAAGACGGGAAGUUGAGAGCACCCGCUGACGGGUCGCAGUGGAGAAAAAUCGAGAGAAAGUACUGGGAUGAGUUUGCAGCUGACCCAAGGAACGUAUGGUUUGGUUUAAGCACGGAUGGCAUUAAUCCUUUCGGGGAGUAGAGCAGCAAUCACAGCACCUGGCCCGUGACUCUAUGUACAUAUAACCUUCCUCCUUGGAUGUGCAUGAAGCGGAAGUUCAUUAUGAUGCCAGUUCUCAUCCAAGGCCCUAAGCAACCCGGCAACGACAUUGAUGUGUACCUAAGGCCAUUAGUUGAAGAACUUUUACAGCUGUGGAAUGGAAACGGUGUACGUACGUGGGAUGAGCACAAACAGGAGGAAUUUAACCUGCACGCGUUGCUGUUUGUAACCAUCAACGAUUGGCCCGCUCUCAGUAACCUUUCAGGACAGACAAACAAGGGAUACCACGCAUGCAUGCACUGUUUAGAUGACACUGAAAGUAUAUACCUGGACAAAAGCAGGAAGAAUGUGUACCUGGGCCAUCGUCGAUUUCUUCCGACCAACCAUCAAUGUCGAAAGAAAGGCAAGCAUUUCAAAGGCGAGGCAGAUCACCGGAAGAAGCCCACCAUGCGUACCGGUGAUCACGUACUUGCUAUUGUCAAUGAUUUACACGUAAUCUUUGGAAAGGGUCCCGGCGGACUAGCUGUUCCGAAUGACGCUGAGGGACACACACCCAUGUGGAAGAAGAAAUCUAUAUUUUGGGACCUACCCUACUGGAAAGAGCUAGAGGUCCGCUCUUCAAUCGACGUGAUGCACGUGAUGAAGAACCUUUGCGUGAACCUGCUAGGCUUCUUGGGCGUGUAUGGGAAGACAAAAGAUACACCUGAGGCACGGGAGGGCCUGCAACGUUUGCACGAAAAAGACGGCAUGCCUCCGAAGCAGUAUGAAGGUCCUGCCAGCUACGCUCUUACGAAAGAAGAGAAAGAAAUCUUCUUUGAAUGACUGCUCAGUAUGAAGGUCCCGACUGGCUUCUCGUCGAAUAUAAAGGGAAUAAUAAAUAUGCCAGAGAAAAAGUUCCAGAACCUGAAGUCUCAUGACUGCUACGUGAUUAUGACGCAACUGCUUCCGGUUGCAUUGAGGGGGCUUCUACCGGAAAACGUCCGAUUAGCCAUUGUGAAGCUAUGUGCAUUCCUCAAUGCAAUCUCUCAGAAGGUGAUCGAUCCAGAAAUCAUACCAAGGCUAAGGAGUGAUGUGGCGCAACGUCUUGUCAGUUUCGAGCUGGUGUUCCCACCAUCCUUCUUCAAUAUCAUGACGCACGUCCUAGUUCAUCUAGUCGACGAGAUUGUCAUUCUGGGGCCCGUAUUUCUACACAAUAUGUUCCCCUUUGAGACGUUCAUGGGAGUCCUAAAGAAAUAUGUCCGUAACCGCGCUAGGCCAGAAGGAAGCAUCUCCAUGGGCCAUCAAACAGAGGAUGUCAUUGGGUUUUGUGUUGACUUCAUUCCUGGCCUUAAGAAGAUAGGUCUCCCUAAAUCGCGGUAUGAGGGGAGACUGACUGGAAAAGGCACGCUUGGAGGGGGGGGGCUCAAUAAUAUGCAGGGACGGAUAUUCUUGGUCUGAAGCACACUACACAGUUCUAUAGAACUCUACCUUGGUGACCCCGUAUGUCGAUGAACACAAGAACAGUCUGCGCUCCAAACACCCGGAGCAGUGUGACGACUGGAUUACAUGUGAACACAUCAGGACUUUCAGUAGUUGGUUGGAAACACGUCUCAGAGGUGACACCACUGUUUGUGAUGAGUUGUACUCGUUGUCCAGGGGACCAUCUUCGAUUGUAUUGACUUACAAAGGAUACGAGAUAAAUGGGAAUACAUUUUACACGAUCGCCCAAGAUCAAAAGAGCACCAACCAAAAUAGCGGUGUCCGCUUUGAUGCAGCAACCGAGAGGGGAAAGGACACAUAUUAUGGUUACAUAAUGGACAUAUGGGAACUUGACUACGGACAUGAUUUUAAGGUCCCUUUGUUUAAGUGCAAAUGGGUCAAUCUGUCAGGAGGCGGGGUACAGGUAGACCCAUAGUACGGAAUGACAACAGUGGAUCUGAACAAUCUUGGGUACACUGACGAACCAUUCGUCCUAGCCAAUGAUGUGGCACAGGUUAUCUAUGUGAAGGACAUGUCUACCAGACCGAGGAAAAGAAAAGAUAAGGAAGCGAAUACAUCAUACGAUGAGCCAAAGCGGCACAUAGUUCUUUCAGGAAAAAGGGACAUUGUGGGAGUGGAGGGCAAGACAGACAUGUCUGAAGAUUAUGAAAAGUUUCAUGAAAUUCCUCCCUUGAAAGUCAAGGCUGACCCAAGCAUCCUGAUAAACGAUGAAGAUUAUCCAUGGUUACGGCGCAAUAAGCAAAUGACACAAGCGAAGAAAAAGUGAAGACUUUCUCCCGCAACUAUUAUGAUGAUACCAUGCCAACUUUGUAAUAGACGAUUAUGAUACCAUUGCCCGUUUUGUACAAGAAGUGCAUCUAGUUUUUGACGUAACCCUCUCAACUUUCUUGCACAUGCUAUGUGGAUGAAAUGAUGAUACCAUGCCAACUUUCAACCUUUUCAGAGUUCAUUUGAAAUGCUUUAUAAGCCCUGAGUGCAGAGAGGUUAGGCCCGUAAGCCUGCUUUAGAGAGGAGCUCGACAGCUCAGGCGCACCGCACCUUAUAAACAGGUGCGGCUCUCUCUUAGCUAGCGAAGUGGGACUAAACUCACCACCACGCCGCUGUGCAAGGCCAUUGGUCCCGGUUCGUGGCACGAACCGGGACCAAUUCCACCCUUUGGUCCCUGUUGGUGCCACGAACCGGUACUAAUGAGGCUGUGGCCCCACGAGCACCUUUAGUACCUGUUCGUGGCACGAACCGGUACUAGAGUUUCUUACUAGCUAAGCAGUUUUUUAGUCCCACCUCGCUAGCUGAGAGGCACUAGGAGCGGUUUAUAAGCCCUGAUUGCAGAGACGAUGAAGAAGAGGCGCAAUGCUCACGUUGCUUAGCUUCAAGCCUUGAGGAAUAAGGUAGACUGCAUCGAGCUAUGUGCAGUGCAGUCUACACUAUUCCGAAAGGCUUGAAGCAAAUCAACGCGCAUUGUGCCUCUUUUUUAUUUUUAAUCAUUAAAAGCAAAAAGAAUUUUCAUAAAGAACUUUUUUUGAUAUAAACUUUAAUAGCAGAAAGAAUUAUCAUAAAGUAAAAUAAAUAAGUAAUUAGAAACAAAAUAAAAUAAAAUAAAUAAGUUUUUUGUUGUAAGUAGAAACAAAACAAAAUAAAUAUAGCAAAAAAGAAAACAAAAAAACUAAACACAGCAAAAAGAAUUUUCAUAAAGAACUAAUGGCACUAAUAGAAAGUUUAUAUGUUUUCUAAAACUAAUGGCACUAACAGACAGUUUAUAAUUUUGCUGACCUAAAAGCAAAAAGAAUUAAAAAAUAAAGCAAAAAACAAAAGAAAAUAAAUAAUGCAAAAAACAGAACCAAAAAACUGGAUUUUUUUUUAAAAAACUGCCACCUAUUGGGCCACCACGGCCUGAAUACGACUAGAAACCCAACCUGGGCCAGGAUUCAGGCCCGCAGAAGGCCCAAUAGGCCAACAGACAGCACAGUGUGACAUUAGGCCCGUAAGCCUGCAUUUGAGAGGAGCUCGAGAGGGCAGCCGCAGUGGGGAUUAUAAACCACUACGAGCCCCUCUCAACUAGCGAGGUGGGACUAAACUUUUGGCCGCGGGCAGCGCAAGGCCUUUGGUCCCGGUUGGUGCCACCAACCGGGACCAAUGCCCCCCUUUAGUCUCGGUUGGUGNNNNNNNNNNNNNNNNNNNNNNNNNNNNNNNNNNNNNNNNNNNNNNNNNNNNNNNNNNNNNNNNNNNNNNNNNNNNNNNNNNNNNNNNNNNNNNNNNNNNNNNNNNNNNNNNNNNNNNNNNNNNNNNNNNNNNNNNNNNNNNNNNNNNNNNNNNNNNNNNNNNNNNNNNNNNNNNNNNNNNNNNNNNNNNNNNNNNNNNNNNNNNNNNNNNNNNNNNNNNNNNNNNNNNNNNNNNNNNNNNNNNNNNNNNNNNNNNNNNNNNNNNNNNNNNNNNNNNNNNNNNNNNNNNNNNNNNNNNNNNNNNNNNNNNNNNNNNNNNNNNNNNNNNNNNNNNNNNNNNNNNNNNNNNNNNNNNNNNNNNNNNNNNNNNNNNNNNNNNNNNNNNNNNNNNNNNNNNNNNNNNNNNNNNNNNNNNNNNNNNNNNNNNNNNNNNNNNNNNNNNNNNNNNNNNNNNNNNNNNNNNNNNNNNNNNNNNNNNNNNNNNNNNNNNNNNNNNNNNNNNNNNNNNNNNNNNNNNNNNNNNNNNNNNNNNNNNNNNNNNNNNNNNNNNNNNNNNNNNNNNNNNNNNNNNNNNNNNNNNNNNNNNNNNNNNNNNNNNNNNNNNNNNNNNNNNNNNNNNNNNNNNNNNNNNNNNNNNNNNNNNNNNNNNNNNNNNNNNNNNNNNNNNNNNNNNNNNNNNNNNNNNNNNNNNNNNNNNNNNNNNNNNNNNNNNNNNNNNNNNNNNNNNNNNNNNNNNNNNNNNNNNNNNNNNNNNNNNNNNNNNNNNNNNNNNNNNNNNNNNNNNNNNNNNNNNNNNNNNNNNNNNNNNNNNNNNNNNNNNNNNNNNNNNNNNNNNNNNNNNNNNNNNNNNNNNNNNNNNNNNNNNNNNNNNNNNNNNNNNNNNNNNNNNNNNNNNNNNNNNNNNNNNNNNNNNNNNNNNNNNNNNNNNNNNNNNNNNNNNNNNNNNNNNNNNNNNNNNNNNNNNNNNNNNNNNNNNNNNNNNNNNNNNNNNNNNNNNNNNNNNNNNNNNNNNNNNNNNNNNNNNNNNNNNNNNNNNNNNNNNNNNNNNNNNNNNNNNNNNNNNNNNNNNNNNNNNNNNNNNNNNNNNNNNNNNNNNNNNNNNNNNNNNNNNNNNNNNNNNNNNNNNNNNNNNNNNNNNNNGAUAACUUCAACACGAGGGGGGGUCGAUAUACCCCCUCCUCGAUAACAUUAUUUUCCCGUGUAUGUAUGUCGUCGUUGUCGAUAUAAAACCCCCUCCCGAUAACUUCAACACGUGGGGGGGUCGAUAUAUACCCCCUCCCCGAUAACAUUAUUUUCCCGUGUAUGUAUGUCGUCGUUGUCGAUAUAUAUAACUCCCUCCCAGAUAACUUCGACAUGAUGGACGGUCGAUAUGUAUACCCCCUCUCGACCGUGAUAACUUAUACCACGGGAGCACCCCCGGCCCUCUCGCUCGACCAAAACUCUCGAGGACACCCAAACCCUAGAAAAAAAACGAUGUCGGUCUCCUACCCCCUCCCGCCGCGCCCCUACCCUUGAAGCGUUGCCUAGGCCACCCCAAACCCGGAAUAAGCUAGGUCUACGUUUGCACUAAUAUAUCCACCUGCUGUCGUGUUUGUGUAAUAAUUGCCAUGUUGUAAUAUUUGCAGAAACAAUGGAGCACGGACGAGAUGAGCAAGCAGAAGAUGUGUUGGGGGACAUAAUCUUAGCCGGAGGUUAUAUCUUGUCGUAUCUUAACGACAAUGAUGGUCUAGAAGAACAGGGUGAAGAAGCAGGCUGUGGUGAUCGAAGAGUGGAGGAGGAAAGACAUGAUUAUGAUGCCUCCGGUGACCCAAUGCUGGUGCAAGAAGGAGCCCGUGGUGACGGCUCCGGUGACCGAACAGAGUCCGGCCAGGUAAAUAUAUUAGUUAAGCCUGUGCUGACUAGCUAAUUGAUGCAUUCAUUGUUUUGGUAUGUACACAUAUUAAUUAACACUCGUCUUUCUUCUUUUUUCUAGCCCUCCGGAUCAAGCACAACUGCGGUAAAGAGACGAGGCCCGAAGAGAAAGUUGCGCUCGGAUGAAAGGUUUGAGAUCACAGCAAUCGCGCGCGACGACCAACCGAUUGAACCCAUCCGGACAAAGGAUGCUUUUGCUGCUCAGUGUGGGGUUCCAGUUAGGGACAAGAUCCCGAUCAGCAUCCACCAAUGGUAUAAGCCUAAGAAGGAAGACCCUGAGGUGUCUUAUGUCAAUGAUAUGCAGAAAGAUGAUCUUUGGACUGAGCUGAAGGCAAAUUUCACCCUACCGCCAGAGGAGGAUCCGGAGAAGCCAGUUAUAGAGCAAUUAAUCAAGUCUCAUGCUCUUAAGAAGAUGGCAGACCUAUUCAGGAGGUGGAAGAAUGAGCUGAAAAAUUUUGUCGACAAAGAAGAGACACCAGAAUUCGUCAGCCGGUAUGAGAAGAUCAGAGAUCACUGGCCCGCAUUUGUGGCCCACAAGACAUCGGAAAAGAGUAAGAAGAUGUCAGCGACAAACAAGAAGAAUGCUGCGAAGAAGAAGCUUCACCAUCGCACGGGGUCAGGUGGCUACCUCAAAGCCCGGCCUAAGUGGGCCAAGUCUGAGAGGGAUCUGCUUGAUAAAGGGAUCGAACCAGAGACAAUGAACUGGCCAGACCGUUGGCGGACUUGGUUCUUCGGGGCUGGCGGAACCUUGGACCCUGUAUCAGGGACGUGUCGUUGGACGGACGAGCAACUUGCAAUACCCGUCAAGAAGCUUAAGCACUAUCGAUGCAGCGCAGCAAGGGACGUUCGUUCCAGACAGAGAGAACGACGAGCUCACAAUGGCCCUCGGGAAUCCUGAGCACCCUGGACGGACACGAGGCAUGCCAGGUUCCGUUCCGUGGAAGGCUGGUUUUUCGGACGCGGGCGGUUACAAAACCCAGGAGAGGAGGAAAAAAGUGGAGCAGAUCCAAAUUCAGCGUCUGCACGAAAGGGUUCAAGUGCUAGAGGAACGAGACGGCAAUAGAGAUGCCGAAACUGCCCCCGAAGCUACACCGCCAUCUCAGCGUAGAAGCAGCGUGGCUUCCACCGAGCUGCCUCAGCUGGAGCAUGCGGCUACUCCUAGCUACCCCGUGGAUGCUAUCAUGGAGUCUCAACAUUGCAACCUUAUGGCGGAAUGGCAGAACUUGAAAGUCAAGGCGGCUGUUGGCUCUGUUUUACCUACUGAACCCGGCGCAACCUACCACUGCCGGCCGAUUCCAGAAGGAUAUGCUAGGGUGAUGGUGGAUGAAAUAACGGAGGGAUUUGAGGACCUCCAGCUUGACCACCCUACCGGUGAAGGGGAGACUCGGCUGGGUUUAGCUCUGAAGACUCCAUGCCUAUGGCGGAAGGAGCUCAUCAAGCUUCCGAACUGGACGGCUCCGGCGAGUAAGGGCACUCCGCCUCCUCCUCCGCCUCCUCCUCUGGCGAGUGAUCAGGGCACUCAGCCUCCUUCUCCGGCGCGUGGCGGCACUCCGCCUCCUUCUCCGCCAGCGCCGGCGCGCCAGAGCAGCCAGCCUCCUCCUUCUCCGCCUCGUCAGCAAGGGCGGAAGAGACCCGCCGCCGCUGCGGCUGCUCCGGCGCGUCGUAGUCCUUCUCCUCCGCCUCGUAAGCAAGGAAAGAAGACAGCCGCAGCUGCUCCGUCUGCUCUGCCGGCGUCUAGCAGUACAGCUGCCAGAGGCGGGAGGCAAUACAGAUUCGGUCCUUCUCUGAAGACUCCAGAGAAGUUACCAUAUGAGAGGACCGAGGAGGACAACGCGAAGAUCUGGCGAGCCGAAGUGAAGAACUUCUUUGAAGGGGUCAAAGCAAAGAAACAUCCACCUCCGGAGGAGAAGGUAGAUCCGGUGAAAGCAAAGCGCACUCUGGCUGCCCUGACAAAACCACCAAAGUCUCCGCCAAGAGGCAACUAUGAGCGCGUUCUUGGAAAGGCAUAUGCCGAAGCGGAGCGGUCGGGAAGUACUAUCAGUGAUAAAAGGAUGAAAGAAUGACGAGCUGGGAAAAAAUUGCCCAGCUCGGCGAACAAGCGAACCAAUCGUGCCCCCCGCUCAAGGUGUCAAAAAACAUCGUCGCUAAUGAUCCGGGUAUGGUGCCCGGUUAUAGCAAUCUUGGAGAUUACCUGCCCGACGAUGUACAUUAUGAAAUCAUGGAGGUGGACGAACACAAAUACCAUUACGGGAAGCCUCUCGUCAAAGAUGUCAGAUCUCUAAGCACGAUGAUGCGAAGACUACAUGAUUGGUACAUGAAAACCUGCAGAGAGUCUGAUGGGAUGAGUACUUUGACGCUGAGAGUUAAACCGGAGCAUGACCUCGUUGGAAUUGAACUGCUGAAUGUUCCAUUUGAGGAUUUCUUCCAGUUUUACAAUCUAAAGUCCCUCGAUAAAACAACGAUCACUUGCUACUGUCUGUAAGUAGUACUACUUCUGUCAUUAAGUCUCUCUAUAUAGGUCAGCUCUUUCAUUGCAUGUAUUUAUACUUAUCCUCACUAUAUUAUGCAGAUUGAAGAUCGCCGAAUUGAAGAAAAGACAAAUCGGUGAUAUUGGGUUCAUUAACACAAAUCUCAUAGAUGCAUAUACGGUUGAAAAACAUCCCAAAGAAGCCGAGGCCAACUUGCUACAAUCGUUGGUAUUAAAUCAAAACAAAGAUAUAAUACUCUUUCCUUACAACUUCAAGUGAGUGUUACUGUCUUCUGCAUAUUCGGUUUCCCUUAUUAGUCCAGGUUAUGGUAAUGUAAUUGAUGACUUAUGCAUGCAUGCGCAGCUUCCACUAUAUUCUCCUAGAGAUUAAGCUUGAGCCGGGAGUAGUAACCGUCUUAGACUCGAGACGAAAAGAUCCCCAGGACUAUGCGAACAUGACUCAAAUGCUCUAGAAGUAAGUUAAAUCGAUCAUUAUCCACCAUAUCAGCAACUUUGUUCAUUUCCUGAUAUCAAGUAAUUGUUUUCUUUGUCUGGCAGGGUUUGGAGAAAAUUCACCUCAAAAGCCCCGGGACUACCGAACCAGCUGCAAUUUAGACACCCGAAAGUAAGUACUAUAGUAGCAUGUUCCGCGCAUCUCCUAGUGAUUCAAGCGCUAGUUUGAUCAAUACCAUUUAGCAUGCUUGCUUAUCAGUUUGAUUGACCUCUAUUUUUUGUAAAGUGGUUGUGGCAGCAACCCGGGAAUAAUUACUAUGGAUACUACGUUUGCGAGUCCAUCCGCUACCAUACCUGUGAGCGGGGCUACACUGAAGAACAAUAUGAAGUGCGUAAGCAAUAAUAUUCACAAUUUUAUUUUAUUACCAUCAUUUGUGUUGAGUUUCAUUUAUUCAUAUAUAUAUGUAUUGACCCCCUUCUUCAAAUUAGAUUUUUCGGAAGCGGGAUCAACUCCUAGCAGAAGAUCGUAUGCGAGGAAUUCAAGAGGAAUUGGCGGCAUUCUUCCUUGACCACGUGAUCGCUGAAAACGGAGAAUACUAUGUGGACCCUGUGUUCCUACAAUAUAAUUAGGAGAUUGUAUUGUAAGAGAUAAUUAUUGUAUAUAUGUAGCCCGUAGUGUCGGAUAGAUAUACGAGAACUUGUUGUUCGACCAAUAUCUCGGAGAAGGAGAGGUGGUCGAUAUCACUUCUCUCUGUAUGCAUAUGUUCAUGACGAUCUUCUGCUUCCUUCAUUUGAUUACUAGCUAGCGUGUCUACUCCUCUCCAUACGUAUAUAGUACGUAGCGUCGACCAAGCACGGAGAUAAGAGAGGACACUUCUCUCUAUUAAUUAGCUAGCUAACACAAUAUAUGAAACACCUAAAUUAACCCCCCAAAACCCCUAAACCACCCCUUUUCAAAAAAACAAAAACCUCAGCUCCUGCCAGGUGCUGACGCAUGGAUGCCUAUUGGUCCCGGUUGGUGGCACCAACCGGGACCAAAGGCCCUCCUGCCUGGGCUCCCCGCACCGGCCACGUGGACGGCCUUUAGUCCCGGUUCGUGUAAGAACCGGGACUAAAGGGCUAGGGCAUUAGUAAUGACCCUUUAGUCCCAGUUCCAGAACCGGGACUAAAGGCCCUUAUGAACCGGGGUAAAAGCCCCUUUUCCUACUAGUAUUUGAUUAUAUGGGACCUUUUCCUGCCUCUAAAGGAUAUACACAUAUUUUAGUUGCUGUUGAUUACGUUACUAAGUGGGUAGAAGCUAUUCCAACUAGUAGUGCUGAUCAUAACACUUCUAUUAAAAUGCUUAAAGAAGUUAUUUUUCCGAGGUUUGGAGUCCCUAGAUAUUUAAUGACUGAUGGUGGUUCACAUUUUAUUCAUGGUGCUUUCCGUAAAAUGCUUGCUAAAUACGAUGUUAAUCAUAGAAUUGCAUCUCCCUAUCACCCACAGUCUAGUGGUCAAGUAGAAUUGAGCAAUACAGAGCUCAAAUUAAUUUUGCAAAAGACUGUCAAUAGAUCUAGAAAGAAUUGGUCCAAGAAACUUGAUGAUGCAUUAUGGGCCUAUAGAACUGCAUAUAAAAAUCCUAUGGGUAUGUCUCCGUAUUAAAUGGUUUAUGGAAAAGCAUGUCACUUACCUCUCGAACUAGAACAUAAGGCUUAUUGGGCUAUUAAGGAGCUCAACUACGAUUUUAAACUUGCCGGUGAAAAGUGGCUAUUUGACAUUAGCUCACUUGAUGAAUGGAGAACCCAGGCUUAUGAAAAUGCCAAGUUGUUCAAAUAAAAAGUUAAAAGAUGGCAUGACAAAAGAAUACAAAAGCGUGAGUUUAAUGUAGGUGAUUAUGUAUUGCUAUAAAACUCUCGUUUAAGAUUUUUUGAAGGGAAAUUUCUCUCUAAAUGGGAAGGUCCUUACGUUAUCGAGGAGGUAUAUCGUUCCGGCGCCAUAAAAAUCAACAACUUCGAAGGCACAAAUCAGAAGGUGGUGAACGGUCAAAGAAUCAAACAUUAUAUCUCAGGUAAUCCUAUAAAUGUUGAAACCAAUGUUAUUGAAACCAUAACCCCGGAGGAAUACAUAAGGGACACUUUCCGGAAUGUUUCAGACUCCGAAAAGGAAUAGGUAUGUGGUACGGUAAGUAAACCGACUCCAAAACAGUUCUAAUGGCAUUUUUUCUCCGUUCUGGAAUAUUUAGAAAAAAAGAAAAAUAAGAAGCAGUCCGGGAAGGACACGAGGCCUCCACGAGGGUGGAGGGCGCGCCCUACCCCCUGGGCGCGCCCCCUACCUCGUGGGCACCUCGUGUGCUCUCCGGACUCCGUUUUCUUGCACGAUACAUAUUUUGGUCAGUAAAAAUUCAUUAUAUAAUCUCCCGAAGGUUUUGACUCCUGUAUCAUGCAAUUGUCCUCUGUUCUUGUUUCGAGCUGUUUUCUGUCAGGGUUGUCAAGGCUGGGCAUCAUGUCGUCCCCCUCCUCCAACAAUGGUGAUAACGAUGCUUGGCUAAUGAAGAUAGAGCUGAAGAGGGAAGAACCCAUGGAGAUCAACAAGGAUGAAGGGAUCAAGAAGGCCACGGAGAACCAAGUUCCGGCAACAGAAGACAUCCUUCAACCUGAUCACAAUCUUCUUACCCCAACUGAGAUCGAAGCUUUCAAGAUGAUUGAGCUAGCUCGUAUACAAAACAAGUAUCUCACACGUGAAAAUAUUUUGUUGAAGGAGCAUAUUGUUGCACUCAAGGGCAUUAUCCGCAAGCUGGAGGAUCUCUUACGCUCGAUGUGCGACUACCCAUCAUCACCACCAUCCUCUUCACCAACAAAGGAGACAUAAUCACAUGGGUAUGGGCACUCCCCUUGGCAACUGCCAAGCUUGGGGGAGGUGCCCCGGUAUCGUAUCACCAUCACAUCUCUAUCUUUACCGCUUUUCUUAGUUCGAUCCUAUUAGUAGUAUCUUGAUCUAGUAGAAUAAAGUUUUGGUAUGAUCUAGUUUUGAGUUUUGCUUUAUGAUCCCUCUACGUAAUCGAGUCCGUGAGCUAUAUAAUAAAGAUUAGUGUUGAGUCAAGGGCUUGAUUAUUUGCUAUGAUCUUGAGUGAAUAAAAGAAAAGAGAAAAGAAUAAAAAGAAAUUAAAAAGAGGUCAUAUUGAUCUUAUUGAGAGUAAUGACUUCACAUAGAAAGAGUAUGAUGAUUAAAAAUUGUUGAGAGUUGACAAACAUAGCCUUGGUCAUCGUUGCAAUUAAUAGGAAGUAAUAAAGAAAGAGAGGUUUCAUCAAAAAUAUACUAUCUUGGACAUCUUUUAUGAUUGGGAGCACUCAUUAAAAUAUGACAUGCUAAAGAGUUGAUGUUGGACAAGGAAGACAACGUAAUGGGUUCUGUUUUCUUAUAUCUAAGAUAAAGUAUAUUGUCAUGGAUCAUCCAACAUGUUGAGCUUGCCUUUCCCCCUCAUGCUAGCCAAAUUCUUUGCACCAAGUAGAGAUACUACUUGUGCUUCCAAAUACCCCUAAACCCAGUUUUGCCAUGAGAGUCCACCAUACCUACCUAUGGAUUGAGUAAGAUCCUUCAAGUAAGUUGUCAUCGGCGCAAGCAAUAAACAUUGCUCUCUAAAUAUGUAUGAUUGAUUGGUGUGGAGGAAGUAAGCUUUAUACGAUCUUGUGAUGUGGAAGAAAUAAAAGCGACAGACUGCAUAAUAAAGGUUCAUAUCACAAGUGGCAAUAUAAAGUGUCGUUCUUUCGCAUUAAGAUUUUGUGCAUCCAACCUUGAAAGCGCAUGGCAACCUCUGCUUCCCUCUGCGAAGGGCCUAUCUUUUAUUAUUACCUUCUACCUUAUGCAAGAGUCAUGGUGAUCUUCACCUUUCCUUUUUACAUUUUAUCCUUUGGCAAGCACAGGAUGUUGGAAAGAUCCUAAUAGAUAUAUCUAAUUGGAUAUGGGUUAGCAUGAAUUAUUACUGUUGACAUUACCCUUGAGGUAAAAGGUUGGGAGGCGAAACUAUAAGCCCCUAUCUUUCUCUGUGUCCGAUUAAAACUCCAUAACCACAAGUAUUGCGUGAGUGUUAGCAAUUAUGAAAGAUUAAAUGAUAGUUGAGUAUGUGGACUUGCUAGAAAUCUCUGACAUAGACUCUUUCUGAUGUUAUGAUAAAUUGCAAUUGCUUCAAUGACUGAGAUUACAGUUUGUUGGUUCUCAAUAAAGUUUCUGAUUCAUACUUUGCAUUGUGAAUAGAUUAUUACUUGAGCAUAAGAAAUCAUAUGACAAUAUCCAUAUAUGUUGCUGUUAUAAGAAUGAUCAUGAUGCCCUCAUGUCCGUAUUUUAUUUUAUCGACACCUCUACCUCUAAACAUGUGGACAUAUUUAUCGUUAUCGUUAUCGUCUUUCGCUUGAGGACAAGCGAGGUCUAAGCAUGGGGGAGUUGAUACGUCCAUUUUGCAUCAUGCUUUUAUAUCGAUAUUUAUUGCAUUAUGGGCUGUUAUUACGCAUUAUGUCACAAUACUUAUGCCUAUUCUCUCUUAUUUUACAAGGUUUACAUAAGGAGGGAGAAUGCCGGCAGCUGGAAUUCUGGGCUGGAAAAGGAGCAAAUAUUAGAGACCUAUUCUGCACAACUCCAAAAGUCCUGAAACUCCACGAAAGUUAUUUUUGGAAAUAAUAAAAAAUACUGAGCGGAAGAAAUACGUCAGGGGGGCCUCCACCUGUCCACGAUGGUGGGGGGCGCGCCCCCUGCCUCGUGGGCCCCCUGUUGGCCCUCCGGUGCCCAUCUUCUGCUAUAUGAAGUCUUUCGUCCGAUGAAAAAUCAUAGGCAAGCUUUCGGGACGAGACUCCGCAGCCACGAGGCGGAACCUUGGCGGAACCAAUCUAGGGCUCCGGCAGAGCUGUUCUGCCGGGGAAACUUCCCUCCGGGAGGGGGAAAUCAUCGCCAUCGUCAUCACCAACGCUCCUCUCAUCGGGAGAGGGCAAUCUCCAUCAACAUCUUCACCAGCACCAUCUCCUCUCAAACCCUAGUUCAUCUCUUGUAUCCAAUUCUUGUCUCUAAGUCUGGGAUUGGUACCUGUAGGUUGCUAGUAGUGUUGAUCACUCCUUGUAGUUGAUGCUAGUUGGUUUAUUUGGUGGAAGAUCAUAUGUUCAGAUCCUAUAUGCAUAUUAAUACUCCUCUGAUUAUGAACAUGAAUAUGCUUUUUGAGUAGUUACGUUUGUUCCUGAGGACAUGGGAGGAGUCUUGCUAUUAGUAGUCAUGUGAAUUUGGUAUUCGUUCGAUAUUUUGAUGAGAUGUAUGUUGUCUAUCCUCUAGUGGUGUUAUGUGAACGUCGACUACAUAACACUUCACCAUUAUUUGGGCCUAGAGGAAGGCAUUGGGAAGUAAUAAGUAGAUGAUGGGUUGCUAGAGUGACAGAAGCUUAAACCCUACUUUAUGUGUUGCUUCGUAAUGGGCUGAUUUGGAUCCAUAUGUUUCAUGCUAUGGUUAGGUUUACCUUAAUACUUUUGUUGUAGUUGCGGAUGCUUGCAAUAGAGGUUAAUCAUAAGUGGGAUGCUUGUCCAAGUAAGGGCAGCAUCCAAGCACCGGUCCACCCACAUAUCAAAUUAUCAAAGUACCGAACGCGAAUCAUAUGAACGUGAUGAAAACUAGCUUGACGAUAAUUCCCAGGUGUCCUCGGGAGCGCUUUUCUCUACAUAAGAGUUUGUCCAGGCUUGUCCUUUGCUACAAAAAGGAUUGGGCCACCUUGCUGCACUUUAUUUACUUUUGUUAUUUGAUGCUCGUUACAAAUUAUCCUAUCACAAAACUAUCUGUUACCUAUAAUUUCAGUGCUUGCAGAGAAUACCUUGCUGAAAACCGCUUAUCAUUUCCUUCUGCUCCUCGUUGGGUUCGACACUCUUACUUAUCGAAAGGACUAUGAUAGAUCCCCUAUACUUGUGGGUCAUCACCCUGCAUGCAGCGCCUCCUACAGUCACGGCACUGCCGCCCGCGGCCCCCUUGGCACCCGNNNNNNNNNNNNNNNNNNNNNNNNNNNNNNNNNNNNNNNNNNNNNNNNNNNNNNNNNNNNNNNNNNNNNNNNNNNNNNNNNNNNNNNNNNNNNNNNNNNNNNNNNNNNNNNNNNNNNNCUCGGAUGACUACGUCCAUGUGGCAUCCACCUCUGAGUCGUUGUCGUUACCGUCCUCCAUUUGAGCCGCUCUUCGUGACCCGCUCAGGAUGGCUGCGAAGCAAGAGGAGUUUGACGCCCUAUUGCGUAACCGGACGUGGCAGCGUGUUCCCCAUCCCUGGCACGCCAACGUGAUUACCGGGAAGUGGGUCUUUAAACACAAGCUCCGUCCUGAUGGUACCCUUGAUCGCUAUAAAGCGCGCUGGGUCGUUCGUGGCUUCCGACAGCUUGCUGGCAUCGACUUCACCGACACCUUUGCUCUGGUCAUCAAGCCCGGCACGAUACACAUGGUUCUCCACCUUGCGGUCUCUCGUGCUUGGCGGUGCACCAGAUGGACGUCGCCAAAACCUUCCUCCAUGGUCACCUUGAAGAGUAGGUCUUCUGCCAGCAGCCCACCGGGUUUGUGGACCCGGCGCUUCCUGACCACGUGUGCCUGCUUUCACGGUCCUUGUACGGACUCAAGUAGGCUCCGCGCGCUUGGUACCAGCGCAUCGCGUUGUUUCUCCACUAGCUUGGGUUCCGCUCUACCCGCUCGGACGCCUCGCUCUUCGUCUAUCAUCAGGGCUCUGACACGGCCUAAUUGCUGCUCCAUGUCGACGACAUCAUCCUGACGGCAUGUACGGCUGGUCUCCUUAGCCAGCUCACGGCUCGUCUUCGCGCUGAGUUCGCCAUCAAGGACUUGGGUCCUUUGCACUACUUCCUAGGUGUCGAGGUGGUGCGCCGUCCGGAUGGCUUCUUCCUUCAUCAGCGAAGUACGCUCACGAGCUCCUGGGGCGCUCCGGCAUGCUUAACUGCAAGCCCGCCGCUAUGCCUGUUGAUACGAAGGCCAAGCUUUCUGCCACGGAUGGUUCUCCUGCUUCGGAUGCUGCUUUCUAUCGGUCUAUCGUUGGUGCUCUCCAGUACCUCACUCUGACUCGACCGAAGAUCUAGUAUGCCGUGCAGCAGGUGUGUCUUCAUAUGCAUGCUCCUUGAGACGUUCACUGGGCUGCCGUCAAGCGGAUUCUCCGCCAUAUCUGUGGCACUAUGGAUCUUGGCGUCACGCUUCACGCCUCCGCCGACACCGCCCUCACCGCCUACUCCGAUGCAGACUUGGCGGGCUGCCCUGACACUCGUCGCUCCACUUCGGGCUAUUGUGUCUACCUUGGACCCUCACUUAUCUCGUGGUCGUCCAAGCCGCAACCUACGGUCUCUCGUUCCAGUGCUGAAGCUGAGUAUCGCGCGGUGGCCAACGCCGUCGCCGAGUGUUCGUGGCUUCGCCAGCUGCUUCAGGAGCUCUCUUGUCCUGUUGACCAUGCCACGGUGGUCUACUACGACAACGUCUCGGCGGUCAACCUCUCCACUAACCCGGUGCAUCAUUGACGGACCAAGCAUAUUGAGUUGGAUAUUCAUUUUUUUCGGGAAUAGGCGACCCUUGGCCAUAUUCGUGUUUUACACGUCCCUACUUCCCAACAAUUUGCCGAUAUCAUGACCAAGGGCUUGCCUACGACGUCAUUUGAGGAGUUCCGGCCCAGUCUUUGCGUCAGUUGCGGUGCUGCUUCGACUGCGGGGGGUGUUGAGUAUAUGUGUUAUGUGCAUAUUGUGUAUUGGGCCCACCUCCUAGUUCCAUGCAUGUAUAGUUGAGGUUCGUGGCCCACCUUUGUACAUCAUAUAUACAUGCCUAUGCAUGAAGAGCAAUACAUCGUGCAAUCAUACACAGAGGAGUAGUGUACAUUGGUCUCUAGUGCACUUUGCUCAACAAAUUGGGUGAAAAUGUUCAGUAGAACCAUGCAAGUCUUCAUACUUUUUCUCAUGGCACAGGUUUGCCUUGUCUUGAUGAUGGCCGCACCGUUUGCACAAGCCGCUGGGAGGCCUGUGGCAUCCUUACCAUGGAUUGCGGGGUGUUGCCCGAGGAACUAUUUGUGUUGUGGUGUUGGUGCGGUUGCCCCGACAUCCCAUGCAUUGCAGGCCACCCCUGUACCUUGAGUUAUGGUUUCGCUUGAUCUCCUCUCAUAACAUAGUUGAUAUAACAUAGUAGCAUCACAAAGGUUGCAUGGUUUCAUUGAUUCAUCUCUUUUCUACUGCUUGAAUCUUGUGAUGCCGCUUUUGAACAAUGUCAUUCCUAUGUCUUCUUAUAACUAAUAAAAUGUGAGGAUAUUUUUAUCUUAUUUGAAUUGUGUUGUAACAUUACCUACUAAUGUGGAUGAUCUGGGUGGACUACAUAGAUCAGAUCUUGUAAAGAUGUAAUCUAGGACUUUGCGAGAUGAUGAAAUUGUCCUUUAUCUUGGUCACCUUUUCGUAGAAGUGUUGGUCGGCUGUCGGCAUCCCUUAAUUUGUGUCUUCUUGUAGUGCAUGCUCUAGAAUCAUCCAUAUUUUGUAGUUUUACAAUAACCUUUGAGGCAAAUGGGGCGUGGUACGUCUGAGGAAGUCAGUUCACCAAAGCAAUGCCCCCCCCCCCUCCAAAAAAAGAAAAACCAAUUAUGUGUGCCAUGGGCGUACAGUGAAACCACUUCCUUUCGACAUGCAAGCCAUCAAUAUUCAUAAUGAGAUCUCGAACAUGGAUGCCAAGUAAUUCGCCCCGUGCUGAUGUCGUCAGGCAACCCGCUCACUUUUUUAUGAACAAAGUAAGGCACCGACCGGUGCCAAUUUCAUUCAGCUCAAAGAAAUAGUACAUCAGGGAAUACAAUGGCAUGAAGAAAACAGAGAAGAGUGGGUACAACCAUUGGAAGUGAGCCAAAGAAAAAUACUACAGAUAGGCUGGCUGAAACACCAACCAGAUGAACUACUCAAAGAACAGAUACAUCUGAAGAAAAUUCAGGAUGGAGGCAGAGUAGAGUGGGCACUGCAUGAAGAAGAUCUAAAUACGCCUUAGAACCACUGAAAGAACAGUAAUCUUGUUUGAUGUCCUCAACAGAAGCCAGCUUGAUUGUAAAUGUGCUUCCUCGAUAGAAGUCCUCAGAACCAUGUGCUCUACUAGUAACAAUGCACCGCAUGCAACCUGAAUCCUUGAACCUGGAAAUUGGAAAUAAGAGACACCACUGGAUAGGAAGCAUGUGAAUGAUUAGAAGCAAAACAAGAAACUUGAGUAUUGCAUCAGACCGAAGUACCUGUUGCGCAAGAUUGUGAGCAAUACCAUUAAUUUCUCGAGAAAUAUGAAACACCUUAGGAUGCAAAUUAGAAGUACAUUUGAAAAAAAAUAGCCAGUGCUUUUCUGAUACUCCAGGGAGAUGUGGGCUCAGAGAUGUUCCCCAAAGUAGCAAACUUAGCUAAUGAAAGACAGUCCAUUAAGAAAGUGGGAGAAGAAACAUUCAGCUGAGAGGCCAAAUGAGCAGCAAAAGAAAGAGCAAUCACCUCAGCUUGCAAAGGAGUAGAGGUUGGGGGAGCCGAAGCUUGAAUUUGUACAUUGUAAUCCCCUCGAUUACAAGGCACAGAGAUGAAAACUCCCACACCUGUAGCAACUUCUCCUUGCAUUAAACCAGGAAUCUUGUUAGACCCGAAAGUUGCGUCAGAAUAUACUUUAGAACCAACAAUUAGUAAAUCUGAUCUAAGUGUAUCUCCCUGUGUAGGGAGAUGAUCCGCAAAAGGCUGAUCCCGAGGUUGAGACUGCUUCAUAGGGAAACAUGGGAGAUUAUCAUAGGAAUCCGGAAGUAAGGCAGUAGUAGCAAUCUGAACUUGGUGAGGAGAAGCUUUUUCCCUGUCAAAGAGAAAAUCAUUCCUAGCUUUCCAGAGCCACCACAAAAAGUUGAGAAUAUUAAAAAUGGAUCCAUGAGGAUGACCCAUACGAACGAAAGCAAUAAGAACCGAGUGAAUAGUGGAAUGGCCUUGGAUUAAGACAUCUGAUCUAAUGAACCAAGGAGAGGAAAACCAGGCCACACGAGCAAAGUGACACAGGAAAAACAAAUGAAACUCAUCCUCUUGUUGGCCACAUCUACAACAAUUCUGAGAAAUGUGAAUGGAGAAACGGCCUACUCGCAAACCCGUAGGUAAAGCCUUUCUAAGUAAUCUCAAAGCAAAAGUUUACACCCUAGGAAGCAUAUGCUUUCGUUUCCAAAUCAAUUUAAGCGGGCUUUUUAAAUCCAAGGAAACAGCAGCAUGCACAUUUCUAGUAUUAGCAUAAAUCUCUUGCAAACAAAGUUUAUAACCAGACUUAGAACAGCAAAUGCCAUUAGGAGUGAGAUCCCAACAUAGCAAAUCUGGACCAUCAUCAUCAAUAAUUUCAGUUUGAACAAUGAUAGAGGCCAUAGGUUGGAGAAAAAGAGAGAAAACAAGAUCAUGAUUCCAACUAUUUUGCCCCGGAAGCCAGAGAUCUCUAACUAUAGAUGGGUAAGCAAAACCAGCUUGCUGAGGAAUGAGAUGGUCAUGGAUAGAGUUCCAAAGACUACACCAAGGCAUGCUCCAAAUGGAAAUGUUUCCCUGAGUUAAUUGAUAGAAAGAAUGAGCCUUAAGUUUAGGUAACAUUUUCAAAAUAGAAGCCCAGAACGCAGAUUUAGGAGGGGUCGCAGCAGCUGUCCAAAUGGAAGUACCAUGAAAAUACUUAGCCUUAAGAACUAGGUACAAGUGAGAAGAAGGAAAUUUAGCUAACCUCUAAGCAGCAGCCAAAAGAAGGCUCUCAUUAAUGGCUUUUAAAUUCCUAAUACUCAGACCACCUUCUUUAGAGUUGCAAAUAUCCUUCCAAGCUCUAAAACAAAGACUUUUCUUAGAAUCAUUUUCUCGCACACCCGUUCACCAGAAAUUCCUAAUAACAGCCGUCAGCUUAGCAAUGAAUUUCUUUGUAAACAAGAUAUUAGCCAUAUAAUAGACCGGAAUAGCCGAGAAAACAGAACAGAUCAAUUCAUGUCUAGCAGCAUGAGAAAGCAUGUUAGCUUUAUAAGUGGGCAGUUUAUUUAAAAAUUUGUCAAGAAAAAAGUUGUAAGCUGCAACUCUAUUUUUAGCAGGAAGAACAAGCGGGUGACCAAGGUGGGUGAAGUUACUAUCCAAAGUAGCAACCGGAAAGAUUUUCCUAAUCUCCUACAUAGCUGUAUGAGAAACAUGAGAGCUAAAAAGAAUAGCAGAUUUAGCCCAAUUUGGAAUUUGACCUGAGAUAGAACAAAAGUCACUACUAGAAAACAGGGCUUUCGUUCGGGCCUGGCCAGCCCAUUAGUCCAGGUUCCGCACGAACCGGGACCCAUGGGGUGCAUUAGUCCCGGUUCGUGAGCCCAGGGGGCCGGCCGGGCCACGUGGGCCACUGGUCCCGGUUCGUCUGGACCUUUUGGUCCCGGUUCAACGCACGAACCGGGACCAAUGCGCCUCGCCCCUGGCCCAUGACCAUUAGUCCCGGUUUGUGCCACAAACCGAGACUAAAGGGUUGGUCCUUGUUGCGGCCAGAGUUUAGUCCCACCUCGACGACCGAAGGGCGCUCACACCGGUUUAUAAGCCCGUCCCUCUGUGCCUUGUUGAGCUCCUCUCAAAAUGAAAAUAGAUGCCCUUAUACAGGGAAUUUGACCAAAAUUCAUAGUGAGUUUCUCUGAAAUUCAUCCAAAUUUAUUAUGAAUUUAGGUUGAAUUUUCUCUAUAGGCGCAUCUAUGCUCAUUUUUUUAUGUUGGGGUUGGCGAUCUUUACAGACUUUUUGUGUGUUGAAUAUGCACCAUUCAAAAUCAGUCUCUGCUUUGAAUGGUUCAUUUUGAACACACAAAAAGUCUGGAGUUCAAAUAAGUUCAAGAAAAUGAAAUCCCUUUGUAACAGAUGAGUUUUCGUCCGAAACCCUGAUACUUCGAAAGAGAUUGUCCAUUUUGUUCACGAAGUGCAUCCACCUUUUGCGGGGACCCUCUCAACUUUCUUGCACAUGCUAUGUGGAUGACAUGAUGAUACCAUGCCAACUUUCAACCUUUUCAGAGUUCAUUUGAAAUGCUUUUCAAUUUUAGGGUCUUAUAGCUCAAAAUAAUUAGUAAAUGCAUGAAAAAUAACAAAUGAAGUCAGAAAGGAUUGAAAAAUGAUGAUGUGGCUUUGAAUGGUGCAUUUUGAACACACAAAAAGUCAGGAGUUCAAAUAAGUUUAAAAAAAUGAAAUCCCUUUGUAACAGACGAGUUUCCGUAUGAAAUCCCGAUACUUUGAAAGAGAUUGUCCUUUUGUACACGAAGUGCAUCCAGUUUUUGUCGUAACCCUCUCAACUUUCUUGCACAUGCUAUGUGGAUGAAAUGAUGAUACCAUGCCAACUUUCAACCUUUUCAGAGUUCAUUUGAAAUGCCUUUCAAUUUAUGGUCUUAUAGCUCAAAAUAAUUAGUAAAUGCAUGAAAAAUAACAAAUGAAGUCAUAAAGGAUUGAAGUGGCUUUGAAUGGUGCAUUUAGAACACACAAAAAGUCAAGAGUUCAAAUAAGUUUUAAAAAAUGAAAUCUCUUUGUAACAGACGAGUUUCCGUAUGAAAUCCUGAUACUUUGAAAGAGAUUGUCCGUUUUGUACACGAAGUGCAUCCAGUUUUUGCCGGGACCCUCUCAACUUUCUUGCACAUGCUAUGUGGAUGAAAUGAUGAUACCAUGCCAACUUUCAACCUUUUCAGAGUUCAUUUGAAAUGCCUUUCAAUUUUAGGGUCUUAUAGCUCAAAAUAAUUAGUAAAUGCAUGAAAAAUAACAAAUGAAGUCAGAAAGGAUUGAAAAAUGAUGAUGUGGCUUUGAAUGGUGCAUUUUGAACACACAAAAAGUCAGGAGUUCAAAUAAGUUUUAAAAAAUGAAAUCCCUUUGUAACAGACGAGUUUCCGUAUGAAAUCCUGAUACUUUGAAAGAGAUUGUCCGUUUUGUACACGAAGUGCAUCCAGUUUUUGCCGGGACCCUCUCAACUUUCUUGCACAUGCUAUGUGGAUGAAAUGAUGAUACCAUGCCAACUUUCAACCUUUUCAGAGUUCAUUUGAAAUGCUUUUCAAUUUUAGGGUCUUAUAGCUCAAAAUAAUUAGUAAAUGCAUGAAAAAUAACAAAUGAAGUCAGAAAGGAUUGAAAAAUGAUGAUGUGGCUUUGAAUUGUGCAUUUUGAACACACAAAAAGUCAGGAGUUCAAAUAAGUUUUAAAAAAUGAAAUCCCUUUGUAACAGACUAAAGCUUCAUGUAUAUAAGGCACACUUGUGAAAAUUUUGGUUUGCAUCUUGCAGUUCGCCCCUGACGACGCGCGCGGAGAGGACGCCGCCAGGCUGUCGGACGCCGUCGCCAUCGCCCCCGCCCCGGAGCCCACGCCGACGCCGUCGCCGUCCGCCGCCCCCGCCCCGGAGCCCACGCCNNNNNNNNNNNNNNNNNNNNNNNNNNNNNNNNNNNNNNNNNNNNNNNNNNNNNNNNNNNNNNNNNNNNNNNNNNNNNNNNNNNNNNNNNNNNNNNNNNNNNNNNNNNNNNNNNNNNNNNNNNNNNNNNNNNNNNNNNNNNNNNNNNNNGUUAGAUUAGUUGAAUUAGAUGUUUUUCCAUGUAUUUUAGAUUUGUUGAAUUAGAUGUUUUUUUGUCAAUUUAUGUAUAUAUGUGCAUAUUUAGAAAAAAUGUGUUGAACUAGUUAAAUAUAAUAGAACUAGUUAAACAAGUUUAUUUUUAGUAAGUGCUUAGUAGUUGAACUAGUUGAUUUAAUAAAACUACUUUAUUUUACUAUAGAAGUGGUUUAUUUUAGUAAGUACUACUUUAUUUUAUUUAUAGUAAGUGCUUAAUUAGUAGUUGAACUAGUUGAUUUAAUAAAACUACUUUAUUUUACUAUAUAUAGAAGUAAUUUAUUUUUAGUAAGAACUACUUCAUUUUAUUUAUUUAUAGUAAGUGCUUAGUAGUUGAACUAGUUGAACUACUUUAUUUUAGCAAGAAAUUUAAUAGAACUAGUUUAUUUUUUUAGUUCAAGCAAUUAAUCCCGCAUCGACGUCGACGAUGCCUAUCCCGCAUCCUCGUCGUCGACUCGGCGGAGGAGGCCGGCUUGAUCAGAGGGGCCAUGUCUGGGACUGGGCUCCGCCGGGCUGGUUUUGGGAGGUGCUACCUUCCGGUGGGUGUAGGUUGGUGAGGAGCCAGCCCGUCGUUGACCUGAUCCUUGUUUGGUUGCGGUUGCGUGGGCCAGUGACGGUGCCGAGGCUUCCGGACACCGCGGAGGUGGUACGUCACCGUGUCAGCGAGGAGGACCAGCACGUCCAUCGCUACAUGUUUGCGUUGGAGGGCAGGUUCGACAAUACCUGGCAGGUUCUUCAGGGUUCUCACUGGAGCUAUGAUCCUGUGAUGGUUCCGUCCCUUUGGGUGUCCACCGCCCGCGCCGAUACCCGUCGGGCGCUACUGUUCUAGCUGUACUAGCGAUGCUAUAUGUAUGAUAGUAUUCGAGGCGUAUUAGUGAUAAUAUUCGACGAUGUACGGACGCAUGGAGAUGAUGUAGUUUUGCUUAUAAUUGAAUGCAUCCUAAUUUGAAUACUACUUUAUUUUGUGAUUUGAUUUUGCUUAUUGAAUGCUCAAAGUGGAAAACUACUCCUACUUUGAAUGCUAAAAUUGGAGAGCACUAUGCAAGGCGUAUGCAUAUGAUUAGUUGAUAGCUUAUAGGGUUUUUGUUUUCGCAGAAAUCUAGGAGCCCCCGGCCCCUCCAUCAUCCCCGCCGUCGUCCCCGUCACUGCCCCCUCCGACAUCGAGGUGAGACUAGCCAAAUCCUCUUUUAGAAAGAUAAUUAAACGAUAUUUCGGGUUGACUGUAAGUCUGUCGAGUCUCCACCAUAUAUGAGAGGACGAAGAAUCCCGACUGUUGUCGUGGGGGUAGCUUCUCCUUCGUUCCCGUGUGCUAGACAAUUUGCUGUAAUGCACUCGAGAACGAAAGGAGGAGCUACCAUACCAUCACCGACGGUCGCAAAUGUCAGAGAGGAAUCAGUGAGGGAGAGUUCCACCAUAUAUAUAUGAGAGGACGAAGAAUCCCGGCUGUUGUCGUGGGGGUCGCUUCUCCUUUGUUCCCGUGUGCUAGACAUUUUGGUGUAGUGCACUCGGGGACAAAUGGAGGAGCGACCAUCACCAACGGUCGAAUGUAUACACCACGUGAGCUGAGAGUUUUCAAGAAAAGACUCGACAAACCGAUAGUCAACCCGUGAUGAAUAAUAAUGAUCUAACUUAGGUUUUUUUUAGUACAUAUAUUUAAUUGUAGACGUUUAAUAUUUGAAUUACGAACAUAGGAAAUGUCGUACUCGGACGACGAAAGUCUCCCGGAGUGCGACUGGUGCCACGACGACCGAGGUCAGUGCGACAGGCCUUCCCUGGACGAAGAUCGGCGCUUCAGUAUUAACCUGGAGGAGACCUUCGAUGUUGAAACGGUACGCAAUGAUGACAAGUGUUAUUUUUUUGUAAUUAAGCACGACUUCAACUAUUUCAACGUGUACUUUUCAUCAUUUACAAUUCGGCUAGCUUAUCCCAUGCCAUGCAAGACGCUACGUCUUGGAGAGGAUGGGUUUUGAAGACCAUGAAAAUAUGGAAACAAAGAAACUUCACCUAAGGACCCAUCAUGAUAUAGAUUUUGAAGUAAAUCUGUAUAAUUCUAAGAGCGUAACCCAUUUUGGUUGCAAAAAUUGGGAAGCAUUUUUCAAGAUGUAUGGUUUUGAUGAGGGUAUGCUUGUCACCAUGGAUCUUGGUGAUCCUGACAUCGAGCAAGACAAUAUGGACAUUUGGGUCCUUGUUGAUACGCCUCCAAUUCUACCGCUAUGUGAGUUUCUCAAACAUAGUUAUUAGCUAAUUUAUAUUGUUCAUUUCAAAAUAGUUGACAGCUUAUUUUCAUUGACAGCUUAUUUGAUUGUUGAAACAAUGUGCGGAACAUGGUAGUCAGAACCUACUACACCGAUGGCUCUGAGUUAACUUAUAAGGAGAAAACUCAUCUGGUCGGAUUUUGUACUGAUCUUGAGAAUUACAAUAUCUAUUGUAAAACUCCUCCACAUUAUGGUCAAUAUGUGCCACUAGUGCACGUGUUGAACUACGGUAACUACUAUGGAGAUACCCUGGUAAGAUUUCUUACUAUUACGACAUCCAUGCAUCUUUUGCAUACUUCUAAAACUAGUACAUCAUUGCUAACUAUGAAGUUAUUACUAUAUUUUUUUAACAGAUAAUCCCAGAGGAUUGUGUGCCUCAUUUGAUGUAUCAGAAUGGUAGGCUUGAUGUUUUGAACAUACAACCAGGUCAUCCUACGAAUCGCAACUGUCCAUACCAGAUUUCUAAAAGAAGUGGAGACAUGCAAAUCAAAGAAUGGAAAAAAUGUAUGGACAGUCGCAAGGAGGUUCUUGGAAGCAAAAGGAAGCGAAGCGCAAGAAUGGAGACAGGAUGAUCUCCAGUCUCCAUAAUGGAGAGUCAGGGUCUAUAUUGUUUUAUGCUAUUUUACCUUAAAGAGGGUAUUUCGGUCCUACCUAAUACUGAUGAUCAUGUGCUAAGAACAAUUAAGUAGGGUUGGUUCGAUGACUAUGAGGAUGAUGAUCGUAUGACUGGUUAUUAAUAACGAGUAGAAGUUGUAUGAUGAUGAUUAGUAGGACUUGUUAUUAUAUAUGAUGAUGCAUGAUGCACGCAUGAAGAGUUAUUAUAUAUCAGCGGGUGAAAUGAUCAUGGAUUGGAUUGAAGUGAAGGCAACAUGCAUGUGGUGCAUGUCGAAAGUAGUACAAUCCAAACUUGAUCAAGUUAGGAUUAGUAUUACUUUCGACAUGCACCACAUGUUGCCUUCACUUCAAUCUAGGCCAUGUUUAGGCAUAGUAGUACGUAGCGUUGGUAAACCAAGCACGGAGAUAUAAGAGAGGACACUUCUCUCUAAUAGCUACCUAAUAACAACCUAAAUUAGCCCCCAAAACCCCUAAAUCAGCCCCUUUCAAACAAAAAAACCUCAGCUCCAGCCAGAUGCUGACGCGUGGAUGCCUAUUGGUCCCGGUUGGUGACACCAACCGGGACCAAAGGCCCCCCGGCCUGGGCUGGCCGCAGCGGCCACGUGGAGGCCCAUCUGUCCCGGUUCGUAUAAGAACCGGGACUAAAGGGUUAGGGCAUUAGUAACGAUCCGUUAGUCCCGGUUCAAAAACCGGGACAAAAGGCCCUUACCAACCGGGACAAUAGGCCCUUUUUCUAUUUGUGAGUGAUGAAUAAUAUUAGCCAUAGCAUGAGCCUCCUAUAAAGUGGCUUUCCCACAAACCAAAAGGGCAUCAGCAAAUAAAAGAGAGUGAAUGGAAGGACAAUCUGGACCAAGAGAAAUACCCUGGAGAUGAUGAGCAGCAAGCGCUUCAUUAAGAGCAAUGGAUAAUUCAUUUAUAGCAAUAACAAACAAAUAGGGGGAGAUAGGGCAACCUUGACGAAUACCUCAAAAACUUCUAAACUUGUGAGAAGGUUGUCCAUUAAUGAGCACAGAGAAAGUGGGAGAAGAGAUGCAAGCAUGAAUCAAAUUAAUAAAAUGACCAUGCAGCCCUUUGCGCGUAAGCGCCGACACUAUGAAAUUUCAUUCUAAACGAUCAAAAGCUUUGGCAAGAUCAAUUUUAAGCAUGAAAACAUUGUGUUUCCAAAAUUGAAGAGAAAAAGAGUGGGUAAUCUCCUGAGCAAUAAUAAUAUUAUCACUAAUUCUUCUACCCGGCGACCCGCUCACUGAUGUUUUGACUCACGGAGUCACUAUGUUCCCUUAAUGAUCUUUUCGUAUAUAACUGGUUGUUGCUUUAAUUAGAAGAAACCACACCAAUCGUAAUUGUUGUUAGUAAUGGAGCGGUAAGCAUAUGCAAAUCGAAGCACCAUUUUCCUUCUAAAUACACUUGUAAAAGCAUUAUGAGUGUCUUCUUCUGAUUUAAUAUUUAUGCAAGACACAUUAUGAGUGCCAGUUGUGUUGUAACUUUUUUUGCGAGGCACAACAACUGGAUUGUUGUCGAUAUAAGGGAAAACAUAAAAUAGUAUCAGAACUUCUGCAUUUAGAAACCUGUUACUAAUAUAUAGUGGCAUCUUUUUGCUCUCGAUCGAUGUCCUGGCAUGACAGGCUUUGUCGCUGUUCCCUCACCAUGGAGUGGGGAAGUAAAAUCGGUAAGUUAGCCUAUUUACCUAGUCGCCGUUCAUUUGUUCACCGAGUCAUGAGACAGCGGGAGGAAGGAGACGAAGGUCCCAAACGUGAGACCAAAAAGGUGGACUAGGGCUCGCCCUAGUUGUGCUCUCGGGUAUUUUUAGUUACUAGUAGGAGUAAGAAGCAUUGCAAAUUGCUCCCUCUGUUCAAUCCGUGCCAACCCUAGCCGCCCCUCCUCCUCACCACCCCCCUCGAACUAGAUCGCCGCCGCCUGAGGCAGCCGCCGGGCAAACGGGGCGCCAACGAUGGUGGCGGCGGGGCCUCGGUUGCCUUGCCUCUGCGUGGGGAACCCCGGAUCUGGAGCGGCGGCUCCAUUGGCAAGGCACGGACGGCUAGCAGCCGUGCGGGCGGUGGAUCUGGUGUCCCGGCCGCGCGGGCGGCGGGAUAAGGUGGUCGUUGGCGGCCGGCGAAGGCUUCUACGGCGGUCGGUGCGGGCGAUCUGGCACCUCCCUUCCUCCUCCGCUCGGCGUGCGGGCCAGCCUGGUCGGGCCGUGCUUCCUCUUGGUCGCCGGUUCUGUACAGGAGGCGCUGCUGGUGGCGGGGAUCUAGUUCGGGCGAAAUCCCUUGCCGGCCAUGACCGGCCGCGCCGACGGCGACGCCUGAGGGCGUCGUUCCGCUCCUUGGAGGCGUCGGUAUGGACUGAUCUCCUCACGGCGCCGUUCCCUUCUUGAAGGCGCCGCUUCGGGAACCUUGGGGUUGGGUGGCGCUUGUAGGUGGUUGGCGACGGCGGUGCUGCGGCCCUAUCCUAGCAUGGAUUUACGUCCGUUGCUUGGAGAUGGACUCGCGUAGGUGGAGGUCGUCGCCUGGCGUCGUGGUGGCGUCAAAGGCGGAGGACCUGCCAAGACUCGCGUAGGUGGAGGUCGUCAUUUGGCGUCGUGGUGGCGUCGAUGGCGGAGAACCUGCCAAGGUUGUCAUCUCAAUCGCUCUGAAGAUGGACCAGUGGAAUAUGGCGGCGACAACACAUGUGAGUGCGUCGGACCGGUUUGAGCCCCGGACCCGGUAGAUGGCUCGGUCGGGGCCUCCGGCUUUAGAUGUUAGGCUUAGGUGAGAGGUCUAGAUAUGUGGCCCAGCUUGCACCCCUUCAUCAUUUGAAUAGGAGUAGCGACAGAUGUUGCGAAGAUGACGGAUUCAAGUAUAUUGUUGUUCUACUUUGUAAGUUCCUCGAGAAUAAUCAAUAAAAUGGCCGCAUGCAUCUUCCAGAUGCAUAUGCCGGAGGUUAUCCUCCUUUUUUUUUAAAAUGUAGUCCAUAUUAAUAUAUUCAAAAUAUUUUAUAGUAUUUGUGAACGAAAGGAGUAAUUAAUAGUAAUGCAACAAUUUCAGUGGAGGCCAGUCAGCAGCUAACUAAAUGUGCUGGAUGAGACUGGAGAAAUGCAUAAACGAUUUACACAUGAUAGAACUACUCUUUUCUUAUUAAGGCGAAUCAGGUUCGUUACUGACUGCCAAAGUCACGGCCGUUUCUGCCUUUGACGCUGAUAAGAGAUUCUACACUGUAAGGCCUCGUUUGAAAUGGAGGGAUUCAGGAGGACUUGAGGUGUGGAGAUUGGAGGGGAUUUGAUGAAUCCCUCCCCUCCACCCAAUCUCCUCAACUCCCCUUGCAAUCAAUCCCUUCCUGAAAAAACGCGUUUGGUAGGCGGAGAGUGGAGGAGGCAUGCACUGCCGCUGCCCUCGAGGUUCUGCUUGUGCAAGGCCCUCGACUAGAGUUCUGAACCGCGCGGGUACGAGGGGAUUGGAAGGGAUCGGAGGGGGUUGGGCUGUGCAAACCCCACCUAUCAAAUGGGCCGAUGAGGUUUCGUGGGGCUUCUGGCCCUCCGGGGGUUCAUCCUCUCCAAACCUCCUGAAUCCUCCUGCGCCAAACGAGGCCUAAAGGAAAAGCUGAAAGCUCUCCUAUCUCGUGUGUUUCUCUUCUCUUGCACCUUGUCGGAAAACAGCGUGCACCAGGGACGCUUGAUUCCAUUGCAGGCAUCAGUUCAAUCUAUCAUGCUACAGGGAACCGGCACUAUCUUCUUUUUCUUCUUCUUUUAGGUCGUGAACGCAAGUCAUUUGAGACAUUCACAUGGGAUUACAUAAUCGGUACGUUGUGACGGAACUGGACGCACAUGAUGAAAUAGAUAGAUAUUCCUACGGUAGAUUUAUCAGCAUCAGUGUGGAGCUAAAGUGUUUGAUGUUUUGUAUGAAUGGUUUGGUCUGAACAAUAAAGCCGACCACUCAGGACCUACUUUUGGGCUUUUUUUUGUAUUAUUGUAUACUAGCAAAAGGGCCCGUGCGCGGAGAAAAAAAUUAUAAUCUUGAAUGGCCAAGAUCACAUUUUUUUGCAUCACCGACAUUUUUCAAAUUCAUGAACACUUUUACGAAUUUGCAAACAUAUUCUAAAAUCAAUAACAUAUUUUGAAUUCAUGAACAUUUUAUAGUAUUUACAAACAUUUUUAGAAAUUGUGAACAUUUUUUAACAAUUUUCUUGAAUAGGCAAAUAAUUCUAAAAUGGACGAACAUUGUUUUAGAAAUCGGUGGAACCAUUUUUGAAAUUCACGAACAUUUUUUGAUUUUACAAACAUAUUUUGAAAUGCAUGAUCAUUUUUUGAAUCAGCGAACAUUCUAUGAAUGAAUAAACUAUUUUGUAAGUCACGAAUAGUUUUUCAAAUAUUUGGUUAUUUCCCCAUUCAUGAACAUUUUUUGAAUGAUGAGAUGUUCUUCAAUUACAUUAAAAAAAAUUUAUACACGAAUUUUUAAAAAGUCAUGAACGUAUUUUGAUUUCAUGAACAUUUGUUUCCGAAAUUUCGAACAUUUUUUGAGUCAGAUUCCUUAAUAAAAUUGCAAAUAUUUUUUGAAUACACAAACAUUUUAUGAUUUAUCAAACCUUUAUUUGAAAAUUAUUUUCUAAAUUUCAAAUAUUUUUUUGUAUUCCGAAAUUAUUUAAAAAAUAAAAAAGGAAAAAGAUAAAAAGUGAAAUGUUAAAAACAGGCCGCCCGGACAUGGGCCCGCCCAGAUAUGCGGCCCACGCCUUAUCCCUCCCCGCAGAGCCGAGUAUGUGAGGUCCCUACUACAUGGGCCUGUCCAGACGGGGAUUUCCCUGUGUGAAACAUUUAUAUCACUUAUAUGUGACAUUUGUGGGUAAUUUCUAUGACGUGCCAUAAGAAGAAAUAGCCCCUUUUAUUACUAGCAAAAGGGUCCGUGCGUUGUAACGGGAGAAAUAAAAUCAAAAUCUCCAAUGACCAUGACCAUAUUUGCUACAUCACUGAGACACCCUAUCACUCUCAAUUUCAUGAAAUCAUGAAUAAUUUUUGAAAUCACGAACAUGUUUUAAAAUUCUUACACAUGUUUGGAAUCAUGAACAUUUUCCAAAUUCAUGAACACUCAUACAAAUUUUCAAACAUUUUCUAAAAUCAAGAACAUUUCUAGAAUUGAUGAAAAAAAUUAUACUAUUUGCAAACACUUAUUAAAAAUUCUGAACAUCUUUAUAAAUAAUUUUGUUUAAUCGGCAAACAUUUUAUGGAAAUUGAUGGAAAAAAAUUCGAAAUUCAAAAACAUUUUUCGUUUUGACUAAAUUUUUUGAAAUACAUGAUCAUUUUUUGAAACAGUGAACAUUUUCUGAAUGACUAAACUAUGUUGUAAGUCAAGAAAUAGUUUUUCAAUUUUAGGAUAUUUUUCCAUUCAUGAACAUUUUUUGAAUUAGCGAUUUAUUUCAAUUUCAUUAACAAUUUUUGAUACACAAAAUAUUUAGAAAAUCAUGAAUAUUAUUUGAUUUCCGAAAAUUUUGUUUUUAAAAUUUUGAACAUUUUUUGUGUAAGCAAUUAUUUUUUGCAAACUGCGACCAUAUUUUGAAUCCACAAGUAUUUUAUGAUUUAUGAAAAAUUUAUGUCAAAUUCUCAUUUUUUUUUUCGAAACUAUUUUGAAAUCUCAAAAUAUUUAUAGUAGAAAAGAAAAAAACAGGAAAGAAAAAUUAAAAUGGAAAACGAAAUUAAAAAAACAGGCCAGCCUGUAAUGGGCCAGCCCAAACAUGCGGGUAGCGUCUUCUCCCAGCGUGCAGAUAGCAUUAAAGGAGGUCCCAAGUGUAGGGCCGGCCCAGAUGGGGGAAUUCCCCUGUGUGAAUUUUUUUAUCACUUAUAUGUGGCAUUGAACUCAUGAAUCAUGCGCUAUCACAUCCAGCUAGCCGCCAUGUCUCGCUCGGACAACCAGAUGAACUUUCUUUCGUCCCUGUAAACAUUUUGACGAUAUAAUAAAAAGCUUUGGAAUUUGUCUAAAAAAAACUUAUAAGUGGCAUUGGUGGGUAAUAUUUUGUAACUUUAGAGGUAAUUUCCACGACGUACCACUAGAAGCGCAAUAGCCCAUUUACUAUUAUUAGGUACUCUUUUUUCCUUGUGGAGGUUUGGAAAUGAGAGAAUUUGAAUAUAGUAACUCUCGAAAACUCUUAUUGGACGAGAGAGAUUUAAUAUGAUAUUGGCAUGGGUUCUACCAACUAAACGAAGAAGUAUUUGACUGGAUAAACAGACAAUUUCCUUUAAUUGACAAACAUUUUUAUGAAAAUUGGUGGAACAACUUUUGAAAUUCAAAAAUAUUUUUUGAGUUAAUGAACAUUCUUUUAACUUAAUGAACAUUUUUUUUAAAUACAUGACCAUUUUUUUGAAUCUGUGAACGUUGUAUGAAUGAAUAAACUAGUUUCUAAGUCAUGAGCAGUUAUUCAAUUUUUAAGAUAUUUUUUCCUUCAUGAACAUUUUUUCAAUUGGUGAAAUUUUGUUCAAUUUCAUUAACAACCCUUUUUAAAAAAUCAUGAACAUUAUAUUUUACCAAAAAAGCAAAUUGUUUUUUUACAAAAUCGUGGACAUUUUUUGAAUCCACAAACCUUUUAUGAUUUAUGAAAUCCUAAAUUAUUUAAAGUAGAAAAAUCAUAAAAAGAAAAGAGAAAGGAAUAAUAGAAAACGAAGUUACAAAAAUAGGCCGACCGAACAUGGGCCGGCCCCAAACAGGCGCACUGCAUCUUCUCCGAGCGCCUAGAGCGUAGUAUAGGAGGUCCCUACUGCAUGGGCUGGCCUAAGCGUUGUCAAAUUUAUUCAUAUAUUAUUUUCGAUUGUACAACCAUAAUUUUUCUUAUCUCUCUCGUUCCACUACAUGCUCCUAGUCAAUGAAUUUCUUUAAUAAUGGUUGUUUUUAUUAACUCAAAAUAUAGCAUCAAGCAGAUACAAAACAUAAUGAGCCACACCCGGUCUAUGCAUAACUAAGAUGCACACAGCCAAAAGCAGAAGUCUGACAAAAAUAAGAUAAGAAGAUCGAUAUAUCGACAACAGUGAGUCAUAUAGUUGGUUUUGGGUUGGGAACGGCGGUGGCCUGCCAGAGGGCAAGACACUGGCUGUGUACGCUGGUGUCACCUGGUGUGGCAUUCGUGGGACCCAAGUGGUAGCGCCUCCUCAGUGAUGGCGGCGAGCGCGGACGUGUUGGACACCACCUCGUCUAUGUCCAUGCAGCCCACUUCUUUCUCUGUAGGAAGGACGCGGUUACACUCGCGUUGACAUCGGAUGACUCGGUCACAGGCACGGGAGGGGUGAGAGGACAUGGCACCGUCAAUGGCAGCCACGAUGCCCGUGCCACCGUGCUCCCUCCCUGUGCCGACCUGGAGCAACUUGCCACUCCUCGGCUCGUGGCCGGCGGGCUUUACGGGCCACCUAGCCAUUUUUAUGCCAGACAACUCUUCUUCCUGCUCGUCAGAUGCCAUGGAGAAAACUGUUCAAGGAGGAAAAUGGUGAGUGGAGGUGUGAUGCGGUUCUUGCCCGACAUCUGGCAUUGUUUAAAUAGCGAGGGGACACGAGGAGCCAAGCGACAUUCUGUUUAAUGCCAACCGGCUCACGAAUGAACAUGUGGCCGGAGUAAUUAUCCUGGAACACACGUGGGUUUAAUGAUGGAAGGCGGGCAGUCUGCAAGAAUGAGGCGAGGAUGUGUGUUUAGCCGGCGUGCAGCGGGCGGCGCCCUCGGCCGGCGCUCUGCUUCCAUUGCGGAGGCAGUGAGAGGCCGCGUCCGCUCUGCAGCGCAUGAAUGCGGGCAGCUGGCGCAGAGCGGGAACGCGUGCGGGCGAGGGAGGAGGGGGUUUGGGUGGGCAUGGGUGGUCAGAAGCGGUCGUGGGUGUUGUCCGAACACCUGCAAAGCCCCCCUCCAUGUUUGUCUCCGGUUUACGGGAGAAAGUACGUCCAGACCUUCCAAUGGACCGAUACAGGCCCGCAUUGGAUGGCACAACACGUCCGGACCAUGUGGUCCGGAUGGUUCAGGACGGUUUAAUUGAGGGUUGACGUUGGAGAUGCCUUAGAGUUUAUGAAUCCAUUGUGUUUUUCUAAUCAUAAAAAAACACUUAUAAUAAGUUAGAAGGAAAGACACGUUUAUAUGUUAGGUUCAGACUCCAGCUUUCCUCUUACAUAUGCUUUAUUCUGAUCCGACUGAUUCCAAUAGAGGGAGCCUGGCGUUGUUUUUCUGGAAACUCGCGGGAUAAAGAGACUUGCAUACACAUUCUUUCAAGCAAAUCACAUCCAUUCUUUUAACUCAUUUUUCUUAUUUUAAUAAUAUAAUAGAUCAUUUAUAUUUUUUAUCUCAAACAGUUGACGUGUAAUUUAUAUUGUAAUCUGAGGAUAAUGUUUGGAUUUUACUUUCAAAUAUAUUUGAAAUGGCCAUGAUGGAAUCACAUCCAUUUAUUUUAUUAUUAUUUGAAUUUGAUCCAAAAGAUAAAUAAUGAGUAGAGGUCAUGUCAACUUUUCUAGAACUUUGCUAAUCAAAAUAUAAUUUGUAUUUAAAAACAUCUAUUUUUUAGCACGCAUGAAAAACAUAACAUUGUAUCUUUUCACACAUAAUGAACGGUUGUCAUAAGAACUCAUGCCAUGCCACAACCUCCCUCCGACCCUGCCAACAUUGUUGCAGAUGCACUAGCAAGCCUUAGCGUAGAUGAUCAUUUAUACGAUUUGCGUAAAACAAAAUAAGAUCUACAAACGAAUAGAAGCUAGAACGUACCUUGGCAUGCACACACAUUGCAAGCCAUACUAAGCUGACAAGUGUUAAUAACUUGUACAAUAUAUACAACACUUAAGACAAGUAAAAACAAUUUCACGAGUCAUGGUCUAUCAAAGCAAGCCACAUUACUAGUCUAAUCCAUCUUAACAGGUCACACAUGAUUAAAAUCUUGUUUGUGUGCAAGUCAAGCUUAUCUAGUUUACAUGUAACAACUUGUAGAACAUUACAAAAUUUAUGUUUGCUAAUAACUUCUAGAACACUACAACACUUGACAUGUAAAAGGAAUUUGAUGAGUCAUGGCCUACUAAAGCAAGUUAUAUUACUAGUCUUAUCUACCUUAACAGGCCACACAAGAUUACAAACUAAGUAACGUGCCAGCCAUGCUUAUCUAGUUUAUGCGCAACAAUUCGCAGAAAAUUACAAACUUAGUUUCAGAAAAUAGGUAAUCUAGAUUAGUGUUUGAGCUGUAAAGUAAAUAAGAUGAGUCAAGCGUGUUAUCACACGUUUUUGGUUGUGGAAUGAUAGUGCAAUAACAAGGAACUUUAAUGACCAGUCCAAGAAUACACUUGUAAGUAGUGCUACCGAACACAACAUACCAAAUUAUGAUUUUGAGAAGCAUCCAAGCACUUUCCACACAGGCAAAUGCCAAUUGUGAAAGAGAUCAUGCCAUGGUAGCUAUAAAUACGCUCGUAGCAUGAUGACCAUCCUUCCUCAUCCAUCAUUCUCAUAAGUAGAGUGCAUCAUUUAAGCCAAGCAAGCAGUGGUCAAUACAAAUCCAUCAUGAAGACCAUUCUCAUCCUUGCCCUCCUUACUAUCGUGGCGACCACCGCCACAACUGCAGUUAGAGUCCAAGUUCCACAAUUGUAGCCACAAAAUCCAUCUCAGCAACAGCCACAAGAGCAAGUUCCAUUGGUACAACAACAACAAUUUCCAGGGCAGCAACAACCAUUUCCACCACAACAGCCAUAUCCGCGGCCGCAACCAUUUUCAUCACAACAACCAUAUCUGCAGCUGCAACCAUUUCCGCAGCCGCAACUACCAUAUCCGCAGCCGCAACCAUUUCGACCACAACAACCAUAUCCACAACCGCAACCACAGUAUUAGCAACCACAACAACCAAUUUCGCAGCUGCAGCAGCAACAACAACAACAAUAGCAACAACAACAGCAACAAAAACAGCAGCAACAACAACAGCAGCAGCAACAACAACAACAACAGCAACAACACCAGCAACAACAGCACCAACAGCAGUAGCAGCAGCAGCAACAACAACAANNNNNNNNNNCAACAACAACAACAACAACAACAACAACAACAACAACAACAACAACAACAACAACAACAACAACAACAACAACAACAACAACAACAACAACAACAACAACAACAACAACAACAACAACAACAACAACAACAACAACAACAACAACAACAACAACAGCAGCAGCAGCAGCAGCAGCAGCAACAACAACAACAACAACAACAACAACAACAACAACAACAACAACAACAACAACAACAACAANNNNNNNNNNNNNNNNNNNNNNNNNNNNNNNNNNNNNNNNNNNNNNNNNNNNNNNNNNNNNNNNNNNNNNNNNNNNNNNNNNNNNNNNNNNNNNNNNNNNNNNNNNNNNNNNNNNNNNNNNNNNNNNNNNNNNNNNNNNNNNNNNNNNNNNNNNNNNNNNNNNNNNNNNNNNNNNNNNNNNNNNNNNNNNNNNNNNNNNNNNNNNNNNNNNNCAACAAUAACAACAACAAAUUUUGCAACAACAACAACAACAAAUUUUGCAACAACAACAACAACAACAAAUUUUGCAACAACAACUGAUUCCAUGCAGGGAUGUUGUAUUGCAACAACACAACAUAGCGCAUGGAAGCUCACAAGUUUUGCAACAAAGUACUUACCAGCUGGUGUAACAAUUGUGUUGUCAGCAGCUGUGGCAGAUUCCCGAGCAGUCGCGGUGCCAAGCCAUCCACAAUGUUGUUCAUGCUAUUAUUCUGCAUCAACAACAACAACAACCGUCGAGCCAGGUCUCCUUCCAACAGCCUCAACAACAAUAUCCAUCAGGCCAAGGCUCCUUCCAGCCAUCUCUGCAAAACCCACAGGCCCAUGGCUCUGUCCAGCCUCAACAACUGCCCCAGUUUGAGGAAAUAAGGAACCUAGCGCUACAGACGCUACCUGCAAUGUGCAAUGUCUACAUCCCUCCAUAUUGCACCAUUGCUCCAUUUGGCAUCUUCGGUACUAACUGAGAAGAGAAGAACUCUAGUACUAGAUAUAUGAAGCAUUGUUUUCUUAGUCCAUGGUUUGGUCGUUGUUGCUGUGAAAAAAUAAAGUGGCAUGCACUAUCAUGUAAGAACCCGAACUAUACUAGUUCAAACUUGGGAAUAAAAGACAAACACAAGUCUUGUCUACAUAUGAUUCUUUGUUUGAUUUCCAUUCAUGUGCGCAUUCACAAGUUCACCCCUAAUUAUAUAUAUAUGCAUUAAGUAGAUAUUUAUGUUGCAUUAAUCUAAAGAUAACAAAAUGACUCUAAAAUUUGAAUUAAAUUGAAGUAUUUCCUUGGAAUUUCAAAUGGAAUAUUAUUAAAGUAGUAAGGACUAUCCACAUCCUUGGCUUGCCCUUGAUCAAUUAUUUGCAGAGAAGCAUUCAAUUUGUCAAUCAACAUGAGUAUAUUCAUCGCGGCUACUCCAAAUCGGCAUGAAUGAGGUACCGGUGCUCUGGAGCACUACUAGCUAACUGCUUCUCAUGUGAAGGGGUGCGGGCGCGGGAGAGGUGUUUCUGGUGGGGCAGGGGAGUAUGAAGCGGCCGUGGCAGCGGUCCAGAUGCCCACAAAGACCCGUAGUUUGUUUUUGGUUUACAGGAAAGUGCACAUCCAGACCGGCCUGCGGGCCGAUAUAGGACCGUAUUGGAUGGCAAAACAUGUCCGGAUGGUUGCGAGUGGUUUGGGGGUUAGCUUUUGUAAUGCCCGGUUAGUUAUGCUAUAGUAAUUCCCUGCUAGUGAUGCCACGUCACCCUGAUUACUGUUGUUAACCUCACAAUUAUUCAAUCCCAUUCAAAUUCAAAUUUAAAAUAAAGGCAAACAUCAAAAGUUUUCAAACAUUAAAACUAAAAUCUUCGAGAGGUGAAAAAUAAUGCGUAAGUAAUUAUGCUGGAGAAACCACACUUUUACAAAAUGUUUAAAUACUAUAAAAUGAAUAAAACAGUGGCUUAAACUAUUAUUAAAAUGCUUUUAAAAUAGUAAAAAUGUUAUAACUAAAUUAAUUGGGUGCCAAACUUUUGGUGGCAGUGGUAUAUUUAGUAGAACUAAUUUAGAUGCUAAUUAUAUAAUUUACAAAAUUAAAGUAAAUUGAAAACAGGAUAAAACAGAAAAGGAGAGACAAAACAAAUAAAAGCAAAAGGGGGCAACUCCUCGCUGGGCCUCGGCCAAGCUGGCCACUGGGCUAGCUAGGCCGACCCAGCCGCCUACAUUAACCCACCACUCCCCAUCGAACCCUAGCCCGAUCUCCCCACUUCCCCCACACCCCCUUGAUGUCUACUACGCAACUUUAUUCUUAUAGACACGUGUUGGGCCUCCAAGCGCAGAGUUUUGUAGGAUAGUAGCAAUUUUCCCUCAAGUGGAUGACCUAAGGUUUAUAAAUCCGUGGGAGGCGUAGGAUGAAGAUGGUCUCUCUCAAACAACCCUGCAAUCAAAUACAAGAAAUCUCUUGUGUCCCUAACACACGCAAUACAAUGGCAAAUUGUAUAGGUGCACUAGUUCAGUGAAGAGAUGGUGAUAAAAGUGUAAUUUUGAUGGUAGAAAUAUAUUUUUAUAAUCUGAAUAAAUAAAAACAGCAAGUUGGGAAAUAGUAAAUGGGCACAAAAACGGUAUUGCAAUGCUUGAAACCAAGGCCUAGGGUCCGUAAUUUUGCUAGUGCAAUUUCUCAACAGUGCUAAUAUAGUUGGAUCAUAUGAUUAUCCCUCAAAGUGCAAUAAAGAAUCACUCCCGAGUUCCUAAUAGCGGAGAACAAAAGAUAGAAAUUGUUUGUAGGGUAUGAAACCACCUCAAAGCUUCGGUUCGAUCUGUUCAAGAUUUCGUACUAAAAUAACACAAAGCUAUUUUUUCCGUUCGAUCUGUCCUAGAGUUCGUACUAAAAUAACACCAAAGCAAAUUCAUAUUCAUAAUACACAAUCCACACAAAGAACUACAAAGAGACCCCAAAGUUUCUAUCGGAGAAAAGAUAAUAAAAACGUGCAUCAUCCCCUAUGCAUAGAUUACCCCAACAUCACCUUGGGAAACCGCAAGUUGAGUGCCAUAACAUAUAUCAAGUGAAUCAAUACGAUACCCCAAUGUCACCUCAAGUAUUCAUACCGCAAGACAUACAUCAUGUGUUCUCAUAUCUGAAUAUUCAAUCCGACAAGACAAAACUUCAAAGGCUAAAGAUUCAGAGUAUAGAGGGGAGAAACAUCAUAUGAUCCAUCUAUAUUAACAAAGCCCAUGAUAUAGAUCACGAGAGAGAGAUUAAACACAUAGCUACUGGUACAAACCCUCAGCCCCGAGGGUGGACUACUCCCUCCUCAUCGUGGUGGCCGCCAGGAUGACGAAGAUGGCCACCAAAGAUGAUUCCCCCCUCCGGCAGGGUGCCAUAAAGGGUCUAGAUUGGUUUUCGGUGGAUACAGAGCCUAGCGGCGGCGGAACUUCUGAUCUAGGUUAACCCCAAAGGGUUUCGGAAUAUUUGGGAAUUUAUAGUGCAAAGAGGGGGUGCGGGAGGCCACCGAGGUGGGCACAACCCACCUGGGCGCGCCAGGGGGCCCUGGCGCGCCCUGGUGGGUUGUGCCCCCCUCAUGCUUCUUCGGCCCACUGUUGGUCUUCUAGUCCAUAAAAAAUCUCCAUGAAGUUUCAUUGCAUUUGGACUCCGUUUAGUAUUGAUUUCCUGCGAUGUAAAAAACAAGCAAAAACGGCAACUGACACUGGGUCAAUAGGUUAGUCCCAAAAAAUGAUAUAAAGAUGCUAUAAAAUGAUUGUAAAACAUCCAAGAAUGAUAAAAUAACAGCAUGAAUACUUCAUAAAUUAUAGAUACGUUCGAGACGUAUCAGCAUCCCCAAGCUUAAUUCCUACUCGUCCUCGAGUAGGUAAAUGAUAAAAGAAAUAAUUUAUGAAGUGUGAAUGCUAGGAAAGUGCACAAGUUUGAUCAAUCACAAUUUCAAUCACUUUUCCUAGCAUCAUAACCGCGAUUCUUUCUUAUAAAACUUCUCAUGAUACAAUGGCAACCAAUUCACAUAUUAAGGUUCAAACAGUGAAUUCUCUUAAAACUCAACAACCUAUGUUCUUAGUCACCAAGCAAUUGCAAUUCAACUUAUUCAACGGAGUUUAAGUAAGAGCUCCACAUACUCAACCAUCUUAUAGUCUUCUAUGAUUGCUAACACUCACCGCAUACACAUGGGCAAAACGUUUCAACCGGACACAUAGAAAGAUAGGGGCUUAUUGUUUUUCCUCCCAACGUAUUCACCUCAAGGGUGAUGUCAACAAUAAUAACUCAUGCUACCCAUAUUCAACUGGACAUAUGUGCCUAGAUCUUUCCUCACCACAUGAUGCUUGCCAAAGGAGAAAAAUAGAAAGGAAUAGAGAGAAAAACUUUGACUCUUUGCAUAAAAGUAAAUACUGGAAAGUAAAAGAUAGGCCCUUCGCAGAGGGAAGCAGAGGUUGCCAUGCGCUUAUUUGUUUGUAUGCUCAACCCAUUAGUGAAAAAGAACGUCACGUUAUAUUGCCCCUUAUGAUAGCAACCUUUAUUAUGCAUUCUGUCGCUUUUAUUCUUUGCCAUCACAUGUUCGUACAAUGCUCAAUUUUCUCUUACACUAAAUGAUCUCACACUUUUAGAAGCAAUUUUUAUUGCCUUAUUGCACUGAUGACAACUUACUUGAAGAAUCUUAUUGAAUCCUUAGGUAGGUAUGGUGGACUCUUGAAAAUAAGAUUUGGGUUUAAGGGUUUUUGGAUGCACAAGUAGUAUCUCUACUUGGUGCGGAAUUUUUGGCUAGCAAAGAUGGGGGGCAAGCACCACAUGUUGAAGGAUCUAUGACAAUAUUACUUCUAUGUGAAUAUGAGCAAACAUAAAUCAUUAUGUUGUCUUCCUUGUCCAACGUCAACAAUUUUGGCAUAUAAUAUUUUGAUGGGGGCUCACAAUCACAAAAUAUUUCCAAGAUAGUGUGUUUGCAUGUGAAAGUUCUCUUCCUUAUACUAAUUAUUCGUGAAUUGAUUGUAUGACCAAAAUUUUGAUUGUCAAGCCUCAGAAGAUUUCACUUUCUAAACCCAAUGUGAAGCUACCACUAGGAAUGAUAUGAUUUCAUCUUCAUGACAUUCAAUUUAUUAAAAAAUUUACUCAUAGGAUAUAAGUGAAGCACAAGAGGAAUUCCAAAGAAAGAGCUUCGUUGACGGGAUGUGAAUGUCGCUUACUUAGCUUCCUUGGCAACUAUUUGAGGACUCUAUUUUUUUUAAAACUUUCAGAUCUAAGUAUUUUAUUAAAACAAUAAGGAAAACAAAAUAAAAUGACAUUCCAAGGAUAGCACAUAUCAUGUGAAGAAGCAAAAACUUAGGCUCAACCGAUACUAACCGAUAAUUGUUGAAGGAAAAAGGUGGGAUGCCUACUGGGGCAUCCCCAAGCUUAGAUGCUUGAGACUUCUUGAAAUAUUAUCUUGGGAUGACUUGGGCAUCCCCCAAGCUUGAGAUUUUGUGUCUCCUUAAUUUUUCUCAUAUCACGGUUUUCCUAAAUCUCAAAAGCUUCAUCCACACAAAACUCAACAAGAACUCAUGAGAUAAGUUAGUAUAGACCAAUGCAAAAGCCUUAUCAAUCUCUACUGUAGCAAAUCACUAAAAUUAUUAUUCAACAUUGCAUACUAAAUGCCUCUUCACAUUUAAUACUCCUAUCCUUAAAUAGAGUCAUUAAACAAGCAAACAUAUGCAAACAAUGCAAACAUAACAGCAAUCUGCCAAAACAGUAUAGUCUGUAAAGAAUGCAAGAGUAUCAAUACUUCCCUAACUCCAAAAAUUAUGAAAUUCUACCAUACUGUAGAGAAUUUAUCAGAUCUUAUUACGCAAAAAGUUUCAACAUUUUAUCACACUCUGACUUUUCUAGGGAAUUUUUGCAACAGCGGUAAACUUUCUGUUUUCAAACAGCAACAUGUAGACUUGUAAAAUAAGCAUAGUAAAGGUUAUCCUUGACAUUUUUAUUGAAAUAAAAGAUGCAAAACAUUAUUAUAAAUAAAAUAAAGCAAUUCCUAACAAAAAAACUUUACACUCCAAGCAAAACUCAUAUCAUGUGAAGAAUAAAAACAUAGCUCCAAGUGAGGUUACCGAUAAUGUUGGAGACGAAAGAGGGGAUGCCUUCCAGGGCAUCCCCAAUCUUAGUUGCUUGGAUAUUCCUUGAGUAUUAUUUUGGGGUGCCUUGGGCAUCCCCAUGCUUAGGGUCUUGACACUCCUUAUUCUCCUCAUAUCGAUAUCUCACCCAAAACUUGAAAACUUCAAUCACACAAAACUUAACAGAACUUCGUGAGAUAGGUUGGUAUAAUAAAGAGCAAACCAUUUCACUUUUGGUACUGUGAAAGACAAGAUUCAUAAUUUUUCUCACACAAUUCCUACUGUAGAAUAUCAUUUCCACAAUUUAUAUUGAGCAAUAUAAGCCAUAGAAACUAGAAAGCAAGCAAACUAUGCAUUGAAAACAGAAUCUGUCAAAAACAGAACAGUCUGUAAUAAUCUGGAUAACUGCCAUACUUCUUGUACUCCAAAAAUUAUGAAAAAAUUAGGACCACGUGAGAAAUUUGUAUAUUAAACUUCUGCAAAAAUAAUCAACUCAAAAUCACUCUUCUGUUAAAAAUGAGACUUAUUUUCAUGAGCGCAAAAGUUUCUGUUUUUCAGCAGGGUCAAAUCAACUAUCACCCAACAUGAUCCCAAAGGCUUUACUUGGCACUUUAUUGAAACAAAAGCUAUAAAAAUGAUCAAUGCAGUAGCAUAAUCAUGUUAACACACAAAAACCGUAAGUAAAAGUGUUGGGUUGUCUCCCAACAAGCGCUUUUCUUUAAUGCCUUUUAGCUAGGCAUGAUGAGUUCAAUGAUGCUCGCAUAAAAUUAAGAUAAGAAUUGAAACACAAAGAGAGCAUCAUGAAGAAUAUGACUAGCACAUUUAAGUCUAACCCACUUCCUAUUUAUUGGGAUUUUGUUAGCAAACAAUUUAUGGGAGCAAGAAUCAACUAGCAUAGGAAGGCAAAACAAGCAUAGCUUCAAAACUUUCAACAUAAAGAGAGGAAACUUGAUAUUAUUGAACCUAAUAGCAUAUGUUCCUCUCUCGUAAUAAUUUUCAGUAGCAUCAUGAAUGAAUUCAACAAUAUAAACAUCACAUAAAGCAUUCUUUUCAUGAUCCACAAGCAUAGAAAUUUUGUUACUCUCCACAUAAGAAAAUUUCUUCUCAUCAAUAGUAGUGCGAGCAAACUCAACAAAAUAACUCUCAUGUGAUUGGAAAUUAAAAUCAUGAUGACAAGUUUCAUGUUUAUAAUUAUUCAAUAUAGCAUAUAUGUCAUCACCAUAAUCAUCAUAUAUAGGAACUUUGUUGUCAUAAUCAAUUGCAACCUCCUCCAAAAUAGUGGAUUCAUCAUUAAAUAAAGUCACGACCUCUCCAAAUCCACUUUCAUCAAUAUAAUCAUCAUAAAUAGGAGGCAUGCAAUCAUCAUAAUAAAUUUUCUCAUUAAAACUUGGGGGACUAAAAAUAUCAUCUUCAGCAAACAUAGCAUCCCCAAGCUUAUGGCUUUGCAUAUCAUUAGCAUCAUGGAUAUUCAAAGAAUUCAUACUAACAACAUUGCAAUCAUGCUCAUCAUUCAAAUAUUUUGUGCCAAACAUUUUAUUGACUUCUUCUUAUAACAAUUGAGAACAAUUUUCCGAUCCAUCAUUUUCAAGAAAGAUAUUAUAAAGAUGAUCAAUAAUAUGAUGCAACCUCAAUUCCAUUUUUUAUGUAGUUUUCUUUUAUAAACCAAACUAGUGAUAAAACAAGAAAGUAAAAUAUUUAAUUGCAAGAUCUAAAGAUAUACCUUCAAGCACCCACCUCCCCGGCAAUGGUGUCAGAAAAGAGCUUGAUGUCUACUACGCAACUUUAUUCUUGUAGACACGUGUUGGGCCUCCAAGCGCAGAGUUUUGUAGGACAGUAGCAAUUUUCCCUCAAGUGUAUGACCUAAGGUUUAUCAAUCUGUGGGUGGCGUAGGAUGAAGAUGGUGUCUCUCAAACAACCCUGCAAUCAAAUACAAGAAAUCUCUUGUGUCCCCAACACACCCAAUAAAAUGGCAAAUUGUAUAGGUGCACUAGUUCGGCGAAGAUAUGGUGAUAAAAGUGUAAUUUUGAUGGUAGAAAUAUAUUUUUAUAAUCUGAAUAAAUAAAAACAGCAAGGUAGCAAAUUUUAAACGGGCACAAAAACGGUAUUGCAAUGCUUGAAAACAAGGCCUAGGGUCCGUAAUUUCGCUAGUGCAAUUUCUCAACAAUGCUAACAUAGUUGGAUCAUAUGAUUAUCCCUCAAAGUGCAAUAAAGAAUCACUCCCGAGUUCCUAAUAGCGGAGAACAAAAGAUAGAAAUUGUUUGUAGGGUACGAGACCACCUCAAAGCUUCCGUUCGAUCUAUUCAAGAGUUCAUACUAAAGUAACACAAAGCUAUUUUUCCGUUCGAUCUAUCCUAGAGUUCGUACUAAAAUAAGACCAAAGCAAAUUCAUAUUCAUAAUACUCAAUCCACACAAAGAACUACAAAGAGACCCCAAAGUUUCUAUCGGAGGAAAGAUGAUAAAAACGUGCAUCAUCCCCUAUGCAUAGAUUACCCCAACGUCACCUCGGGAAUCCGCAAGUUGAGUGCCAUAACAUAUAUCAAGUGAAUCAAUACGAUACCCCAUUGUCACCUCAAGUAUUCAUACCGCAAGACAUACAUCAUGUGUUCUCAUAUCUGAAUAUUCAAUUCGACAAGAAAAAACUUCAAAGGCUAAAGAUUCAAUUCAUCACAACAAGAGUAUAGAGGGGAGAAACAUCAUAUGAUCCAUCUAUAUUAACAAAGCCCAUGAUAUAGAUCACGAGAGAGAGAUUAAACACAUAGCUACUGGUACAAACCCUCAGCCCCGAGGGUGGACUACUCCCUCCUCAUCGUGGUGGCCGCCGAGAUGAUGAAGAUGGCCAUCAGAGAUGAUUCCCCCCCUCCGGCAGGGUGCCAGAAAGGGUCUAGAUUGGUUUUCGGUGGAUAAAGAGCCUUGCGGCGGCGAAACUUCUGAUCUAGGUUAACCCCGAAGGGUUUCGGAAUAUUUGGGAAUUUAUAGUGCAAAGAGGGGGUGCGGGAGGCCACCGAGGUGGGCACAACCCACCUGGGCGCCAGGGGGCCCUGGUGUGCCCUGGUGGGUUGUGCCCCCUCGGGGCACCCCUAGGUGCUUCUUCGGCCCACUGUUGGUCUUUCGGUCCAUAAAAAAUCUCCGUGAAGUUUCAUUGCAUUUGAACUCCGUUUGGUAUUGAUUUCCUGCGAUGUAAAAAACAAGCAAAAAACAGCAACUGGCACUGGGCACUGGGUCAAUAGGUUAGUCCCAAAAAAUGAUAUGAAGUUGCUAUAAAAUGAUUGUUAAACAUCCAAGAAUGAUAAAAUAACAGCAUGAAUACUUCCUAAAUUAUAGAUACGUUGGAGACGUAUCACCACUCGUUAGCCUCCCCACCUCUCGAUCCCAUCUGGAUCGGGGAGGUGAUCGCCCCCAUCAACCCCAUUACCGUCACCGGAUCGCUCGCUCGCCCAUUGCCCACCGGCGUCGCCGGGCCUCCUCCCCGCCCCCCCGUCUCUGGCUCGCCUCCCCCUCGCUCCUCUUCCCCGACCCGAUCUGGAUCCGGAAGGGGCAAUGAGCCUGACGCGCCCCCUUCACCGACGCCGUGUGCCACUACCGCCGCCCAAAGACCUCGCCGUCGCCGGACCUCGCGUCGCCUCCUCGUAUCCUUCCCCGACUCGCCUCCUCAAGCCACGCCGGACCCCUUCUCGGCAAUGUUGUGAGCCGCCCCCCGUUGCCUUCCUCCUCUUUCCACCGCGUUUACCGCGCCGCCAACCGUGCCCCUCGCCGCGCGCACGCCCACCACCACGCCAGCCCCCGCUUCGCACCCUCUCCUGCACGCUUGCGCGCGCAUUACCCUAGCCGUGCCCGUGGCACGAUCCCCUUGUUCGCCCCGCCUUCGUCCCGCGCUCGCCGCGGUCCCCUGCUACCUCUUGAGCACUGCGUUGGUUUUCCCUUGAAGAGGAAAGGGUGAUGCAGUAAAGUAGCGUAAGUAUUUCCCUCAGUUUUUGAGAACCAAGGUAUCAAUCCAGUAGGAGACCACGCACGAGUCCCCCGCACCUACACAAACAAACAAGAACCUCGCAACCAAUGCGAUAAAGGGGUUGUCAAUCCCUCAACGGUCACUUACGAGAGUGAGAUCUAAUAGAUAUGAUAAAAGAUAAUAUUUUUGGUAUUUUUAUGAUAAAGAUGCAAAGUAAAAUAGAAGGCAAUAAAAAUAGCUAAGUGUUGGAAGAUUUAUAUGAUGGAAAAUAGACCCGGGGCCAUAGGUUUCACUAGUGGCUUCUCUCGAGAGCAUAAGUAUUACGGUGGGUGAACAAAUUACUGUUGAGCAAUUGACAGAAUUGAGCAUAGUUAUGAGAAUAUCUAGGUAUGAUCAUGUAUAUAGGCAUGACGUCCGAGACAAGUAGACCGACUCCUGCCUGUAUCUACUACUAUUACUCCACACAUCGACCGCUAUCCAGCAUGCAUCUAGAGUAUUAAGUUCAAAAGAACAGAGUAACGCUUUAAGUAAGAUGACAUGAUGUAAAGGGAUAAACUCAUGCAAUAUGAUAUAAACCCCAUCUUGUUAUCCUCGAUGGCAACAAUACAAUACGUGCCUUGCCGCCCCUACUGUCACUGGGAAAGGACACCGCAAGAUUGAACCCAAAGCUAAGCACUCUCCCAUUGCAAGAAAGAUCAAUCUAGUAGGCCAAACCAAACUGAUAAUUCAAAGAGACUUGCAAAGAUAACCAAUCAUACAUAAAAUAAUUCAGAGAAAAUUCAAAUAUUGUUCAUAGAUAAACUUGAUCAUAAACCCACAAUUCAUCGGUCUCAACAAACAAACCGCAAAAGAAGAUUACAUCGAAUAGAUCUCCACGAGAAUCAUGGAGAACUUUGUAUUGAGAUCCAAAGAGAGAGAAGAAGCCAUCUAGCUAAUAACUAUGGACCCGAAGGUCUGAGGUAAACUACUCACACAUCAUCGGAGAGGCUAUGGUGUUGAUGUAGAAGCCCUCCGUGAUCAAUGCCCCCUCCGGCAGGACGCCGGAAAAGGCCCCAAGAUGGGAUCUCACNNNNNNNNNNNNNNNNNNNNNNNNNNNNNNNNNNNNNNNNNNNNNNNNNNNNNNNNNNNNNNNNNNNNNNNNNNNNNNNNNNNNNNNNNNNNNNNNNNNNNNNNNNNNNNNNNNNNNNNNNNNNNNNNNNNNNNNNNNNNNNNNNNNNNNNNNNNNNNNNNNNNNNNNNNNNNNNNNNNNNNNNNNNNNNNNNNNNNNNNNNNNNNNNNNNNNNNNNNNNNNNNNNNNNNNNNNNNNNNNNNNNNNNNNNNNNNNNNNNNNNNNNNNNNNNNNAAGUCCUUUGGAUCACGUUCGUUCCGAAAAUCACGUUCCCGAAGGUUUCAUUCCGUUUGGACUCCGUUUGAUAUUCUUUUUCUGCGAAACUCUGAAAUAGGCAAAAAACAACAAUUUGGGCCGGGCCUCCGGUUAAUAGGUUAGUCCCAAAAAUGAUAUAAAAGUGUAUAAUAAAGCCUGUUAAACAUCCAAAACAGAAUAUAAUAUAGCAUGAAGCAAUCAAAAAUUAUAGAUACGUUGGAGACGUAUCAAGCAUCCCCAAGCUUAAUUCCUGCUCGUCCUCGAGUAGGUAAAUGAUAAAAACAGAAUUUUUGAUGCGGAAUGCUACUUGGCAUAAUUUUCAAUGUAAUUCUCUUAUUUGUGGUAUGAAUGUUCAGAUCCGAAAGAUUCAAGACAAAAGUUUAAUAUUGACAUAAAAAUAAUAAUUCUUCAAGCAUACUAACUAAGCAAUUAUGUCUUCUCAAAAUAACAUGGCCAAAGAAAGUUAUCCCUACAAAAUAAUAUAGUCUGGCUAUGCUCUAUCUUCACCACACAACGUAUUUAAAUCAUGCACAACCCCGAUGACAAGCCAAGCAAUUGUUUCAUACUUUUGGUGUUCUCAAACUUUUUCAAUCUUCACGCAAUACAUGAGCGUGAGCCAUGGACAUAGCACUAUAUGUGGAAUAGAAUGGUGGUUGUGGAGAAGACAAAAAGAGGGAGAAGAUAGUCUCACAUCAACUAGGCGUAUCAACGGGCUAUGGAGAUGCCCAUUAAUAGAUAUCAAUGUGAGUGAGUAGGGAUUGCCAUGCAAUGGAUGCACUAGAGCUAUAAGUAUAUGAAAGCUCAACAAAAGAAACUAUGUGGGUGUGCAUCCAACUCGCUUGCUCACGCAGACCUAGGGCAUUUUGAGGAAGCUCAUCAUUGGAAUAUACAAGCCAAGUUCUAUAAUGAAAAAUUCCCACUAGUAUAUGAAAGUGAUAUCAUAGGAGACUCUCUAUCAUGAAGAUCAUGGUGCUACUUUGAAGCACAAGUGUGGUAAAAGGAUAGUAACAUUGUCCCUUCUCUCUUUUUCUCUCAUUUUUUAGCUGGGCCUUUUCUCCUUUUUUAUGGCCUCUUUUUUUUAGUCCGAAGUCUCAUCCCGACUUAUGGGGGAAUCAUAGUCUCCAUCAUCCUUUCCUCACUUGGGACAAUGCUCUAAAAAUGAUGAUCAUUACACUUUUAUUUACUUACAACUCAACAAUUACAACUUAAUACUUAGAACAAAAUAUGACUCUAUGUGAAUGCCUCCGGCGGUGUACCGGGAUAUGCAAUGAAUCAAGAGUGACAUGUAUGAAAGAAUUAUGAAUGGUGGCUUUGCCACAAAUACGAUGUCAACUACAUGAUCAUGCGAGGCAAUAUGACAAUGAUGGAGCGUGUCAUAGUAAACGGAACGGUGGUAAGUUGCAUGGCAAUAUAUCUCGGAAUGGCUAUGGAAAUGCCAUGAUAGGUAGCUAUGGUGGCUGUUUUGAGGAAGGUAUAUGGUGGGUGUAUGAUACCGGUGAAAAGUGCGCGGUAUUAGAGAGGCUAGCAAUGGUGGAAGGAAGAAAAAUGUGUAUAAUCCAUGGACUCAACAUUAGUCAUAAAGAACUCAUAUACUUAUUGCAAAAAUCUACAAGUUAUCAAAGAAAAGUAUUACGCGCAUGCUCCUAGGGGGAUAGAUUGGUAGGAAAAUACCAUCGCUCGUCCCCGACCGCCACUCAUAAGGAAGAAAAUCAAUAAAUAAAUCAUUCUCCGACUUCAUCACAUAACGGUUCACCAUACGUGCAUGCAACGGGAAUCACAAACUUUAACACAAUUAUUUCUCAAAUCCACACCUACUCAACUAGCAUGACUCUAAUAUCACUAUCUUCAUAUCUCAAAACAAUUAUCAAGCAUCAAACUUCUCAUAGUAUUCAACACACUCAUAAGAAACUUUUUGUUAAUCUCGAAUGCCUAUCAUAAUUAAAGCAAAUUACCACGCUGUUUUGUAGGACUCUCAAAAUAAUAUAAGUGAAGCAUGAGAGAACAAUAGUUUCUAUAAAACAAAUCCACCACCGUGCUCUAAAAGAUAUAAGUGAAGCACUAGAGCAAAAACUAUAUAGCUCAAAAGAUAUAAGUGAAGCACAUAGAGUAUUCUAACAAAUUCCGAAUCAUGUGUGUCUCUCUCAAAAGGUGUGUGCAGAAAGGAUGAUUGUGGCAAACUAACAAAUAAAGACUCAAAUAAUACGAGACGCUCCAAGCAAAACACAUAUCACGUGGUGAAUAAAAAUAUAGCUCCAAGUAAAGUUACCGAUGGAAGUAGACGAAAGAGGGGAUGCCUUCCGGGGCAUCCCCAUGCUUUGGCUUUUUGGUAUCCUUAGAUUAUCUUGGGGUGCCAUGGGCAUCCCCAAGCUUAGGCUCUUUCCACUCCUUGUUCCAUAAUCCAUCAAAUCUUCCACCCAAAACUUGAAAACUUCACAACACAACACUUAACAAAAAAUCUCGUGAGCUCCGUUAGCGAAAGAAAACAAAACACCACUUCAAGGUACUGUAAUGAACUCAUUAUUUAUUUAUAUUGGUGUUAAACCUACUGUAUUCCAACUUCUCUAUGGUUUAUAAACUAUUUUAUUAGCCAUAGAUUCAUCAAAAUAAGCAAAGAACACACGAAAAACAGAAUCUGUCAAAAACAGAACAGUCUGUAGUAAUCUGUAACUAACGCAAACUUCUGGAACUCAAAAAGUUCAGCCAAAAUAGGACAACCUAUACCAUUUGUUUAUUGAUCAGAAGCACUUGGAAUCAAUAUUUUAUCUCGUUCCGGUGAUUUUUAACAAUUGUUUUCGUGAACAGAAAGUUUCUGGAAUUUUCAGCAAGAUCAAAUAACUAUCAUCCAAGAAGAUCCUAUAGGUUUAACUUGGCACAAACACUAAUUAAAACAUAAAAACAAAUCUAACCAUAGGUUAGAUCAAAGAUUUAUUCCUAAACAGAAGAAAAAAGUAAAAAACUAAAAAUAAAAUUGGGUUGCCUCCCAACAAGCGCUAUCGUUUAACGCCCCUAGCUAGGCAUAAAAGCAAGGAUAGAUCUAGGUAUUGCCAUCUAUGGUAGGAAAUUCUUCAAUAAGACACCUAUCACCCUUAGGAGUUUCUUUCUUUCUAUUAAUUAUCAAACUUCUAGGCACAAAAUCGAAAAAAGCAUUUGCAGCAAAUGGUUCCUUAAUGAUAGCAAGGAGAUUGGGAUGAACACUUAUUGAUUUGAGAUCCGCAGUUUCCUUAUUAGAGGAUUCACCCUUAUUUUUAGGAACAUACAUAAGCUUAGCAAUUUUAGUAGGAGGACUUGGGGUAUUCUUUACGGAAGAAAAGGCGGUUCCCAAGUUGGUAAUGAUACCCUCAAGUUUUUCUUCAUAAGAUUGCAUCAAAGCAUCAACGAUAUGUUUAGUAAAAGCUUUAUUUUGACUAUAAGCAUGUGGAGAAUUUAUCACGGAUUGCAACAAGGAAAUACAAUCUAUCAAAGAGCAAUUAUCAUAAUUAAAUUCCUCGAAAUCCAAAAUAGUGGGUUCAUUAAUAUCUAGAGUUUUGAUCUCUUCAAUCCCACUUUUACCAAUUUUUGCAUCAAGAUCUAUCAACUCCGAAUUUUUGGAACGCCUUCUAGGUAAAGGUGGAUCAUAUUCAGUCCCAUCAUUAUCAAGAUUAAUAUUGAAAAACAAAGAUUUAAUAGGGGACACAUCAAUAACUUUUAGAUCUUCAUCUUUAUUUUCAUAGAAACUAGAAGAACACGCUUUCACAAAGCAAUCUUUCUUAGCACGCAUCCUAGCGGUUCUUUCUUUGCACUCAUCAAUGGAAAUUCUCAUGGAUUUGAGAGACUCAUUGAUAUCAUGCUUAGGAGGAAUAGAUCUAAGUUUCAAGGAAUCAACAUCAAGAGAAAUUCUAUCAACGUUUCUAGCCAAUUCAUCAACUUUAAGCAAUUUUUCUUCAAGCAAAGCAUUGAAAUUCUUUUGCGAAUUCAUAAAUUCUUUAACACUAGUCUCAAAUUAAGAGGGCAUCUUAUUUAAAUUUCCAUAAGAAUUGUUGUAGGAAUUACCAUAAUUAUUAGAGGAAUUACUAUGGUACGGCCUAGGAUUAAAGUUUCCUCUAUACGCGUUGAUACCAAAAUUAUUCCUACCAACAAAAUUCACAUCCAUAGAUUCAUUAUUAUUCUCAAUCAAAGUAGACAAAGGCAUAUCAUUAGGAUCAGAAAGAAACACUUUUAUUAGCAAAUAAUUUCAUAAGUUCAUCCAUCUUUCCACUCAAAACAUUAAUUUCUUCUAUCGCAUGCACUUUCUUAUUAGUAGAUCUUUCAGUGUGCCAUUGAGAAUAAUUAACCAUAAUAUUAUCUAGGAGUUUAGUAGCUUCUCCUAAAGUGAUUUCCAUAAAAGUGCCUCCCGCGGCCGAAUCUAAAAGAUUUCUAGAAGCAAAAUUCAAUCCGGCAUAAUUUUUUUGUAUAAUCAUCCACAGAUUCAAACCAUCGGUAGGGCAAUUACGCAUCAUUAAUGAUUUUAGCCGGAGGAAAAUACUUAGAAUUCAUACAAAACUUAGAGAUAAAAUUCAUAAUAUCGUUUCUAAGAGAGAUGAUUUUAGCCGGAGGAAAAUACUUACAGAUAAAAGCAUCUUUGCACUUAUUCCAAGAAUCAAUACUAUUUUUAGGCAAAGACGAAAACCAAGAUUUAGCACGAUCUCUAAGCGAAAAAGGAAAUAGCUUCAAUUUAACAAUAUCAUUGUCCACAUCUUUCUUCUUUUGCACAUCACACAAAUCAACGAAGCUAUUUAGAUGGGUAGCGGCAUCUUCACUAGGAAGGCCAGCGAAUUGAUCUUUCAUGACAAGAUUCAACAAAGCAGCAUUGAUUCCACAAGACUCAGUAUCGGUAAGAGGAGCAAUCGGAGUGCUAAGAAAAUCAUUGUUGUUGGUAUUGGUAAAGUCACACAAUUUAGUAUUAUCUUGAGCCAUCGUGACAAGCAAGCAAUCCAACAAACGAGCAAACAAGAAGCAAGCGAAAAAGAGGCGAAUGGAAAAGAGAGGGCGAAUAAAACAGCAAGGGUAAAGUGGGGGAGAGGAAAACGAGAGGCAAAUGGCAAAUAAUGUAAUGCGAGGGAGAUGAGUUUGUGAUGGGUACUUGGUAUGUCUUGACUUGACUUGACUUGGCGUAGAUCUCCCCGGCAACGGCGCCAGAAAUCCUUCUUGCUACCUCUUGAGCACUGCGUUGGUUUUGCCUUGAAGAGGAAAGGGUGAUGCAGUAAAGUAGCAUAAGUAUUUCCCUCAGUUUUUGAGAAUCAAGGUAUCAAUCCAGUAAGCGACCACUGUCACGCCCAAGAUGCGACCCUAUCCUAAAGUAACUUGAAGGUCCCACCAAGGAUAGAAGUGCAUCUUGAAGACGCUUUUGCAAGGUGGAUAUCAUUACAUCGACAUUACAUAAUAGAUGGGGAUACAUACAAGGCAAACAAAUGUCGCAAGAAUACAUCAAUAGAUCAUGAUCAACAUCCGACUACGGAUGAAACACAAACAGAAACUCAAACGACAUCCACCCUGCUAGCCCAGGCUGCCGACCAGGAACCUAACCCAAGAUCGGCGAAGAAGAAGAAGAACUCCAACACAAGCAAUCGAGCAUCGCUCUCACGUCAUGAGCAUCACACAACCUGUACCUGCAACUGUUGGUGUAGUAAUCUGUGAGCCACGAGGACUCAGCAAUCCCAUUACCAUGGGUACCAAGACUAGCAAAGCUUAAUGGGUAAGGAAGGGGUAAAGUGGUGAGGUUGCAGCACCGGCUAAGCAAAGUAUGGUGGCUAACUUACAAAACAAGAGCGAGAAGAGGAGCUAAGCAAACGGUCGCCAACUAGUAAUGAUCAAGAAGUGAUCCUGAACUCCUACUUACGUCAAACAUAACACAAACCGUGUGCUCCUCCCGAACUUCCUCGAAAAGAGACAAUCACGGGUACCCACGCGGUUAGUGUAUUUUAGAAGAGUUUACUUCAAGUUUACUACAACCGGAUAUUAACAAAUUCCCAUCUGCCACAUAACCGCGGGCACGGCUCUCGAAAGUUUAUACCCUGCAGGGGUGUCCCAACUUAGCCCAUCACAAGCUCUCACGAUCAACGAAGGAUAUUCCUUCUCCCGGGAAGACCCGAUCAGACUCGGAAUCCCGGUUACAAGACAUUUCGACAAUGGUAAAACAAGACCAGCAAGACCGCCCGAACGUGCCGACAAAUCCCGAUAGGAGCUGCACAUAUCUCGUUCUCAGGGCACAUCCGGAUGAGACAUCCUACGAGUGAAACCAGCCCUCAAGUUUCCCCAAGGUGGCCCCGCAGUCUACUCAGCUCGGACCAGCACUUAGAGGAGCACUGGCCCGAGGGGGGGGGGCUAAAAUAAAGAUGACCCUCAGGCUCCGGAAACCCAAGGGAAAAAUUCUUAGGUGAGGCAAAUGGUAAAACCAAUGUUGGGCCUUGCUGGAGGAGUUUAUUCAAGGCGAACUGUCAAGGGGUUCCCAUAACACCCAACCGCGUUAGGGACGAAAAAUCCGGGAACAUAAUACCGAUAUGACGGAAACUAGGGCGGCAAGAGUGGAACAAAACACCAGGCAUAAGGCCGAGCCUUCCACCUUUUACCAAGUAUAUUGAUGCAUUAAUAAUAUAAGAGAUAUUGUGACAUCCCAACAUAAACAUAUUACCACAUGGAGCAAUCUUCAUCUUCACCUGCAACUAGCAACGCUAUAAGAGAGGCUGAGCAAAUGCGGUAACAUAGCCAAACAACGGUUUGCUAGGAAGGGUGACAAAGGUUAGAGAUUCAAGGCAAUUUGGGAGGCUUGAUAAGCAAGUGGUAGGUAACGCGGCAUAACGCUAGCAUCGAGGCACCUAGCAUAGCAAUGAUAGUAAUGAGAUCCAAGGUGACGGUAAUCUUGCCUGAAAUCCCGCUAGGAAGAAGAACGGCUCCAUGAAGAAGAUGAAGCCACGAAGACGAACCAAGCGUAGACGAACAAAUCCUCACGAUCGCAACAAAACGGGAACUAUCGAGAAGAAGCACACAACAUGGUAAACACACCACACAUGAACAAGGCAUGAUGCUCAAUCAAGUAUGAUGCAUGGCAAGGCUACAUGAGGCUACGCAUGGCAAGAGAUGAUGCAUACAAGAGCAACACAUCAAAGCAAGUUUAAAUGAGGCCGGAAACAACAUAUAACAAUUCCGGUAAGUCCUAUGCAAAUUUUGAAAUUGGUCCAGAUCUGAAUAAACCUUAUGUUCAAGUUGUUAAACAGCAGUCUACUCGGUUCGGACCAGCACUGGCCCCGGUGGGGGGGGGGCUAAAAUAAAGAUGACCCUCGGGCUCCGGAAACCCAAGGGAAAAAGGCUUAGGUGAGGCAAAUGGUAAAACCAAUGUUGGGCCUUGCUGGAGGAGUUUUAUUCAAGGCGAACUGUCAAGGGGUUCCCAUAAAACCCAACCGCGUUAGGGACGCAAAAUCCGGGAACAUAAUACCGAUAUGACGGAAACUAGGGCGGCAAGAGUGGAACAAAACACCAGGCAUAAGGCCGAGCCUUCCAACUUUUGCCAAGUAUAUAGAUGCAUUAAUAAUAUAAGAGAUAUUGUGAUAUCCCAACAUAAACAUAUUACCACAUGGAGCAAUCUUCAUCUUCACCUGCAACUAGCAACGCUAUAAGAGAGGCUGAGCAAAUGCGGUAACAUAACAACGGUUUGCUAGGAAGGGUGACAAAGGUUAGAGGUUCAUGGCAAUUUGGGAGGCUUGAUAAGCAAGUGGUAGGUAAAGCGGCAUAGCGAUAGCAUCGAGGCAACUAGCAUAGCAAUGAUAGUAAUGAGAUCCAAGGUGACGGUAAUAUUGCCUUAAAUCCCGCUAGGAAGAAGAACGGGUCCAUGAAGAAGAUGAAGCCACGACGACGAAUAAACGGAAGACACCUGGCGCAUCCCAUUCCGAGAACAUUCAAAUGCCACUCACGAAACGAGGUCUGAGAGGGGCAACGGGUGCGUGUGGGAGUGUCGGAACGCGAAACGGACAACGGGGAAAAAGACUGGAUGCAAGCUUUGAAAACAUGAGGAUGCAAUGCAGAUGAUGACAUGACAAAAUGCAACACGCAAGCAAAUGACAUGGAAACGACGAUGAAUAAACGGAAGACACCUGGCGCAUCGGAUUCGGGGCGUUACAACCACGCAUGAGUCCCUCGCACCUACACAAACAAACAAGAACCUCGCAACCAACGUGAUAAAGGGGUUGUCAAUCCCUCAACGGUCACUUACGAGAGUGAGAUCUGAUAGAUAUGAUAAGAUAAUAUUUUUGGUAUUUUUAUGAUAAUGAUGCAAAGUAAAAUAAAAGGCAAUAAAAAUAGCGAAGUGUUGGAAGAUUUAUAUGAUGGAAAAUAGACCCGGGGGCCAUAGGUUUCACUAGUGGCUUCUCUCGAGAGCAUAAGUAUUAUGGUGGGUGAACAAAUUACUGUUGAGCAAUUGACAGAAUUGAGCAUAGUUAUGAGAAUAUCUAGGUAUGAUCAUGUAUAUAGGCAUCACGUCCGAGACAAGUAGACCGACUCCUGCCUGCAUCUACUACUAUUACUCCACACAUCGACCGCUAUCCAGCAUGCAUCUACAGUAUUAAGUUCAAAAGAACAGAGUAACGCUUUAAGUAAGAUGACAUGAUGUAGAGGGAUAAACUCAUGCAAUGUGAUAUAAACCCCAUCUUGUUAUCCUUGAUGGCAACAAUACAAUACGUGCCUUGCUGCCCCUACUGUCACUUGGAAAGGACACCGCAAGAUUGAACCCAAAGCUAAGCACUUCUCCCAUUGCAAGAAAGAUCAAUCUAGUAGGCCAAACCAAACUGAUAAUUCGAAGAGACUUGCAAAGAUAACCAAUCAUACAUAAAAGAAUUCAGAGAAGAUUCAAAUAUUGUUCAUAGAUAAACUUGAUCAUAAACCCACAAUUCAUCGGUCUCAACAAACAGACCGCAAAAGAGGAUUACAUCGAAUAGAUCUCCACGAGAAUCGCGGAGAACAUUGUAUUGAGAUCCAAAGAGAGAGAAGAAGCCAUCUAGCUAAUAACUAUGGACUCGAAGGUCUGAGGUAAACUACUCACACAUCAUCGGAGAGGCUAUGGUGUUGAUGUAGAAUCCCUCCGUGAUCAAUGCCCCCUCCGGCAGGACGCCGGAAAAGGCCCCAAGAUGGGAUCUCACGGGUACAGAAGGUUCCGGCGGUGGAAUUAGGUUUUCGUGGAUGCUUCUGUUGGUUUGGGGGUACGUGGGAUAUAUAGGAGUAAGAAGUACGUCGGUGGAGCAACAUGGCCCCCACGAGGGUNNNNNNNNNNNNNNNNNNNNNNNNNNNNNNNNNNNNNNNNNNNNNNNNNNNNNNNNNNNNNNNNNNNNNNNNNNNNNNNNNNNNNNNNNNNNNNNNNNNNNNNNNNNNNNNNNNNNNNNNNNNNNNNNNNNNNNNNNNNNNNNNNNNNNNNNNNNNNNNNNNNNNNNNNNNNNNNNNNNNNNNNNNNNNNNNNNNNNNNNCCCCUACCUCGUGCCCUCCUCGUAGCUUUCUUGACAUAGGGUCCAAGUCCUCUGGAUCACGUUCGUUCCGAAAAUCACGUUCCCGAAGGUUUCAUUCCGUUUGGACUCCGUUUGAUAUUCUUUUUCUGCGAAACUCUGAAAUAGGCAAAAAACAUCAAUUUGGGCUGGGCCUCCGGUUAAUAGGUUAGUUCCAAAAAUGAUAUAAAAGUGUAUAAUAAAGCCAGUUAAACAUCCAAAAUAGAAUAUAAUAUAGCAUGAAGCAAUAAAAAAUUAUAGAUACGUUGGAGACGUAUCAUCCCCAUGCCCCCCGCGCACUCUUUCGGGGGCGCCGGCUGCCCCUGUCCCGCUGCUCACCGUCGCGCUGAAGGAAAUAUGCCCUAGAGGCAAUAAUAAAUUUAUUUUUUAUUUCCUUAUUUCAUGAUAAAUGUUUAUUAUUCAUGCUAGAAUUGUAUUAACCGGAAACUUAGUACAUGUGUGAAUACAUAGACAAACAGAGUGUCACUAGUAUGCCUCUACUUAACUAGCUCGUUGAAUCAAAGAUGGUUAAGUUUCCUAGCCAUAGACAUGAGUUGUCAUUUGAUUAACGGGAUCACAUCAUUAGAGAAUGAUGUGAUUGAAUUGACCCAUUCCGUAAGCUUAGCACUUGAUCAUUUAGUAUGUUGCUAUUGCUUUCUUCAUGACUUAUACAUGUUCCUAUGACUAUGAGAUUAUGCAACUCCCAAGUAACGGAGGAACACUUAGUGUGCUACCAAACAUCACAACGUAACUGGGUGAUUAUAAAGAUGCUCUACACGUGUCUCCGAUGGUACUUGUUGAGUUGGCAUAGAUCGAGAUUAGGAUUUGUCACUCCAAUUAUCGGAGAGGUAUCUCUGGGCCCUCUCGGUAAUGCACAUCACUAUAAGCCUUGCAAGCAAUGUGACUGAUGAGUUAGUUGCGGAAUGAUGCAUUACAGAACGAGUAAAGAGACUUGCCGGUAAUGAGAUUGAACUAGGUAUUGAGAUACCGACGAUCGAAUCUCGGGCAAGUAACAUACCGAUGACAAAGGGAACAACGUAUGUUGUUAUGCGGUUUGACCGAUAAAGAUCUUAGUUGAAUAUGUAGGAACAAAUAUGAGCAUCCAGGUUCCGCUAUUGGUUAUUGACCGGAGAUGAGUCUCGGUCAUGUCUACAUAGUUCUCGAACCCGUAGGGUCUGCACGCUUAACGUUCUGUGAUUAUCGGUAUUAUGAGUUUAUGUGUUUUGAUGUACCGAAGGUUGUUCGGAGUCCCGGAUGUGAUCAAGGACAUGACGAGGAGUCUCGAAAUGGUCGAGACAUAAAGAUCGAUAUAUUGGAUGGCUAUGUUUGGACAUCGGAAUGGUUCCGGUGAGUUCGGGCAUUUACCGGAGUACCGGGCGGUAACCAGAACCCCCCGGGGAGUGUAUGGGCCUUAUUGGGCCUUAGUGGGAGAGAGGAGGAGGCGGCCUAGGAGGGGGCGCACCCCCCAAGCCCAAUCUGAAUUGGGAGGGGGGCCGGCCCCCCUUUCCUUCCUCCCUCUCUCCUCCUUCCUUCCUCUCCUACUCCUACUUGGAAGGGGGGAAUCCUACUCCCGGUGGGAGUAGGACUCCCCUAGGGCGCGCCAUAGAGAGGGCCGGCCCUCCCCCUCCACUCCUUUAUAUACGGGGGAGGGGGGCACCCCAUAGGCACACAAGUUGAUCAUUGUCUUAGCCGUCUGCGGUGCCCCCCUCCACCAUAAUCCACCUCGGUCAUAUCAUCGUAGUGCUUAGGCGAAGCCCUGCACCUGUAGCUUCAUCAUCACCGUCAUCACGUUGUCGUGCUGAUGAAGCUCUCCCUCGACACUCAGCUGGAUCGAGAGUUCGUGGGACGUCACUGAGAUGAACGUGUGCAGAUCGUGGAGGUGUCGUACUUUCGGUACUAGGAUCGGUCGGAUCGUGAAGACGUACGAUUACAUCAACUGCUUUGUCACAACGCUUCCGCUUACGGUCUACGAGGGUACGUGGACUACACUCUCCCCUCUCGUUGCUAUGCAUCACCAUGAUAGAUCUUGUGUGUGCGUAGGAUUUUUUUGAAAUUACUGCGUUCCCCAACACGCGCCUCCCCUGCCCGUGCCUCGCCACCGCUCUGCUGCUACGCUACUACUGCGUUGUGGCUGCCGCCGCUUCCCGCUGCUCCGCCAGCGCCGUAGUUCCCGGUUGGCUCCGCCNNNNNNNNNNNNNNNNNNNNNNNNNNNNNNNNNNNNNNNNNNNNNNNNNNNNNNNNNNNNNNNNNNNNNNNNNNNNNNNNNNNNNNNNNNNNNNNNNNNNNNNNNNNNNNNNNNNNNNNNNNNNNNNNNNNNNNNNNNNNNNNNNNNNNNNNNNNNNNNNNNNNNNNNNNNNNNNNNNNNNNNNNNNNNNNNNNNNNNNNNNNNNNNNNNNNNNNNNNNNNNNNNNNNNNNNNNNNNNNNNNNNNNNNNNNNNNNNNNNNNNNNNNNNNNNNNNNNNNNNNNNNNNUAACCAUUUAAUAAAUUAAAACUCUUAAAUUAACAUUAGUGUAUGACAUGUGGGUCCCCUAUUAAUUAAACUGAUUUAAUUAAUUUCUAUUAACUUUGAGUCUAUGACAUAUUGGCCCCACUGAACAUUUGACUAGUCAACGGUCCAGUCAAAUGCUGACCGGACAGUUGACCAGAGGGCCCCACCAGUCAGCCUCUGUGCUGUUCUGCUGGGUACCUUUCUGAGUACACCUAGCAUUUCGCAUUUACAAUAUAUGUUUUAAAAUAAAUUAGAAUAAUUUAAAAAAAUGAUUAAAACUUUUAAAAUUAAAAUAAAAUAAUCCGUAACUCGGAUGAAAUUACUUUAUACAUGGAAGUUGCUCAAAAAACGAGACGAAUACGAAUACACAGUCCGUUCGUCUGGCACACGUCCCUAGCAUAGCGAAAAUGCAACCACCCCCCUCCGGUUCGACUGUCCGAAAAUGUCAAACACCGGGAAUAAGUUUCCGGAUGUUUCUCCCUUCACCAGUAGCACCUAGUACCAUGUGAGGGCAUACCUAGCACCACUUAUUGUCAUGUCAUGCAUCGUCAAGCAUCUGUUUGCAUUGUAUUCAUUGUUUCUUCCUCCUCUUCUCUCCGGUAGACUACGAGACCGACGCCGCUGCUGCCCCGGUCGACUAUGGUGUUGACGACCCCUCCUUGUCAGCAGAGCUUCCAGGCAAGCAAACCCCCUUGAUCAUCCCAAUAUUGCCUACUCUUUCCCUCUACUGCUUGCAUUAGAGUAUUGUUACUGUUUGUCAGUUUGAUCCUAUACUGCUGCAUGGCCUGUCUUUGAUACUACUUUUGAUACCUUUACCUGCAAUCCUAAAUGCUUAGUGUAGGAUGCUAGUACUUCAUCAAUGGACCUACAUUCUUGUCCGUCUGCCAUGCUAUACUGUCGGGCCGUGAUCACUUCGGGAGGUGAUCAAGAGUAUAUACUAUAUACAUAUUAUACUUGACACAUGAUGUGACUAAAAUCGGGUCGGCACGUAGAGUACCCACGAGUGAUUCAUGACCUAGGGGCUGAAGGGGCAUGUGGUUCCAUCCAGGUUGUGAUGGGCCUGGGUUCCCGACGCCCCCCCCACCCCGAGUGAUUCUUUGUGGCGGAGCGACAGGGCAGGUUGUGACCACCUAGGAGAUAGGUGGGCCUGGUCCUGGUCGGCGUCCGUGGUUACUUCAAAAUAAUACGCUUAACGAGGUUGGGUAUUUGAUCUGAGUUGGUCGUUGGCCUUAUUCGCACUAACCGCCACGUGGGACAAGAUAUGGGCAACCAGUGUCGUAGUAUCAGCCAAAGCUCUUCAGACGUCAGUGACUGAGUGGUGCGCGCCGGGUUGGACCGCGUAAUGCAUCCUCCUUUGUAAUGGAGGUUCCUAGCUCUGCUCACCGACGAUGUUCGCAACAUGCAGGAGUGCAACGGGCGAUGGGCCCAAGACCCCUGCGCGCUUAGGAUUUAGAUCGGCGUACUGACCUCUCUGUUGGGCCUAGGUAGGGUUGCGACGUGUUGAUCUUCCGAGGCCGUACGUGACCCAGGAAAGUGUGCCCAGCCAGAGCGAUCGAGCAUUUUCGGGUAAUGUGGUGCACCCCUGGAGGGAAGAUUGAUCUAUUCGGAUAGCCGUGUCCACGGUAACAGGAAGACUUGGAGUUGCAUUUCGACCUCAUGACAACUAGAGCCGGAUACUUAAUAAAACUCACCCAGAUAUGUUCCAGAUACAACCCGGUGAUCGCUCUCUCACAGGGUGACGAGGAGAGGAUCGUCGGGUAGGUUUAUGCUAUACGAUGUUACUUGGUUAACUUACUAGCUACUCUCUUCUAUAUGCUUCAAGAUGGAGGCUGCAGAAGCGUAGUGUUUGAUAGGACUAGCUUCUCCCCCUCUUAUUCUGAAAUUCUGCAGCUCAGUCCACAUAUACUACCCAUUUCAUUGAUACCGAUGCAUAUGUAGUGUAGAUCCUUGCUUGCGAGUAUUUUGGAUGCGUACUCACGGUUGCUUUGCUCCCACUUUUCCCCAUUUUCCAUUCUUCUCGGACGUCACAACCAGAUGCUAGUGCCUCAGAGCCAUACGCCACCUUCGACGACUCCUACUACACCGAGGGUGCCUACUACUACGUGCAGGCCACUGACGACCAGGAGUAGUUUAGGAGGAUCCCAGGCAGGAGGCGUGCGCCUCUUCGAUCUUUAUCCAUGUUUGUGCUAGCCAUCUUAUGGCAACUUGGUUAACUUAUGUCUGUACUUAGAUAUUUUUGCUUUGGCUGACUUGUCUGUGACAAGCUUAUGUAUUCGAGCACUCGAGGCCCCUGGCUUGUAAUAUAAAGCUUGUAUUAUUUUAUUCAUGUCUAGAGUUGUGUUGUGAUAUCUUCCCGUGACUCCUUGAUCUUGAUCGUACACAUUUGCGUGUAUGAUUAGUGCAUGAUUGAAUCGAGGGUGCCACAGCUUUGGAGAUACCCCUUACUUGGCCCCUCGCUCCGAAAACACGUUUGACGAUAGUUUUCUCUCGGAUCAAAUAUAUGUCAAGUUUAACAAAGUUUAUAUGAAUUAUUUUAUCAUAUCUAUAGUACCAUACAAAUAUACCAUAGAAAAAAAACAUAUUUCAUGCUGCACCAUGAAUUGGUCCGGUAAAUGUCGGGUAUGGAGACUCUAUUCUCUUUUGGCAUAAGUUGCCUCGGUCUCAAAAGUUUCAUGAACCGUUCUCUUUUGCCAUUAAGAAAAAGCUCUAUUUGGCUGAUUUUAUUCAUAGUGACCAUCUGGCUCUCCAUUUUCAUAGGCAUACCACCCUGCAAGCUCUUGCUCAAUUCAUUGACAUCAUUGACUUAGUUCAUAAAAAAAUCAACAAAUGGAAUAAAAUAAUAUCACGAAGAUACCAAUUACACCCGUCCUCUCUAUCAACAAGAUAUCCAAAGACAUCAAGGGUACACACAGCCAGAAAAAGGAUUAGAAGAAAAAAGACCCCCCCCCCUCCCUGAGGUGAUAAAUCACUAGCAUUAGUAGCACUCUCACCACACCGAAGACAACGCCCGGAUUACAAAAAAAGUUCUCCAAAAUCAACCCCCCAAGAAGGAAGCAAUGCACAAGUGUUGUCAUUGUCCGAUCGAAGAUCGUGGGUUUUCACCCUAGAAAAAUUCCAAGCUCAGCCAAAAGCAUUGCCUUGAAGGCCAUUUCCAGGUACAACCAAUAAAGGCUAGACCUUGGAUUUUCACCCUAGGAAUUCAGACUCAGUACUCGAGAGGUACCACCAAAAAUGUAGUCCUCCAGUGAUGGUGCCCCGCACUUCCCCAGCCCGCUGUUUCAAGUCACCAAACACCCCGCGCACAUUCUUCAUCGCAUUAAUUACAUCAUUCCACCAAAGCUUCAAGACCUCCAAUCACAGCCGCCAUGACUUCAUCCACCUCUAUCAAUGCCUUGAGAAUCCUGACUUAGACAUGUCCCAUGACACCAAUAAGAAAUCAAAGCUUCUUGCCAUGCCCUCUUGAGGUCGUGUUGGCUGAUAAUAUGAGCGUGCGCGACCGAAGCCUUUCCAAUCUAGAUAUCCAGGGGCGACAUACACCAAUUCAUAUAGAUAUCCGAUGGGAAAGACCGAAACUCGUCAGCGGCUAGAUCUAAGAGGUCGACGUAUGGCAGAAAGACGACUUGGCGGAAGAAUAGUACUAGGGCCAAACCACCAUUAUUAGGCCGAAGCUAACAUCCCCACACGCCGUCCUCCCCUCAAUCUAGACCUACAGACAAAGAUCAGCGACGCCGCAUCGUGCCACCCACAUGCGUGGAGGCCCGAACAUGGCAAGACGCCAACCAUGGCAGGAGACUAGGACCAGCCACUCCUGGGCUGAUCCGGCGACUCCCAGGCCCACCCCUGCCACUAUGGUGGCACCACCCCUGCCUACAAGCCCAUCCACGAUGAUGCCUGAUUAGAAGGAUACAUGGAUAUACAGAUGGAAAGGCCCUUUUUUUGCGAAUGAAUUCUUUCAUUACUCAGGUAUCAAAGAAUACAAUUCGUCCCACAAGUGCCAAAACAUCUUCCGGACCAGAUCCUAGCCAAACCAAAGUUCAGCGUUGCAACCUACCAAAAUUUGCCAAGGCAUGACUAACCCUAUUACAGCUCCGGCGAAUAUGAGUAAUGCAAGAAUUCCUUUCUCCCAAACUACUAAUGAUCUCUCUGAUGAUGAAAGCAUAUUUAGAUUUGUUGCUAUUCCCUCUCUUAAUCAUAUUGACAGCCUCUAAACAAUCAGACUCCACGUCUAUUGGUAAGAUGCUCCACUGAAGGGCCAAAGAAAUUCCCUCCCUUAUUGCAAGUAACUCUGCCUCCAGUACAUCAUCACAUGCAUAGAGAAAUCUGCAAGCAGUGAAAACAAUUUCUCCUUCCUGAUUCCUUAGGAUCAUUCCGGCUCCCGCAGUAGAGCCCAGGACCGAAGCAUCCGUGUUGAGUUUGACUCUGCCCACCGCUGGAGCGGACCAAGAGCCCUGCACUUCAUCAACUUUGUAUAUGUCCUGAUCGGGAAUCUGAAAACAUGCAGCUGGCAUUUUUCCUUUCACUAAAGCAUCACUUCAGCAUAUGUGAAUGGAGUUUAAGGAUGACAGAUAGCUGGACAGGAAGCACACCGAAACAUCCACGGGCGGUGGUUGUUUUGCAUGCACAAUUUCGUUACGCACAUACCAGAUUUGCCAGAAUAGCAUCAUGAUCCUAGCUCUCUCCUCUUCAUGCAUUUUCGAUAGGAGAUGAAGGAACCCAUCACGACCAACAUGUACAAUGCUUAGUCGGUCCGGCAAUGUCCAUUCCUUCACCAUGGCCUUCCAUAGGAUCGCAGCAUGAUUACAAGUGCAAAAAACAUGGAACGAGUCCUCCUCCUCCGUACCACACACAGGGCAUGUACCUGAGACUUCCAAGUUCCUUUUCACUUUAUUUGUCCAAUUUGCUAGCGAAUCUGUAGCUAAUCUCCAAGCAAAAGACUGAACCUUUGGUGGUACAGUACUUUGCCAUAUAAAGUUCCAUGCUUCUCUUGUUCCAUCCGGCCGGGAACUUGUAGAAACCUCACUAGGAUUUGAGCAUUCAUCACUAGCCAGUUUGUACGCACUACGUACCAUAAAACCUCCACCUUUUUCAGGCGCCCAAGGAACAAAGUCUUCAUCAAGCCGAGCAGAUGGUUUUAUUUUCUAGAUUUCAACAAUGCCGCCCGGGAGAAAAAACUGAUUUAUCUUGUCAAAGUCCCAAUUACCAUGGAUAUUCAGUAGCUCCGAGACCCACCUCAGGCGGCACCUACCACGCUGUGUAAUCAAGCCUCCAGUUGGCUCGCGUGCUAUCCAUCGGUCUCUCCAUAUACGUACAUUUUGACCAUUUCCGAUUCUCCAGACCACGUCUUUUUUUCAGAACUUCGAGACCAUAGGCAAUGGCCUGCCAUGUAGGUGAUGGGUUACUAGUGAACACCGUAUCCAGUAAGCGCCAAUUUGGUAAAUACUUCACUUUUAAAAGCCUUGAGCAUAAACUGUUAGGGAACUCUAGUAUUCGCCACGCCUGACGAGCAAGGAGCGCUUGGUUAAAUAGACAAAAGUCUUUAAAACCAAGGCCGCCUUGCUUCCUUGGCCUAGUCAUUUUCUCCCAUGCAUACCAAUGUGUUUUCCUCUUCCCUUUCUCUGCACCCCAAAAAUAGUUCCUAACCAUGCGGUUUAGAUCAUCACAUACCUCCAGCGGGAGCUUGAACACACUCAUAAUAUAUGUAGGGAUACAUUGACCAACAACACGGAUUAACACUUCCUUUUCCGCUUGAGUAGGGUUCUAAGACUGACAGUAGAAUGGGGGUUAGGUAUGAAGAGGCAAGAUCCCAGCUGUGGUGAAGUUGUACACACGAGAUUUACGAGUUCAGGCCCUUCACGGUGGAAGUAAUAGCCCUACGUCUCGGUGUCCGGAGGCGGUCGACUGGAUUAUAUGUGUGUGGAGUUACAGGGGGUGCGAACCCUUAUCCCUGAGGAGGGGGGUGGCUUAUAUAGAGUUCGCCAGACCCCUCCCGCCCUCAGUUACACAGGGUUUAAGGUACAUAAAGAUGGGGCGUUUCUGGUAACGCCAGUAAUAAAGUGACAUAAAUGUCCAUUAAGUCUACAGACUAAACGUCCGACCUUUGCUAUUCAGAGUGACUUUAGGUCUCCUGCCUGUCGAGGCAUUCCUGUUACGAUCGAGUGAGCUUGAAUCUUCCGAGUGGAAUGCCUCUAGUCGAGUGGAUGAUGAUAUCCCUUGAAUGCUUCUGACUUUAGGGUAAUGACCUAGGGGAGGGUGUCCAGGUCAGGUCUAUGACCCUACCCUAGGUACAUGUCUUCAUCAUUAGCCCCCGAAUGGUUCAGGGUUUGAGUGGAGAAGGAGUUGAUAAUAUUUUCGACUCAAUUUUUGCGCUUCGGAGGCGUCUUGUUGGGAUCAAUGAACAACAUGAUGACUUCAUCUUCUUUUCCAGCCGCCUUGACCCAUUCUUAAUUAGUCAAGUGAACUUUUACUGCUAAGCUUCGAGUGUUGGUAUGGAAAAAAAUCUUCAGUCUGACAGGUUGUUCUGCUGCUCGCGGAUCUUCCGGGAUUCGAAUUUCGGGAAGCGCGCGGGGUGGAGGAGGCCGCGGUAAUCAGAGAAGAUUAGGCAGGGAUGCCUCGAUAUCCGCGCCACCUUUUUCGCCACGUGCUGCGCGCGCAACUGUUGCGGGUUUGACAGGAUCGCCUGGGCCCACAGGUCAGCCACUCGGAAAUGGUUCCAUAUAAGGCGUCGCGGCUGGGGUUUUCUGCACAGUACACCUCAUCUCCUCUCUUCCUCCUCUGUUUUCCAUCGCAUCCACCUCCUCCCUCGGCGCCGCCGCUCUGCCCGAAAUCGACCCUCCGCAAUGGGAAAGGAGAAGACGGUGGCUCUGGAGCGCACGAAGAAGGCGACAGCGAAGGCGAAAGGGAGAAAGACGAGCCGGGGAGGGUCCUCGUCGAGAUCCGGUUUACUGCCCGGCUCAUCCAGGGUGAUUGGAUUCCGUGGACGAUCCGGCAAGUCGACGUCGAUGAUUUGGUCGAGGGGGGACUGAUUCCCCACGGAUCUGGGUGGCUCCCGGAGGACGAGACUGAGCCGCGGCCGCAGGAGGGUGAGUGUGUUCUCCUCGCCACCCAUGUUGACCGUGGUUUUUCUUUGCCUCCCCAUCCUUUCUUCCGAGGCUUCUUGAACUUCUUUGGAGCACAACUUCAUCACUUUUCCCCCAACACAAUCACGUACCUCGCUGCAUUCAUUUCUAUGUGUGAGAAUUUUCUGGGUUGUCGACCACACUGGGGUCUCUUCAAACACAUUUUCACCUGUCGUUCUCAGUCGGUCAAAAAGGCCAAUCCGAGUGACGAGAGGAUGCAUGUGAUCCAGACGUGUGGGGGUCUUGGGAUCCAAAUGAGAGGCAAGAGUACUUUCCCAGCCAUGAUUCUUCCCGAGUCAGUCAGAGGGUGGUAGUCGACCUGGUUCUACUGCAAAGACCAGCCGACUCCAGGCCAGUCGACUGGACUUCCCCCCUUUUCCAUGGCUCGAGUUGAGAAGCCCUCUGCCUUGAAAGUGACUCCAGCAGAAAAAGCGGAGGUGAAGGUGUUGGUCGAGCGAGUGGUCCAGCUCGUUCGUGACGGCGUGACUGGCAGGGAUCUGUUGGAGGUCUUCCUUAGACGACGCAUUCAGCCACUUCAAGCUCGUGACCAUCCGAUGUGGAUGUACUCCGGCAUUGAUGAUACCACUCGGAUCCACCCGGAGGAGGUCGACAAGGAUACAGUGGCACAAUGGCUGAGGGGCAUCACUGGUAACAAGGAUAACCCAGGGGGUCCAGGAGGAUCCCUCCACUCGACAACUCGUAUGAACCAGAUAAGGUCCAACUCUAAAUUUCCGAGUGUUUUCUUGAUCUACCGUGUAAUUACUUUUUGCCAACCGACUGACAUUUGUUCCACCUAUUGUCUUUUAGGCCCUCACUGAGAUGUACUCGAUGCCCAACAGAGAGCAGGAGCAGGAUCCGGAAGGGGAGGCGAGAGCGGCGAGUGGCACUCUGAUGGGGGAGAAGAUGACGAAAGUGACGACUCUGGUGACGGCGAAGAAGUCGACUCACCCCCUCGCACCGAAAGGCGAUCCAAAGAAAUCCACGACCCGGCAAGUAUCUGAGGCAAAGCGACCGCGCAGACUGGGCGGCAGACCUCAAAGUGCCCUCGGACGUCUUCUCCAGCGCCGACUGAGAGGGCCCCGAAACAAUCAAAAGCUACGCCGUCAAAACCGCGGAAGCCUUUGCCCAAGAUCAAAGUGGUCGUGCCCCUUGAUUCCAGGUAAUAAUUGGACUUGAUUUCUUGGUUUAGCAUGAAUUGAAUUUUGGUCGACUCAUUUCGGCAGACAUAACCGACUGAAUCUUGAGAUUUGCAGUGCUGCUACCUUUGAGACUUCUGUUUAUAGGAAUGAAGACGAGUAAAUGGAAGAUGCAGUCACCUCUAAUCCGGGUACGACUCUCGUAAUCCUAUUUUUACUUUCUCGGCCGUUUUAUUGGUCGACUGAAUUCCGGCGAUUGAUUCUUUUUGCAGCUCCUCCCAAUGUCAUUGAUCUUCCAGACGACGACGAGGAUGUGCCGCUGAGGCCUCUGGGAAGAAGAAACAGGAAGACGUCAACUGGCAGAGCGCCUUAGUCGACGCCGGUGACGGAACCGGUAAUCCAGGAGGGCGGUGAUGCCAAUCGGACUUCCCUGAUUUUCGCCGUACCAUUGACGAGUGCCCAGCCCUCAGCGUCGACUGCGCAGACUCCAGCCGAUCCAUCUUCACUCUUUACUGCACAUCACGUCCCAGAGGACCAAGUGGGCGCUGCCAAGGAGGCUAUACACCAGGCGGGCAUCAUGAUGGAGCAGAUGAAGGUGGUACGGGAGACCAGCCAAGCUGCUUAUGACGCCAGCUCAGCUCUCCAGAACAAUGUCCAGGUUAGUUGAUCACCGACUGACUCUUUAGCUUGUUGCUUGUUCUGUUAGGAUAUGCUACCUGAAAACUUUCCUUGAAGGAUCUUUCCAUCAGUCUGCGUUUUGCAUUUGUACACCCACUGGGUGUUUUGAUAUGUCACUGAGUAGUCUUGUAUCUUGAAUCGACUAAGUUGUCUCGAUUGAGUCUUUGAACUAGUGGGGGCACGCUGAGUGCACCCACUGGGUGUAGUCCCCAAGACCAUAGUUGACUACGAGCAGUCAACUAUGGUGUGAGAAUUGGAAUUUUCUCACUCGGCCUGCACAGACCAUGUCGAGUGGAACUUGAGCCAGUGGCGGCACGCUAAGUGCACCCACUGGGUGUAGUCCUCGAGACCAUAGUUGACUACGGGCAGUCGACUAUGGUCUGAGAACAACUUUUUUUUACACUCAGCCUGGACAGACCAUGUCGGGUGGAAACUGGACCAGUGGUGGCACGCUAAGUGCACCCACUGGGUGUAGUCCCCGAGACUACUGUUGGAUGUUCGAUUCGGCAGUAGUCUUAGAACUUGUUGAAUUUAUCACUCUAUUGCUCUGAAGUAACCAAUAUUUCCAUCCGUCGACUGACCGUCUUUUGAUUACAGAAAUCCUGUGAACUUGGAGCCCGUUUUGCUGACCUGGAGCAGAAGCAGAUUCAGCUCAACCUCGACCUAGAGCUGGCCAAGACAAACUUGCAGAAGGCCAAGGAUGAAGUCACUGGUACAAAAAACUUGCCGACUGAUUUGUUUCCGACCCGGGUGUUAUUUGUUUUUUCUGAACCAAGCAUCAUUUCUUUCAGAAGCAAUGAACCAAGCUCUGGCGAAGAAGGAUCUGGACCUUGCAGCCGCGCAGAAAGCAGCCGAAGAGAAAACUGCACUCGCCGACCAGAAGCUGGCUUCAGUCGGCAAACUGGAGGAAGAGAACACCAAGCUGAAGACUGCCUUGGAUGAAGCCAACAAGGAGGCGACUCGUCUGAAGAAGGACAGGAACAACCUGACCGAAAAGGUGGAAGCUAUUGCCCGCAAGAGAGAUGACUUGGAAAAUUAUCUGGGAGGUCUUGCCAAGAAGCUGUUCGUCAUGCUUGAAGGUGCUUUCCUUUGUCCGACUGACUUGUUGCUGUCGACUCGAUAUAUAACCAUUGACUCAUCCUUGUAUUGUGUGCGCAGAAUUUUGCCAGAACUUCGAGGAAGAGACUGGGCGAGUUGAGACAAGCUUGGACCCCAUCUCUCUCCUGUGAAGGAUGAAGCUGCCAUGAACGUGCUCUGACUGGAAUCCCGUGUCGCUGGCAUUAUCGAUUAUCUUGCCCGAUUGAAAGUCGCGGUGUCGCGAAUCGACACAGCACUCUGGCCAAGGGCGACGCUCCAAAAUGACCUCGAGUCUCUGAUGGCUCGACUUAAUGAAGUUCACGGUCGAGUGCAGGAAUGGAAGAAGUCUUCUGCUCCAUGCGGUGCUGAUGUGGCUCUGUCCCUGGUUCGUGUCCACUACAAGGAAGCGCGAGAAGAGAAGCUAGCAGCAAUCAAGGUUGCCAAUACCAAAAGGCACGACUUCCAAUCCUUCAUGGAAUCCUUUAUUGCUGCCGCCACUCGGAUUGCUGACGGAAUCGACCUGGACGAGUUCGUCGAGCCCGCUAGCCCACCUCCUGCGGAGUGAACAAACUUUAUGCCUCACCUUAAAUUUGCCUCGGAAUGCCGAGUGAUUUUGUAACCGUUAAACUCCUUCGGGCCUGACGCCCGAGUACUUUAAUCCGUGGUCUGGUACUUUAGGAUUCAUCUGAACUUGGUUUAUCUAAGAAUAUGCUUGUGUUUGUCUUCGGGUGGAACUUGUUGUUCACUCGGAAUAGUCUUUGUACUUGUGAUGCACCUCCGAGGAGAAGGUCGCAAUCGACCUGCACCUCGUUGUCCUUGCGGAUCGGGAUGGAGCGCGCAUUGUACUUAUGGCGCAGCUCUGAGGAGAAGGUCGCAGUCGACCUGCACCCCAUCGUCCUUGCGGAUCGGAAUGGAGCGCACAUUGUACUUAUGGCACAACUCUGAGGAGAAGGUCGUAGUCGACCUGCACCUCGUCGUCUUUGCGGAUCGGGAUGUGUUUUUAAAGUUAGGCGAGUACUGGACUGCAGCUAAGCCCCCGAGUGAGAGGUUUUCUCUCCACUCGGUAAGAUUUUUCAGACUUAGGCGAGUACUGGACUGCAGCUAAGCCCCCGAGUGAGAGGAUUGCUCUUCACUCGGUGGGAUUUUUCAAACUUAGGCGAGUACUGGACUGCAGCUAAGCCUCCGAGUGAGAGGAUUGCUCUUCACUNNNNNNNNNNNNNNNNNNNNNNNNNNNNNNNNNNNNNNNNNNNNNNNNNNNNNNNNNNNNNNNNNNNNNNNNNNNNNNNNNNNNNNNNNNNNNNNNNNNNNNNNNNNNNNNNNNNNNNNNNNNNNNNNNNNNNNNNNNNNNNNNNNNNNNNNNNNNNNNNNNNNGAGUGAGAGGCUUGAUCACCACUCGGUAGGAUUUUUCAAACUUAGGCGAGUACUGGACUACAGCUAAGCCCUCGAGUGAGAGGCUUGCUCACCACUCGGUAGGAUUUUUCAAACUUAGGCGAGUACUGGACUGCAGCUAAGCCCCCGAGUGAGAGGCUUGCUCACCACUCAGUAGGAUUUUUCAAAGUUAGGCGAAACGGAUUCGCAGCUAAGCCUCCGAGUGAGAGGCUUGCUCACCACUCAGUAGGAUGUUUUAGACUUAGGCGAAACGGAUUCGCAGCUGAGCCACCCACCGGGGGAUUUUAAACAUAUGAAUAAGCAACGACAAUCAUUUUAGAAGACUGUAAAACUCUGUCUUUGAUAAACAAACUAAAAGUUAUUUCUUAUUACAUCUCAACAGACUGAGUACUUAAGUAUAAAAACGACGGAGCAACUCUCCAUUCCAAGCAUGUGGUUCGCCCUUCUUAUGCUCGUUGUUGUAGAGGUGAUACGCUCCGUUGUGGAGCACUUUGGUGAUGAUGAAGGGGCCUUCCCAAGCAGGAGUGAGCUUGUGUGGUUUCUGCUGAUCCACUCAAAGAACCAGGUCUCCCUCUUGAAAUGCCCGACCUUUCAUGUUUCUAGCGUGGAAUCGACGGAGAUCUUGCUGAUAGAUGGUCGACCUGAUCAAGGCCAUCUCUCUUUCUUCUUCCAGAAGAUCAACGGCAUCUUGCCGUGCCAGCUCUGCUUUGGCUUCUGAGAAAAGUUCUACUCGGGGUGCAUUGUGAAGCAAAUCACUCGGAAGCACAGCCUCAGCUCCGUAAACAAGAAAGAACGGGGUUCGACCAUUCGACCGAUUUGGAGUUGUUCUCAAUCCCCAGAGUAGUGACGACAGUUCAUCAACCCAAGCUCCUGCAACAUGCUUGAGAUCACGCAUCAGUCGGGGUUUUAGCCCCUUGAGGAUCAAACCGUUUGCUCUUUCUGCUUGUCCAUUCGACUGUGGGUGGGCGACUGAAGCACAGUCGACCUGAGUGCCUUGGGAAGCACACAAAGCUCUGAAUUCAUCUGAUUCAAAGUUUGAUCCAUUAUCCGUGAUAAUGUUGUGUGGGACUCCAUAUCUGAAAGUUAACUCUUUGAUGAAGCUGACAGCGGUACUCGCUUCGAGGUUCUUGAUGGGCUUGGCCUCAAUCCAUUUGGUGAACUUGUCGACUGCUACGAGCACGUGAGUGAAACCACUUCUGCCAGUCCUCAAGGGUCCAACCAUAUCUAAACCCCAGACAGCAAAUGGCCAGACGAGUAGAAUGGUCUUCAAGGCUGAUGCGGGUUUGUGUGACAUGUUGGAGUAGAACUGACAGCCUUCACAUUUGUCUACUAUUUCUUUCACCAUCUCAUUGGCAUGUGGCCAGUAAAAUCCGGCUCGGUAUGCUUUGGCCAUGAAGGUCCGAGAGGACGCAUGGUGACCACAGGUCCUCGAGUGAAUAUCAUUGAGGAUCAUUCGGCCUUCUUCUGUCGUGAUGCAUUUCUGGCUGACUCCAGUUAAACUUUCUCUGAACUGCUGUCCUCUUAUCACAGUAAAGGCCUUGGAUCGACAGACGAUCUGUCGAGCCUCUUCUUCAUCCUUUGGGAGUUCCUUCCUAAGAAUGUUUGCAAUGUAUGGCACUGUCCAGUCGGGAGUGACGACCAAAACCUCCAUGAUCAAGUCGACCACGGCUGGGACUUCGACUUCAGUCGGAUCAGUGGCACUCUUAGGCUGUGGGGGCUCUUCAGUGAAAGGAUGUUCCUGAACUGAAGGUGCGUGAAUAUGCUCCAAAAACACAUUGCUGGGAACGGUCUCUCUCUUGGAACCUAUCUUUGCCAAGUCAUCAGCAACUUGAUUUUUUAGUCGGGGUAUAUGGUGGAGCUCUAACCCCUCAAACUUCUUUUCCAGUUUUCUCACUUCAUUAUAAUAACCAGUCAUAGCCGGGCUUCUGACGUAUUACUUGAUUAACCACCAAAUCUGAGUCGCUGUAGACCAUUAGGCGACGGACGCCGAGUGAAAUGGCCAUACGCAACCCGUAUAGAGGUGCUUCAUAUUCAGCUUCGUUGUUGGAGGAAUCAAAAUGAAUCUGAAGAACAUAGCUGAGUCUGUCUCCUCGGGGGGAUACCAAUACCACCCCAGCACCAGAACCAUUCAGCAUCUUGGAUCCAUCAAAGAACAUGGUCCAAUGCUCCGAGUGAAUCUGAGUCGGUUGUUGCUGCUCAACCCACUAGAAGAGGAAAUCUGCUAUUGCUUGGGACUUGAUAGCUUUCUUUGCCUCAAACUUGAUAUCCAAGGAACGGAGUUCAGUCGCCCACUUUGCCCCUCAACCAGUUGCAUCUCUGUUGUUCAGAAUUUAUGACAAUGGUGCGUCGCUAACGACUGUAAUGGAGUGAUCAGAGAAAUAAUGCGCAACCUUCUUCGUGGUGAUGUAAAUUCCAUAGACAAGCUUCUGAUAAUGUGGAUAUCUUUGCUUGGAUGGAGUCAAGACUUCAGAAAUAUAGUACACUCGGAGUUGAACUUUAUAGGCUUUUCCUUCUUCUUCCCGCUUGACCGUGAGCACUGUAUUGACAACUUGUCCAGUGGCUGCAAUAUAAACCAGUAAAGGCUGUUUGCUGAUUGGGGCAGCAAGCAUCGGCUGUGUGGAAAGCAGAGUUUUGAGUUCUGCAAACGCUCCGUCAGCUUCAGGAGUCCACUCGAACUUAUCAGAUUUCUUCAUCAGUCGGUAAAGAGGCAAUGCAUUUUCACCGAGGCGAGAGAUGAAUCGACUCAAGGCGGCCAAGAAACCAGUAAGCUUCUAAAUGUCAUGCACAUGCACAUGGCGUUUCAUCCGGAGUAUGGCCCCAACUUUCUCUGGGUUCACGUCGAUCCCACGUUCGGAAAUGAGAAAACCGAGUAACUUUCCUCCUGGAAUUCCGAAUGUGCAUUUCGUCGGAUUAAGCUUGAUAUCAUAUCUUCUCAGGUUGGCAAAGGUUUUAGUGAGGUCAGUCAGCAGGUCGGAACCUUUACGCGACUUGACCACAAUGUCAUCCAUAUAUGCUUCCACAUUUCGACUGAUUUGAGUGAGUAGACACUUCUGAAUCAUCCUCAUAAAUGUGGCGCCAGCGUUCUUGAGACCGAAUGGCAUGGUGACAUAACAAAAGCACCCGAAUGGAGUGAUGAAAGUUGUUUUUAUCUCAUCGGGUCCAUACAGUCGGAUCUGAUGAUACUCGGAAUAGGCGUCCAGAAAAGACAAACACUCACACCCCGCAGUCGAGUCGACGAUUUGGUCGAUACGGGGGAGAGGGAAAUGAUCUUUCGGACAGGCCCAAUUGAUAUGCUUGAAGUCAAUGCACAUACGAAGUGAGUCGUCCUUCUUGGGAACCAUGAAAACAUUGGCGAGCCACUCGGAAUGGUAAAUCUCUCGAAUGAACUCAGCCGCUAGGAGCCGAGCCACUUCUUCACCAAUUGCAUUUCUCUUCUGUACGGCGGACCGUCGAAGAUGUUCCUUGACUGGUUUCACUUUCGGGUCGACUCGCAAACGGUGCUCAGCCAGUCCCCUGGGUACACCCGGCAUGUCAGAAGGUUUCCAUGCCAAGAUGUCCCAGUUCUCACGGAGGAACUGGAUGAGCGCUUCUUCCUAUUUGCUAUCGAGUGAUGUUGAAAUAUGAGUAGGAGCAGCAUUAGGAUCGGUUGGGUGAAUAUGAAUUGGCUUUGUUUCAUCGGACGACUAAAACGCAGAAUCUGUGGCAGGCUUCUUGGCUCGCAAUAAAUCACUCGGAUCCGCAUUUUUCUGAUACUCUUGCAUUUCAACUGCUGCAAUUUGUGCAUCGGCAAUUUUAGAACCCUUCUUGAAGCAUUCUUCUGCCUUCUGCCGAUUGCCAGUGACUGUGAUCACUCCUCUGGGACCAGGCAUUUUCAACUUGAGAUAUACAUAACAUGGCCGAGCCAUGAAUCGUGCAUACGCCGACCUCCCCAUAAUAGCAUGAUAAGCACUCUGGAAAUCCACUACUUCAAAUGUCAACUUUUCCUUACGGUAAUUCUUUGAAUCACCGAAAACCACGUCAAGGUUUAUUUGGCCGAGUGAUUCAGCCUUCUUGCCAGGGAUGACGCCGUGAAAGGUCAUGUUGCUCUCACUAAGUUUGGACAUCGGGAUGCCCAUCCCCUUCAAGGUUUCAGCAUAAGGGAUAUUCAGGCCGCUACCACCAUCCAUUAGCACUUUCGUCAGUCGAGUGCCUCCAACCACUGGGUCGACCACCAACGCUUGCCUCCCAGGGCUGGCUAUGCGAUCAGGGUGAUCAGACUGGUGGAAUGUGAUAGCUGUUUGUGACCACUUCAGGUAUGUUGUCGUUGCCGGAGCAACCAUAUUCACUUGUCUAUUGAUCACUUUCAGUCGACUUUUGCUGUCAACAUCAGCAAAAAUCACUAGGAUGGAAUUGACAUUGGGAAAACCAUCAUCUUCCUCUUUGUCCUCAUCCUUGUCUGAUUCCUUUUCCUUCUCAUUAGGCUGUUUCUCUCGGAAUUGCUGGAUCAGAACCUGACAUUGUCGAGUGGUAUGCUUAGGAUAAAUCAGAUUGCCUUCUUCAUCCUUCUUGGUGUGAAUGUGACAUGGCAAAUCCAACACAUCAUUUCCGGCUUGAUCUUUCACUUUCUUGGGGGUCCAGGGCCCCUUAGGUUUCCCUUUAAAUUUUCCUUGAAUCACUCCGCAGUUUCACCAGGUCCCGCAGGUUCAGCUUUACGCUUCUGUUUCCGAUUGGAAUUGCCUCCACCUGUGUCCUGAUCGACUGGUUUGCUCUUUCCACUGCGGAGUCGAUCCUCUUCUUCUCCAUUAGCGUACCGAGUGGCUAUUUCCAUCAUCCAAGUCAGAGACAUAUCUCCCAUCCGAUAGAACUUCAGAACCAGUUCUCGAUACUUAACGCCUUCCUUGAAGGCACAAACUGCUUGAUGCUCGGGUACAUUUUCCACUGUGUGAUGCAAAGUGGUCCACCGCUGAAUGUAAUCUCUCAGAGUUUCAUUCGGUUUUUGCACGCAAUGCUACAAUUCUGUUAACCCCGCUGGCCGCUUGCAUGUACCCUCAAAUGUUCUAACAAACACUCGGGCGAGUUCCUCCCAACUGAAUAUACUGCUCGGUGCUAACUGAGUCAACCAUGCCCUGGCCGAGCCUUCCAACAUCAUAGGUAGAUGCUUCAUGGCCACUUCAUCAUUGCCGCUACCAAUCUGCACAGCCACUCGGUAAUCCUCAAGCCAAGUAUCAGGCUUGGACUCACCAGUGAACUUGCUGACUCUAGUCGCCAACCUGAAGUUGGGAGGAAUCACCGCAGCUCUGAUGGCUCUGCUAAAACACUCUGGACCUGAAACAUGAACUCUGCUGCGAGUCGGGUCAUCUCUAUCAAGGCCCUAUCUGUGUGCCCUGUUCCUGUUGACUAGACCUUGAACGAGAAUAGAUCUCGCAUCAAAUCCUGGCUCUCUUGGGUCGACUGGUAUUCUUCGCUCACCACUGUGAGGGCGUCUGUCUUCAUAUUGCCGAGGCACAUAUGACCCACUCCUCGGAGGAGGUGUGGUCACUCGACGACGGUCAUCAUGGCCGAGUCAGUGAUCAUAUUGCUCGUGGUUUCUGUACUGAUCUUGCUGGUGCCCACGUCCCUCACGCCGAGGGGGCGGUCUUGGGCUGUGGGCGGACUGGACUAUAUCUGCCAUCACAGAUCUGCUAUGAAUCUUAUUCGGCGACUGAGACACUGCUAUGUUCUGCUCUCCUGCUGCCCGUAGUAAGGCCCGGAUCUGCAUCAAACCUCUGCCAGCUUCCGACUGGGAAGGCUGAAUUCACACUGCGACAUGGGCUGUAGCUGUGAGAUUUUGAAUCGGAGUGCUGUAUACCUGAGGUUGUGGUGGAAAAAGCUGUCGUCGACUAGACUCAGGGAUCCGCUGCCGAGCACGCUCGUCGAUGCAUGGUGAAGGUUCUCCAGUCGAGUGCGCUCAGCCAAGUUGGCCAGGCGCGCCUCCUCCAAGGCCCGAGCCUCGAGGGUUUCCCCAACGAUGGGCGUGUGGAGUGCAUCCACGUUGCGGCGGCGAAGCUCUUCCCUCUGCUGCGAAGAAAGGGGUUCCGGGCGAUACUCCUCGUGAACGCGUGACGGAUCGACGCCACCAUCACCGCCGUCAUCGCGGCAGAAGCCAGGCGGACUACAUGGUCCGUCGACCAUCAAGACUUCAGCUGCGGGGUCGCUGCUAUCGCACUCGGAUGCGGUCUUGAUGUCUACUACGCAACCUUCUUCUUGUAGACGUUGUUGGGCCUCCAAGUGCAGAGGUUUGUAGGACAGUAGCAAAUUUCCCUCAAGUGGAUGACCUAAGGUUUAUCAAUCUGUGGGAGGCGUAGGAUGAAGAUGGUCUCUCUCAAACAAGCCUACAACCAAAUAACAAAGAGUCUCUUGUGUCCCCAACACACCCAAUACAAUGGUAAAUUGUAUAGGUGCACUAGUUUGGUGAAGAGAUGGUGAUACAAGUGCAAUAUGGAUGGUAGAUAUAGGUUUUGUAAUCUGAAAAUAUAAAAACAGCAAGGUAACUAAUGAUAAAAGUGAGCGUAAACGGUAUUACAAUGCUAGGAAACAAGGCCUAGAGUUCAUACUUUCACUAGUGCAAGUUCUCUCAACAAUAAUAACAUAAUUGGAUCAUAUAACUAUCCCUCAACAUGCAACAAAGAGUCACUCCAAAUUCACUAAUAGCGGAGAACAAACGAAGAGAUUAUGGCAGGGUACGAAACCACCUCAAAGUUAUUCUUUCGGAUCGAUCUAUUCAAGAGUUCGUACUAGAAUAACACCUUAAGACACAAAUCAACCAAAACCCUAAUGUCACCUAGAUACUCCAAUGUCACCUCAAGUAUCCGUGGGUAUGAUUAUAUGAUAUGCAUCACACAAUCUCAGAUUCAUUUAUUCAACCAACACAUAGAACCUCAAAGAGUGCCCCAAAGUUUCUACGGGAGAGUCAAGACGAAAACGUGUGCCAACCCCUAUGCAUGGGUUCAUGGGCGGAACCCGCAAGUUGAUCACCAAAACAUACAUCAAGUGAAUCAAUAGAAUAACCCAUUGUCACCACGGUUAUCCCACGCAAGACAUACAUCAAGUGUUCUCAAAUCAUUAAAGACUCAAUCCGAUAAGAUAACUUCAAAGGGAAAACUCAAUCCAUUACAAGAGAGUAGAGGGGGAAGAAACAUCUUAAGAUCCAACUACAAUAGCAAAGCUCGCGAUACAUCAAGAUCGUAUCACCUCAAGAACACGAGAGAGAGAGAUCAAACACAUAGCUACUGGUACAUACCCUCAGCCCCGAGGGUGAACUACUCCCUCCUCGUCAUGGAGAGCGCCGGGAUGAUGAAGAUGGCCACGGUGACGGAUCCCCCGUCCGGCAGGGUGCCGGAACAGGGCCCCGAUUGGUUUUUGGUGGCUACAGAAGCUUGCGGCGGCGGAACUCCCGAUCUAUUCUGUUCCCUGAAGGUUUUAGGGUAUAUUGGUAUAUAUAGGUGAAAGAAGUACAUCAGGGGAGCCACGAGGGUGGAGGGCGCGCCCAGGGGGGUGGGCGCGCCCCCCUGCCUCGUGCCUUCCUCGUUGCAUUCUUGAUGUGGACUCCAAGUCUCCCGGGUUGCUUUCCUUCCAAAAAUAACUUCUCCAGAAGGUUUCAUUCCGUUUCGAAUCCGUUUGAUAUUCCUUUUCUUCAAAACACUGAAACAAGGGAAAAAACAGGAACUAGCGCUGGGCUCUGGGUCAGUAGGUUAGUCCCAAAAGUAAUAUAAAAGUGCAUAGUAAAGCCCAUAAAACAUCCAAGAUGGAUAAUAUAAUAGCAUGAAUACUUCAUAAAUUAUAGAUACGUUGGAGACGUAUUUGCAUCCCCAAGCUUAAUUCCUGCUCGUCCUCGAGUAGGUAAAUGAUAAAAGAAAGAAUUUAUGAAGUGUGAAUGCUAGCAGGUGCAUAGGUUUGAUCAAUGAUAAUUUCAAUCACCUUUCCUAGCAUCAUUAUAUGUCAUAACAGUAGCUCAUACCAUAAAACUUUGCAUGAUCAAGUAACAAACUAUUCACAUGUUAAAGCAUAGACCAUAAACUUUCUUGAAAACUAACAAACCGUGUUAUUAGUCAUCAAACAAUUACAAUUCAUCUUAUUUUCAGGAAGAGUCUAUGUCAGAGCUUUGAUUUAGCAAAUCCCACAUACUCAACUAUCAUAUAGUCUUCCAUGAUUGCUACCACUCAAAGCAUAUUUUUAGAACAAAUAGCAUCCAUCGAACACAUAGAAAGAUAGGGGCUUAAUGUUUCGCCUCCCAACUUAUUCAUCAUAUAGAUAAUUGUCAACAAUAUAAUUCAUGAUCAAAUAUAUUUGAAUGGCCAUAUAUGCUCAGAUCUUUCCAUCACAUGAUGCUUGCCAACUAAAGAGUAGGUUGGAAUGAGAAGGAAUACUACUGACUCUUGCAUAAAAGUAAAAGAUAGGCCCUUCGCAGAGGGAAGCAGGGAUUUGUAGAGGUGCCAGAGCUCGAAGCAAAAACAGAGAUGAAAAUAAUUUUGAGAGGUAUGCUUUCAUUGUCAACAUAACGACCAAGAGUUCCCAAUAUCUUCCAUACUACAUACAUUAUAGGCGGUUCCCAAACAAAAAGGUAAAGAUUUUUACUCCCCCUCCACCAACAAUCAUCAAUCCAUGGCUUGCCCGAAACAACGGGUGCCUCCAACUAACAUCAAUACUGGGGGAGUUUUGUUUGCAAUUAUUUUUGAUUUGAUUUCGAUCUUUUGAUCAUGGGACUGGGCAUCCCAGUUACCAGCCAUUUUCUCGUGAAUGAUGAGCGGAGUCCACUCAUCGUGAGAAUAACCCACCUAGCAUGGAAGAUACUCCUAGCCCCUAGUCACUACAUGAGAGAUUCGGGCAUACAAAACAGAUUAUUAUUUGAAGGUUUAGAGUUUGGCACAUGCAAAUUUACUUGGAACGGCAGGUAAAUACCGCAUAUAGGUAGAUAUGGUGGACACUCAUGGAAUAAACUUGGUUCAAGGAAUUUGGAUGCACAAGCAGUAUUCCCGCUUAGUACAGAUAUUUUGGCUAGCAAAGGAUUCUAAAUAGCAAGCGCCACAUGUUAGAGGAUCCAUAACAAUAUAACUUCUAUACAAAUAUACCCAAGCAUAACUCAUUAUGUUGUCUUCCUUGUCCAACUUCAACUAAUUUGCUCAGGUUUGAAAAUAAUUAAUGGGGAUCACAAUCAUAGAAGAUGUCCAAGAUAGUAUAUUUAUAUGUGAAAUCUCUCUUCCUUCAAUAUUCUUUCAUGAAUUGUUCAAGUGACCAAUACAAUGUUUGCUAACCUUCAAUAAAUUUACCACCUCUACUUCUUAUAUCUGAAGUCAUUACUCCAUGGGAAAGGCAUACGAAACAUAUAUAAUUUCAGAUUUAUGACAUUCAAAUCAUUCAACCAUUUACUCAUAGGAUAUAAGUGAAGCACACGAGUAAAUGACAAACUACUCCAAAAAGAUAUAAGUGAAGAUCAGUGAGUAGUUAAAUAAUUAUGUAUCUAUGUGAAGACUCUCUCUCUCAUUUAAUAAUUUCAGAUCUUGGUAUUUUAUUUAAACAGCAAGCAAAGCUAAAGAAAAUAAAAUGACGCUCAAAGCAAAACACAUAUCAUGUGGCGAAUAAAAAUAUAGCUCCAAGUAAAGUUACCGAUGAAUGAGGGGAUGCCUUCCGGGGCAUCCCCAAGCUUAGGCUCUUGGUUGUCCUUGAAUAUUACUCCCUCCGUUCCAAAAUAGAUGACCCAACUUUGUACUAAAGUUAGUACAAAGUUGGGUCAUCUAUUUUGGAACGGAGGGAGUACCUUGGGGUGCCUUGGGCAUCCCCAAGCUUAGGCUCUUGCCACUCCUUAUUCCAUAGUCCAUCGAAUCUUUACCCAAAACUUGAAAACUUCACAACACAACACUCAACGGAAAACUCGUAAGCUCCGUUAGCGAAACAAAACAAAACACCACUUCAAGGUACUGUAAUGAACUCACUCUUUAUUUAUAUUGGUGUUAAAUUUACUGUGUUGAAACUUCUCUAUGGUUUGUAAACUAUUUUACUAGCCAUAGAGUCAUCAAAAUAAGCAAACAACACACGAAAAACAGAAUCUGUCAAAAACAGGACAGUCUGUAGUAAUCUGUAACUAACGCAAACUUCUGGAACUCAGAAAAAUCUACCAAAAUAGUAAAACCUAGAUAAUUUGAUUAUUGAUCUGCUGCAAUUGGAAUCAGUAUUUUAUCACGUUCUGGUAAUUUUUAACAAUUGUUUUCGUGAGCAGAAAGUUUCUGUCGUUUUCAGAAAGAUCAAAUAAUUAUCAUACAAGGAGAUCCUAUAGGUCUUACUUGGCACAAACACUAAUUAAAACAUAAAACCACAUCUAAGCAGAAGCUAGAUGGAUUAUUUAUUUGUAAACAGAACCAAAAAGCAAUAAACUAAAAUAAAAUUGGGUUGCCUCCCAACGAGCGCUAACGUUUAACUCCCCUAGCUAGGCAUGAUGAUUUCAAUGAUGCUCACGUAAAAGAUAAGAAUUAAAACAUAAAGAGAGCAUCAUGAAGAAUAUGACUAGCACAUUUAAGUCUAUCCCACUUUCUAUGCAUAGGGAUUUUGUGAGCAAACAACUUAUGGGAACAAUAAUCAACUAGCAUAGGAAGGCAAAACAAGCAUAACUUCAAAACUUUAAGCACAUAGAGAGGAAACUUGAUAUUAUUGCAAUUCCUACAAGCAUAUAUUCCUCCCUCAUAAUAAUUUUCAGUAGCAUCAUGAAUGAAUUCAACAAUAUAACCAUCACAUAAAGUAUUUUUUUCAUGAUCUACUAGCAUAGAAAUUUUAUUACUCUCCACAUAAGCAAAAUUCUUCUCUUUCGAAAUAGUGGGAGCAAACUCAACAAAAUAACUAUCAUGUGAAGGAUAAUCCAAUUGAAAAUUAAAAUCAUGAUGACAAGUUUCAUGGUUAUAUUUAUUCUUUAUAGCAUACAUGUCAUCACAAUAAUCAUCAUAGAUAGGAGGCAUGCUUUCAUCAUAAUAAAUUUGCUCAUCAAAACUUGGGGGACAAAAAAUAUCAUCUUCAUCAAACAUAGCUUCCCCAAGCUUGUGGCUUUGCAUAUUAUUAGCAUCACGGGUAUUCAAGGAAUUCAUACUAACAACAUUGCAAUCAUGCUCAUUCACAUAUUUAAUGCCAAGCAUUCUAUGUAAUUCUUCUUCUAGUACUUGAGCACAAUUUUCCUUCCCAUCAUACUCACGAAAGAUAUUAAAAAGAUGAAGCGUAUGAGGUAAACUCAAUUCCAUUUUUUUGUAGUUUUCUUUUAUAAACUAAACUAGUGCUAAAACAAGAAAAAAAAGAUUCGAUUGCAAGAUCUAAAGAUAUACCUUCAAGCACUCUCCUCCCCGGCAACAGCGCCAGAAACUGCUUGAUGUCUACUACGCAACCUUCUUCUUGUAGACGUUGUUGGGCCUCCAAGUGCAGAGGUUUGUAGGACAGUAGCAAAUUUCCCUCAAGUGGGUGACCUAAGGUUUAUCAAUCCAUGGGAGGCGUAGGAUGAAGAUGGUCUCUCUCAAACAACCCUGCAACCAAAUAACAAAGAGUCUCUUGUGGCCCCAACACACUCAAUACAAUGGUAAAUUGUAUAGGUGCACUAGUUCGGCGAAGCGAUGGUGAUACAAGUGCAAUAUGGAUAGUAGAUAUAGGUUUUUGUAAUCUGAAAAUAUAAAAACAGCAAGGUAACUAAUGAUAAAAGUGAGCGUAAACAGUAUUGCCAUGCUAGGAAACAAGGCCUAGGGUUCAUACUUUCACUAAUGCAAGUUCUCUCAACAAUAAUAACAUAAUUGGAUCAUAUAACUAUCCCUCAACAUGCAACAAAGAGUCACUCCAAAGUCACUAAUAGCGGAAAACAAACGAAGAGAUUAUGGUAGGGUACGAAACCACCUCAAAGUUAUUCUUUUGGAUCGAUCUAUUCAAGAGUUUGUACUAGAAUAACACCUUAAGACACAAAUCAACCAAAACCCUAAUGUCACCUAGAUACUCCAAUGUCACCUCAAGUAUCCGUGGGUAUGAUUAUACGAUAUGCAUCACACAAUCUCAGAUUCAUCUAUUCAACCAACACAUAGAACCUCAAAGAGUGCCCCAAAGUUUCUACGGGAGAGUCAAGACGAAAACGUGUGCCAACCCCUAUGCAUAGGUUCAUGGGCGGAACCCGCAAGUUGAUCACCAAAACAUACAUCAAGUGAAUCAAUAGAAUAACCCAUUGUCACCACGGUUAUCCCACGCAAGACAUACAUCAAGUGUUCUCAAAUCAUUAAAGACUCAAUCCGAUAACAUAACUUCAAAGGGAAAACUCAAUCCAUUACAAGAGAGUAGAGGGGGGAGAAACAUCAUAAGAUCCAACUACAAUAGCAAAGCUCGCGAUACAUCAAGAUCGUAUCACCUCAAGAACACGAGAGAGAGAGAUCAAACACAUAGCUACUGCUACAUACCCUCAGCCCCGAGGGUGAACUACUCCCUCCUCGUCAUGGAGAGCGCCGGGAUGGUGAAGAUGGCCACCGGUGAGGGAUCCCCCCUCCGGCAGGGUGCCGGAACAGGGCCCCGAUUGGUUUUUGGUGGCUACAGAAGCUUGUGGCGGCGGAACUCCCGAUCUAUUCUGUUCCCCGAAGGUUUUAGGGUAUAUUGGUAUAUAUAGGUGAAAGAAGUACGUCAGGGGAGCCACGAGGGGCCCACGAGAGUGGAGGGCGCGCCCAGGGGGGUGGGCGCGCCCCCUUGCCUCGUGCCUUCCUCGUUGCUUUCUUGACGUGGACUCCAAGUCUCCCGGGUUGCUUUCCUUCCAAAAAUAACUUCUCCAGAAGGUUUCAUUCCGUUUCGACUCCGUUUGAUAUUCCUUUUCUUCGAAACACUGAAACUAGGGAAAAACAGGAACUGGCGCUGGGCUCUAGGUCAAUAGGUUAGUCCCAAAAGUAAUAGAAAAGUGCAUAGUAAAGCCCAUAGAACAUCCAAGAUUGAUAAUAUAAUAGCAUGAAUACUUCAUAAAUUAUAGAUACGUUGGAGACGUAUCAGGUCUCAACGGAGCCAGUCGAACAGGCCGUAGAGAGUUUCGUCGGGCUUGAUUCCCGCGACUUGUGGGGUGGCCGACUGACGAGCCACCACAUAUUUCACCCACCGCUAAAGCCGCGACCGACCGGAUCGCUUGCGUCGGCGAACAGCGGGGAGCGAGGACAUCACGGGAGCCGACCGAUACUGGGUCGACGGCUGCCAGAGAAGGACGCCGCAAACGCACGCGCGAAAGUGCGUCGCCCCGGGGACGGGGAGCGCCUCGACGUCGAGGGGAGCUUCCUGAAACCAGGCGGAGUCGUCGGCAAAGAAGACGAGCGCGCCGAGACGGAUCUCGCGGCCCUCAGCCAAUCCUCCACCAGAAACCAUGAUGAUGGGAAUCGGAAAAAUCGCAACUUCACCAAAAAGUCGCUAAGACACCUUCCCCACGGUGGGCGCCAACUGUCGUGGUUCUAAGACUGACAGUAGACUGGGGGGUAGGUAUGAAGAGGCAAGAUCCCAGCUGUGGUGAAGUUGUACACACGAGAUUUACGAGUUUAGGCCCUUCACGGUGGAAGUAAUAGCCCUACGUCUCGGUGCCCGGAGGCGGUCGCCUGGAUUAUAUGUGUGUGGAGUUAUAAGGGGUGCGAACCCUUGUCCCUGAGGAGGGGGGUGGCUUAUAUAGAGUUCGCCAGACCACUCCCGCCCUCAGUUACACAGGCUUUAAGGUACAUAAAGAUGGGGCGUUUCUAGUAACGCCAGUAAUAAAGUGACAUAAAUGUCCAUUAAGUCUACAGAGUAAACGUCCGACCGUUGCUAUUCAGAGUGACUUUAGGUCUCCUGCCUGUCGAGGCAUUCCUGUUACGGUCGAGUGAGCUUGAAUCUUCCGAGUGGGAUGCCUCUAGUCAAGUGGAUGAUGAUAUCCCUUGAAUGCUUCUGACUUUAGGGUAAUGUCCUAGCGGAGGGUGUCCAGGUGAGGUCUAUGAUCCUACCCUAGCUACAUAUCUUCAUCAGGCAGUCCCAAAUAUUUCUCUUCAAACCCUGUCGUGAUUACUUGCAAAAUAUGUUUUACUCCAUCUCUGGUUACAUCCGGACAUGAACUACCCACCAUCAUGGAGCACUUGGCAGGGUUUAACAACUGCCUCGUGGCAUUUGCAUAAACUUCCAGAGUGCUUUUAAUAUAUUGUGCUUCUUGGUCACACGACUUGAAAAAUAAGAGUGUCAUCCGCGAAUAAUAAGUGUGAGACUCCCGGUACACUUCUAGUAAUUUUCAGUGGAGAUAUAUUACGGGUAGCAAUCCCUAUAUUGAUAAAAGCAGAGAGACCAUCAGCAACAAACAAGAAUAAAUAUGGGCACAGCGGAUCACCUUGCCGAAGACCACGCGACGGUGCAAACGAAUCCAGGAUGGCUCCAUUGAAUUUUACUGAGUAUCUCACCGAGGUCACACAUGACAUAAUCCAGUCAACCCACCGGUGAGCAAAGCCAAGCUUUUGCAUCAUUUGCCUAAGGUAAUUCCAGUCCACUCUAUCAUAGGCUUUUGAGAGAUCAAGCUUAUAAGCACAAUAACUCCUGGUAGGGUCCUUCUCUUGCUUUAUAUGAUGAAUACAUUCAAAGGCAACAUAGGCAUUGUCGGUAAUCAUACGUUCAGGAAUGAAAGCACUUUGCCAAGGCGAAAUAAUCUCAUCUAAAACAGGCCUUAACCGGUUUACUAAGCAUUUUGAGACCACUUUGUAAACCACAUUACAUAAACUUAUGGGGCAGAAAUCCGUGAUUUUCACCGGGUUAUCAAUUUUUGGGAUCAUUACAAUGAUAGUAUCAUUAACAUAUUCAGGCAUUAUCCCACUUUGGAAGAAAAAUUUUACCGCGGCAAUUAUACCUUCCUUCAUUGUCCCCCAGUUACGCUGAAAAAACGCGCGGGGAAACCAUCCGGACCCGACGCUUUUAGAGGUCCAAUCUGGAAAAGAGCGUCUCCAAUCUCCUUAUCUGAAAAUUCCGCACAUAAAACAUCAUUUAUUUGCUGAGUUACAACAGCCUCAAACAAAUCAGUGACUUGGGCGUGAUCAAGACUUGGGUCAGCCGUAAACAGCUCCUCAAAAUAAUCUGUAACGGCCUUCCCCAUCUCCUUAAUCCCCGUAUGCACAACACCCUGAGCAUCUUCCAACUUCUUAACUCUAUUUUUCCUGGCCCGCCAUACUGAUUUUGCAUGGAAAAUUUUUGUGUUCCUGUCUCCUGCUUUUAACCAAUCUAUCCGUGAUCUUUGCAACCACAUCAAUUCUUCUCGGUACAGUAACUCAUUCAUCUUGUCUGUAACUUUACGUAUCUCGCAUCUGUCCGCAUUCAUCAACAUCAAUUCCUCCAGCUGGGAUCUAGAUUUCUCGAGCUCAUUUUUUAUACUUCCAAACUUAACUCUACUCCACUCAAACAGUUUAGACAUGGUUGACCUGAGCGCAGCAUGUACGUCGCCCAAACUUGUUUUCUGCCCAGCUGCCUCCCAUGCUCGUGCAAUGAUUUCCUGAAGGGCCGGGUCCCUCUCCCACAUUACUUCAUAUUGGCGGAUUUUUUUCUUUAUACGUACAUCCUCCAUACGAGCACAAUUAACAUGCAGAGCCACAUGAUCAGACACGGGCGAUACCAGGUGGCGAACAACAGGAGAUUCAAAAUUAUCGCGCCAAGCCGGGGUAGCCACAGCCCUGUCCAAUCGCACUUUCACAUUUGCCAAACCACCUCUCUUGUUGUCUUAUGUGUGAGGAACACCCGAGAAUCCCAAGUCUGACAACUCACAUAUCUCCAGUACAUCAUGAAAAGCUUGCAUCUGACUCAUUGGCCUCGGUGAUAAGGAGAAGUGCUCAAAGUCCCACAUGCAUUCAUUAAAAUCACCCACAACUAACCAGGGUAGAUUAGACUAGGAGCUGAGAUUAUUAAGCAGAGUCCUCAUGUUAUGUCUAUCUUCCGCCCUUGGCUCUCCAUAGGUCAGUCUCCACAUAAUUUCAUCCGGCCCCAAUCUAACGUGGGCAUCGAUGCAUCUCUGUUUUGAGAACACCACCUCCACUUUGAGGGAUUCAUACCAGUAAAGGGCCAAUCCACCACUGUUUCCCAUACAAUCCACUCCCUCAAAACCUUUCAAACCAAACCGAGAUCUGUAUUUUUCAUCUUACUUUUUUGUUGCCUUGGUUCACAUAAAAACACCAACAUGGGGGAAAGCGACUGAAUGAAAGUCGCCACUUCGCGAACUGUCCGGGAGUCCACCCCCCCUGGCGGUCCCUGACGUGGAGGCCGCCACUGCAACACUUGACGCCCUAUUGAUAGCCGUUUCGUUUUCUCCUCUCAGCUUUUUUCUGUUGGCACUUUUCUGUGGUGUACCAUCCACCCCUUCCCUGGUUAUUUCUUCAUCUGCACCUUCAAAUUGCUCAACAAUUUCAGCAGUAUUACCUACAGGAACAAUAUCAGUGCUACUCACCCCCAAGUUGUUUGUAUCCGGCAUGAGAGUCACUAAAUCAGCAGCUAAUCUUUUCCCAAGGGUGUUCAGAUCCUCCUUAUACCCAUUCUCCCUUUCAGCUGGGUCAUUGACACCCUUACUUGGGUCUAUUACCAAGGGAUUAACUGCGUUAUGUGGCCAGCUCCUCACCCGGUGUUGGCCAUCUGCUGCAUCAUCAGUCCUUUUAUCCCCAUCAUAAUUAUAUGUCCCACUGUCCCUCCAUAAUUCUCGCUGCACUCCAGUCCUACCAGCACCCCGCCCCCUUCCAAAGGCUUCAUGCUGGGUAGCAGAUUGAAAGGCAUCACCUCUGCCAUACCCAUGGCCAGCUCCCCGGCCCGUGCCACGUCCACCCCCACCACGGCCUCUCCUUGGUGCUAGAACGAAGGGGCCCCAUUCCAUCUCUUCCUCCUUGUGAUCACCAGUACCACAUUCCUCAUGCCAAUGGCCCAAAAGACCACACAUAUAGCAAAACACUGGCAGCUUUUCGAACUUAACCUGGUACCAUUCAGUUUCCCCAGCCUUUGUGAAGCUAACAAACCUUGUAAGCUUUUUAUUGACAUCUAACUUCACUCUUGCUCUUAUGAACUCUCCCACGAAACCAUUGGGAAGGAUAUCUGAAGCUCUAACACUUCGCCAAUGCGUGCUGCCAUAUUCUUCACAAACUGCUCCCUUUUCAGUACCAUGUCAGGAAGCUUAUGUAUUUGGCACCAGGUCUCGAUUUUAUCGAGCUUUACUGUCUCCGGCUUCUUGAAGCCAUCAUACUCCUCGAUUAUAAGCGCCAUGCCUUUGAAGUCCCAAGGACCUUGGUGGAUAGCUUUGUUCCAAUCCCCCAAACAAUUGAACUGUACUGAGAACAGAUUUGGAUUAAUCCUACGCCAGAUGGAAAGGCCCUUGUUAUCGCUGAAGCAAUAUAUAUAAAGCUUAAUAGGGCCUAAGAAAGCUCACACAAUUUUGCAGUGGCUAUGGAAAUGUGUUGCCAAACUGAGACAUAAGAUUUUCGUUUGGCAUCCAGACCGUUUGUGUCAUCCUUAAUCUAUGGUUACUCUAAUUUUUUCCGGCCAGGCCUUCCCUGUGGUACCGCAUCAAGGCAUGCGUGUGUAUACGUUUCCUUUAACUACCAUGUGCAGGAUGAGGAUUUACUGCACGCAUGUGCGGCGGCACUCAGGUCCUGGUGCCGGCUUUUUAUUUUGGCUUUAGAUUUUCAAACUUCUAUAUCUUCUAUACAAAAAAUUUAAUUUAAGUUAUGUUUUCAUAUUCGUGUUUCUCGCAGCCAGCACUUUCAAAUAAGAUCCAUUUUGAAUACAGUUUGGCGAUUUUUGAAAACAAUGUUAAGUUUCAUUGUUUGAAACUUAGUACGAGCGGCUGAUAGAAUUCAAUUAUUUUGUGUCUACGACCAACACAGAAAAUUUCUUAAAAUUACAUCUUUGAAACUAGUUUGUAAGUCAUGGACAGUUUUUGAAUUUUUAGGAUAUUUUUUCAUUCAUGAACAUUUUUUAAAUUGGUGAAAUUUUGUUUAAUUUCAUUAACAAAUUUUAGUCACAAACCUUUUUAAAAAAUCAUGAACAUUAACUAGUUCGUGAAAUCCCAAAUUACUUAAAGCAGAAAAAACAAAAACAGAAAAGAGAAAGGAAUAAUGGAAAACAAAGUUAAAAAAUAGGCCAACCGAACAUGGGCCAGCCCAAACGGGCGCACUGCGUCUUCUCCCAGCGUGUGGCCCAAGCGAAAGAUUUCUCUGUAUGAAACUUUUUUUAUCACUUAUUGAUGGCGUUGGUGCGUAAUGUUUUGCAUCUUUAGUGACAAUUUUCAUGACGUACUGCCAGAAGUUAUUGCCACUUUAUUAUUAGGUAGAGAUUAGGUAUAGAUAGGAACUACCAGUAAAUUAGGUAGAUGAUAGAGACGAUGACUCCGAAGAAGAUCACAUGUGUCGAGCUUGGAACAUGCUAACAGAUCUUAGGGCAUCUCCGAUGUAAACCCAUAAAACAGACAUCGCAAAUGUCCGCGAACACGCACCGGACUGGUUCGCGGACACGAUAGGGGAGGGAGCCAUCCAACCUUGAUGGAUGCUACCCGUAUUUCUCUCACAUUUCUCCAGCAUUUCAUCGAACAAUUGAUGUGCAGAAGUAGGACACGUCUGGUUCAUGCAGCUGGGGCGUCCUGGGAGUUCUGCCUCAUCGGGCACGAUUGAUGUGUCACAGGACGAUGGGUGCGGUCUCGGGCGCGUCGGUAGCGGCCACGACGACAAGAGGAGGUCGCGCCACGAGCAGAGCUAGCCACGGGAGCCGCCAUUGGUGCAGCACUUGGCGCAGCCAGCCCACGACACGCCGGGCAUGGCGGCAAGAGAGCUUCAUGAGGCCAGAGCCGAGCUCGGCCUUGAGCUACUUGCCGAGCAGCCAUGGAGGGCAUGGGGAGAUGAGAUGCGCAGGGAGAAGGGAGAGAGGACAGGGAGAAGGGAGAGAGGAGUAGAGAGAUAGGAGGAGGCGGCGAUGAGGAUGGAGCGCUCGCCUGCAGCUGCCCUCACCGUUGUCCGUAGCCGGCAUCGGUGCUCUCCGUUUAGUGUUAUUUGUAAGGAGAGGGUGGGAGUGGAGACGUGGUGUUUUUUUGGUUAGCUGGAUGUUCAGACUCUCACAUAGUCCCUCAAAGUUGUUCGUGUGAUAUCGAAAUUUGAACAUGUGGGCUGUUCCGCGGAUAUUUAGAGGACCCCACUUGAAGAAUAAAAGUGGUCCAAACACUACUGUCUGACAUUUUGCCCUUAGUAGUUGGUGGAUGUCGAUGUGCUAUCCCUCCAACCUAUAUCAAGAGAUCCAUUCACCGUCUGAUCCCUUCUACCAAACACGUCAUUGCUUUCCAUGGUUCUCUCUUGUCGAUGUGUGAAAUAUUAGAAUUUGAGUUGUUUGGUGAAAUGUACGAGCUGACCGCCAAAAGAACAAAAAAUUUCUUUCUUUUUCCUUUUUUUAUAGUUUUGGCAGGUGCAUUUUCAUAUGGUACAUGUCUAGACCAUUUGAACAGUUUAUUUUGAAUUUGUUUCUUCCAUUCUAGCUAAAUAUAAGAGUUUACAAUGUUCGUUUUAAUCCUUUGGAAUAAACAUUUAUUACUAGUAUUAAAAAGACUAAAUUAGCUGCCGCAUUUUUUUCCCUAAUCAACUUGAAGGCUAUCUACACUUUGAUUAAAUUGUCAUUUAUACAUUUCGUGAUAUAUUAUUUCCAUUAUGUAUAUUAACUGCAAUAAAAAUGACGAUAAUCUGUUUUUCCUUAAGUUUUAAUGAAUGUACUAAAUAAUUAAAUAAUAAAAAUUUACUUACAAAAUAUUAACAUGAAAACGUGCCCUAUGAAUAAAAGGUAGAUAUCUAACUCAGGCACUUAUCUGCAAAAUAAAUGUUUUUUUAACAAAAUUGAAAGUAUUUAAAUUAUUUAAAAUGAAUAAAAAGUACAUGGUCCAUUCUACUUUACCGCUCGAAACACACUGAUUUGUUGUGGCAAUAGAAACACUGAAUUUCAGUCCCACUUAUUAAUGUUUGCUAAGUGAUAUCUGACAAUAAAACGUAAAAUAAAUAUUUUUUAUAUUAAAAUUUUUAAUUAUUAAAUUAAUCAUUUUGUCUGUGAUCUUAAUGUGUAAUUUUCUAUUACUUACGUAAAAUAGUUAACCAUAUAACAAUGUUGCUAAAUAAGAGUUAUAAUGUUUCUUUGUUAUGUAGUUGCAACAUAUAUCAGUAAAAUAGUUAAUUCAUAUUUAAAAGGUAUGAUAGAACAAAAGUUAUUUUUUCAAUCAAGUCUUGAAAUUAAAUAAAUUUAUAAUGUAUAUACAUAUAUUUCCAUACAUUUGUAUGUGUUCAUCGAGAUUUUAAUGUCAUUAAAUAUCAUGUUAGAGAUUUCAAAAGUGUGCUUUCUAACAUGUAUCUUAGUAGUAGUUUCUAGUGUAAUACUAUGUAAUCAUAUUUACAGAAAUUUCUAGAGCACGAAAUAUAUGUCUUGCAAGUUGGAUUCGGUAAUAAGUUGGCAUCAUGACCAUGCUAUUUGUUACAAUUAUUUUUUAUUUUAAAUAAUAACAAAUAACAAAAAAAUAUAAAAUUUAUGGGUGAAUCAUGCAAGUGAGGAGAACACACCAAUGAUGAAAGACAGUGCAUUUCUACGUGGAAUUCAUAUUGACAAACCUUAAGAAUCACAUUCAUUUCUAUGUUUUUAUAGAUUAUGCCCCAUUUGCGGGACUCAGAUACAAGUCAGUUCAAGGUGUGGAGCACGAGAAAACAUAGGAUUCAAGACCAGAUCAGCGACCGACUUCAAAAACAAAUAAGUAAAAAUUGCACAUUAGGUAUCAAGAUUAGGAGUAGAUGGAAAAUUAAUUGAAAGAAAUGGAGCAAAUAGCUCUGCAAUAAGUGCUCUCGCUAGAAAAUAAAUGUUGCGUUAGACGAUCCACUUGAAAACACACAUAUGAAGUGGUGGAGCCGGAAUUUUCACAAUGGGUAUGCAAAGCUAUAAAAAAUUGAUGGGCAACACUAACAACCAUGAAACUGCAUAUUAUUCUCCCUUUUUUUCACAUAUCGACAAUUUAAAUAAAAAAUGACUAGUUAAGCUUGAUUGAAUACUACAAUAAAUUAAACAACAGAUUGAGGAUCAGCCUCUGCUCCGAGUAAAAAAAUAAAGGGAAACUCUAUACAUCAGUAGUCUGCUGUUUCAUCCAUCGGAAUCCUCCACGGCCUUAGAUUCAUUUUCCAUUUGACAUACAUGAUGCUCAUCUAUCCUUAGCUGCCAGCCUCUGGGCCAGAAUGACUACCCUACCCGUGCCCCCACCUUCACCCGAGAGACACCCACCUUCACAUUCUUCCUGUCCAGGAAAGCGACUAAAUUUAGCUUCUCCUCCCACACCAGCAAAACUCCAUCCACCUCGGCCAUCUCUUACUUCACCGAUUGAUCUCCACCUGGUCGCAUGAUAUAAGCUCAUUAUCCUUCGAUGGAAGCAUAAUUAACUUGUAGUGCUAAAAACAAACUUGAAGAUCGUUGGGAGCAAAAUGUGCUCCUUAAGAUAGCAAACUAGUACAAGUAUAUUGGGAAACUCAUUUUAGAGUCAUUAAUUUCCGUAACACUCAAAAUCAGUUUCCUAGAAUUUUGGGGGCAUGAAUUAAGCGAUCAUGUUAAUAAGGGAUCUCAUGUAAUGUUCGAUUCCUAAAAAGCUAUAACCCACUACCUAUUUUCCCUUUACAUGCAACCAUUCCACAUAAGCAAGUCAUGCAUGCAAGUCAUAAAUUACAUUGUUUUUGCAUUACUCUAUGCAUACAGCGUUGCCACAUCAUCAACUCAUGCAUGUUAGUCAUAAUCUAUUGUUUGCAUUAGAUUUUUAUUUUUGGGAAGCAAGAGCUUUGAUUCAUUAAUUAGUGGGCUUACAAUCGUUUUGUAGACAGACAACUAAAAUGGUAUGCACAUAAUUGAUCCAAAGACAUCUCCUUCUACUAGCUGGCGCUUGUUGUGAGCAAAGAUGUGCCCGUUCAUUGGCCUUAUGUCCAAUGAAGUUCAAUUUGAAAAAAAAUCCAAAUUGCCGCUAAGAUCCUCAAUUUCUUGUAGAAUCGAAGCAAUCACAGACCGACCCUUGGCGCAAUCCAUCCAAAGCUUGACAACUUCACUUGUAUCAAACUUUAGAUAGGCCGAAAAAUGACAGACUAGCUCGAAUCCAUCCCGAAUUGCUAGAGACUACAAGAUCAAAGCGUUAGCUGCUUGGUCGUACCAGAUAGCUUGUCCCCUAAUCAAGCUACCCAGUGGUGUUAUUACGGCCCUGGGGUGCCUCACUUUGUUAGUUGUCGGCCCACUAGGUUAGUUCCACGCUCAGUCAUCAUGCCGACCCACGUGCCCUAUACAAAGAAGACUCCAGAAGCCUUGCCAUUCAAGACAAGGAAGCCGGAGUGUUGGUGUACAAAAAUAGGGGUCUUUCUGUACCCCUUUACUUGUGCGCGGACAGUUGUAGCCACACCUGCGGCCACGCUUGGCGGGGCAAAGGAAACGAAGAUACAGGACUGCCAGGGCAGUGCUCAAGCCAGAGGCGCAAAGAGCAAAGGGACAAGAUGGAUUUCCCCCGGCGAGAGCCUUGCCGGGGUGACCUACAUAGCCCCGGCAAGAGCCAUGCCGAGGCAACUUGCCCAACACCUGCAAGGCCGCCACCUUUGAGCUUGAGAGUUCUGACACCAUCGACAACGUCGAGACCAAGACUCAGGGGCGCCUGUGUGAUGGCAAGCAGAUCUUUGUGAGGAACAAAGGCCUGCGAAUCUGGACAGAAACCAGAAGGCGAAGACCCACGGCAAGAGCCUUGCCAGGGACAGGCGGAGACCACCGGCAAGAGCCUUGCCGGGGACAGGCGGAGACCCCGGCAAGAGUCUUGUCGGGGACAGAUGAAGACCCCCGGCAAGAUUUUUGCCGGGGACGCCCGCGAGACCCCGGCAAGAUCUUUGCCGGGGGCUUCUGCGGGGCUAAGGCCAGGCUCUCACUUACCAACGUUUCGCUGCCCCGCACCCGUGCCGACGCGACAAUCAGCCCGCCAACCAGGCAGGCGCCUGCGUGGCAGCAAGCAACCUCUAGGCCAACUAGACAAGCACCUGCGUGGUGGCAUGCAGAUCUUCGUGAAGACCCUGCCACCGUACUAGCACAGCAGCCAGCCAGCCAGCGUGGCGCUGCAUGCCUCGUCAGCUUGGAUGCGCGUCGAAGCAAGGCGAGGCGGCGAUGGACGGGACAAGCUUCUUUUCCGUCCCUAAUAAAGCAAGAGGACACGUAGGCGCAUUAAAUGAGUUUGUGCCACGAUGUCAGGGAUAGACUUGUACACUAUAGACACUUUCCACCUCCCGUGUGCCACUGUGGAAACCCCUUUGACAUAUAAAAGGAGGCUCGAGGCGUACUGAGGAAGGAUUUCGGACUUUUUGAACUAGGCAUGCACCGCAGCUAGUUCAACAGCUCAAGAACACCAAAUAUAUACACCAAAGUAGGACUAGGGUAUUACACAUCGCUUGCGGCCCGAACCUGGGUAAAAAAUCCCCUAGCGCUGAUCUUUUAGUCCCGCUCUUUGCACAGCUCUGCGCCCCGCCAACCGUAGUAGGGAUUCCCCGUGAUCCCAUAGGUGUCGUUUCCCCCGACAUCUUUGGCACGCCAGGUAGGGGGCGCAAGCUGUGAAAAUCUGGUCUAGGUGUUAGCGCAUCGACUUCAUCGUCGCCAUGGCCCCCAAGAAGAAGGGGAUCACAACGAUCUGGUCGUCCGGAGACGGCCCGUCCGCACCGGUGCGGGCAGCCAACGGGGUGGCCAUGGAUGGUGCCGGAGGCGCGGCCCGCGAGCAUCCACGACACUAUGGCAAUCGGAGCCAGGCGAGCGGCGUCGUUCGGAUCCAAGACAACGAGCCACACGCGGUUGGGUCCGGGGGCGGGGCCGUGCUGCCCAUGGGCUACGCGGCAACCUCUAGGACGCCCCAGCUGGCGCCCGCGCCGCGGCCCAGGCCGCGCGCCACGAGCAACACCGCGACGUCGGUGCCCCCGGGCGCCGCCGCGGGAAAAGCCCAUUGCGUCACUCUCAGGACGCACAGGGCCGUCGUGCGCACCUGGACGCUGGCGGAAGCGGCGCGCGACCGCGAGACCGUGAUAGAGCUCCUUCUAACGUGGUUAGAAGUCGGACCGCGUCACAAUCCAUGCAGAUUUCGCCGCCACCCACGCCGGCAGAAGCAUUGGCGGUCGUGCAACUGCUCCUCGACUUUCCUCCUGCCGCGGAGAAGCUUGACGAGUGGAGAGUCACCAUUCGAAGCCUCAUCAGCUUUGCCAAUAAAUAUGAACCAUGACCGGCGGGACCCUCGUGUCGGCGCUCCGUCGAGCCGGCGCACGCCGGUGGUGGGAGGACCGCGGCUGCUGCGACCACGGUGCACUCUCCUCCCCUUGCCAGCAACAGCAGCCACCGGCUCGUCGGGCCGACGCCUGUGACAAUGUUUCCACAACGUCGUCCGACCCGCGAGCCCGCUGCGACCAACAUCAAGUUCUGAGCGAGCUCAGGAGGACACUCGGACCACCAUCGAGCGGCAGCGGGAAGCGUGCCAUCAGUCUGGGGCCCACUAUGGACCGCCCAACGCAGGGGGGGCUCCGGCGACCUACCUUACGAGGUGGGUUGUCCACCCUUUACCCGUGAGCUGCGGCAGUUCAAGUGGCCCACCCACCGCAUGUUCAAGCCUGAGGUUGAAGAGAAGUACAACGGCAAGACUCACCCGUCGGAGUUCCUCAGCAUCUACACUAUCGCGAUGCAAGCUACCGGGGCUCGCGACAAGGUGCUUGCCAACUACUUUCCGUUGGCGCUUAAGACCAACGUCAUGUCAUGGUUGAUGCACCUGCCAGUGGAUUCCAUCUCUUCCUGGUCGGAUCUGUGCCACGAGUUUGUUGGCGCCUUUACCAGAGGCCACCAAGCUCCUGGCCAGGCAAAUGAUUUGCAUGUCAUCCCCCAGAAGGACGACGAGACCCUGCACAAAUACAUACAAAGGUUCAGCCGUGUGCAGUACAACAUCCCAGAUGUUCACCCCACCGCUGUCAUUAGUGCAUUCCAUCAGAAUGUGCGCAACCGCAAGAUGCGUGAAGAGCUGGCGAUGAACAAGGUUAAGGAUGUAGCCGAGCUUUAUGUUCUAGCUGAUAUAGGUGCGCUCGGGCUGAAGAAGGAAGGAAGUACCCCGGCGAGGACGCGGGCGCGGAAACCGACUCCAUGGAUGAAGAUGCCGUUGCCCCGGCAAAGAAGGGUCGACGCCGCAAUAGGAAGUGUAAGGGCAAGACCGUGCUUGCCAUUGAGGGAUCCGGCAACCCCGGCGCCGCCAAGAAGGCCAAGGCUGACGACCACGGCAAGGAAGUUGCCGGGUGCGCCAUCUGCCGGGCUUUGGCGGCUGCCAACAAGCAGUACUGCAAGAUCCAUCGCACCAAGGGCCAUGACCUCCAGAACUGCCAACAGGUUGAGCUGCUUGCGGAGAAGUAGAAAGCUGAAUAUGAAAUGCGGGACAAGGAGAAGGGUCAGGAUGGUGCCGUGGGGUCCGGCAAGGAGCGUGUCAGCCAGGGAGGUCACUGCGGCAAAGAUAAUCAACAAGAGAGGCCCGCUCGGGGCCGUGAUAAGAAAGAGGGGGACGAUGACCAUGAUGGCGAUGACGAGUCCACCAAGCAUGAGUUCUAGAAGGCCACGGAUUCCAUGUGCGUCAACGGUGGUGCCUCGUUUCACACCUCUCACCACCAGCUGAAGCAGUGGGCGCGUGAAGUCACUGCGGCAGAGCCAUUGUUCGAUGCCCAGACGCCACUGAAGUGGUCCAGCACACCUAUCAUUUUUUACACCGAGGAUCGAUAUCACCCCGAUCGCACAACUGCGGUCGGGUGCUUGCCGUUGUUGGUUUCACCAACGAUAAGCAACCUCAAGGUGACAAAAGUGCUAGUUGAGGGUGGGGCCGGUUUGAACUUGAUCCCGCCCGCCGUGAUCAAGAGACUACAGAUCCCUGAUGGAGAUCUCGAGGAGACUGGCACGUUUCAAGGGGUCAACCCGGGGAGGAGUCAGCCGAAGGGUAAGGUCACGUUGCCCGUUACAUUUGGGGGCGAGCUGAAUUAUAGGAUGGAGAAGAUCGUUUUUGAUGUCGCCAAGAUCCCCUUGCCCUGUAAUGGGAUCCUUGGCCACCCGGCACUGGCCAAGUUCAUGGCGGCGUCACAUUACGCCUACAACACGUUGAAGAUGCCCGGGCCAAUGAGCAUCAUCACCGUCCCUCCGACAAGAAGGACGCUCAUCUGUGCCGACCAACUUUAGCGGGAGGCAGUUGCAGCAACUGCCGCCAAGGCACUUGCUCCUGCCGCUGAAGCCCAGGAAGGGAAGAGAACUGGCAAGACCUCCUGCACCCACUCCGGCAAGCGCGCCUCUUCGGAGUGCUGCACUCCCGUCGAGGGCGUGCCAGAGAGCUCCACCGGCAAGAGCAAGAAAUCCAAGGCAGCACCACCUGAGACCAAGAAGGUGCCCAUCAAGGAGGACGGCACGGGCGGGGAUUUUACUAUAAGAUCCACCCUUGACAGUAAAUAGGAAAGCGCGCUCGUCGCCUUCCUGCGGGCGAAUGUCAAUUUGUUUGUGUGGCAAGCACCGGACAUCCCCGGCGUUCCCAGGGAGUUGAUUGAGCACCAUCUUGAUGUCUGUCCUCAUGCGCGGCCUGUCAAGCAGAAGGUCAGGAAGCAAGCUUUGGAACGAAAAGAAUUCAUCGUCGAGGAGAUCAGGAAGUUGGAGGCAGCAGGCUUGGUCAGAGGAGUGCUCCACCCCACGUGGUUGGCGAAUCCAGUGGUGGUGCGCAAGGCAAAUGGGAAAUGGAGGCUGUGUAUUGACUAUACAUAUAUCAAUAAAGCCUGUCCAAAGGAUCCUUUCCCUCUGCCACGCAUUGACCAGAUAGUGGACUCCACUGCUGGGUGUGACUUGCUGUCAUUCCUCGACGCCUACUCAGGAUACCACCAGAUCUUCAUGAUGAAGGAAGACAAAUAAAUGACUGCGUUCAUCACCCAUGUGGUAUGUACUGUUUUGUACGGAUGCCUUUCGGGUUGAAAAGCAUUGGUUCGAUAUUUUCCCGAGCAGUCCAAAUUGGUUUUGAGCCAUAGCUGCAUAGAAAUAUGGAAGCUUAUAUGGACGAUAUAGUGGUCAAAACCAAGGACAAGGCUACGCUCGUGCAGGAUCUGGAGGAAACAUUUGCAAACCUACGCAAGAUCAACCUCAAGCUCAAUCCAGAGCAGUGCGUGUUCGGCGUUCCGUCCAGCAAGCUUCUUGGUUUCUUUGUGUCUCAACGUGGAAUCGAAGCAAAUCCCGACAACAUCAAGGCGAUUGAGCAAAUUGAGGCACCAAGACGGGUCAAGGAUGUCCGUAGACUUUCCGGCUGCGUUUUUGCUCUAAGUAGGUUCAUCCCCAAAUCUGCUGAGCGCGCCCUCACCUUUUUCAAAGUUUUGAAAAAGGCGGGUCCAAUGAAAUGGACUCCGGAGGCAGAGGCAGCGCUGCAAGAUCUGAAGAGGUAGCUCUCCUCCACGCCAACACUGGUCACGCCUAAGCCACAAGAGCCGUGCUACCGUAUCUAGCGGCAACGAAUCAAGUGGUUAGUGCUGCACUGCUGGCGCAGGGGAACUUGAGGAAGAAACAGCGGUAGCGGCCGAGCCGUCGGAUGAUGUGCCAAGGCAUUCCCCAGCACGGCCUGAUAUCGGCAAGGUGGGACCCCCGGCAAGGCCUGAUCCCGGCAAGAUAGAGUCUGCGCAAGUAGGCGAAGUUGAACAGAAGAAGAAGGUGGUGCAGCACCCGGUUUAUUUUGCCAGUUCCCUCUUGCAGGGGGCUAGAUCAAGAUAUUCUAGUAUGCAGAAGCUACUUUUCGACCUCCUCAUGUCCUCGAGAAAGCGGCGCCACUAUUUCCAAGCACAUGAGAUCACCGUCGUCACCCUCCCUUUAAAGUGAAUCUUGCACAACCCAGAUGCGACUGGGAGGAUUGUGGAGUGGGCGUUGGAGCUGUCAAGCUUUGGCCUCAAGUUUGAAAGUACUUCAACGAUCAAGAGCCGGGCCUUGGCAGAGUUCAUAGCAGAAUGGACCGCAACGCCCGACGAAGAGAUUCAAGAGACCACCCUUCCCGGUAAGGAGAUGUCCGUGAUUGGGUUAUGUACUUUGCUGGAGCUUUCCCACUGCAAGGUGCUGGUGCCGGCAUGCUACUCGUCACACCCACUGGAGAGAGCCUCAAGUACGUAGUCCAGAUGCACUUUCACUUGGAAAAAUCAACGAACAACAUGAUGGAGUAUGAGGGAUUGCUUGCCGGUCUCAGGAUCGCAGCAGACCUCGGAAUCAGGAAGCUCAUCAUCAGAGGUGAUUCGCAGCUAGUCGUCAAGCAAGUUAACAAGGAUUACCAGAGCCCGUUGAUGGAGGCCUAUGUGGAUGAAGUGAGGAAGUUGGAAGAGCGUUUUGACGGUCUACAAGCAGAGCAUGUUCCCCGAGCAGAGAACAGCAUUGCCGACGACCUGUCGAAAUGCGCUGCCCUCAAGUUGCCUGUGGAACCAGGUACCUUUGUGCUUCAAUUAACUCAGCCAUCCGUUGAGCCGUCAGUAGGACAGAACAAGCGAAGGAAGGCAGGCCCCGGCAAGUACUUUCCCACUGAGCUCCCAGGAGCCGCGGGCAAGGAAGUUGCCGGGUAUCCCAAGCUUGCCGAGGAGCAGCAACCUCCGGCAGGGCACCAGGCCCUGACCGUAGAGGCAGCUGCCCCUACGGCCGAGAAUGAGCCUUUAGUCCUUGCCGUCGAGCCCCAGGCUCUGGCAUGGGCGCAGCGCACCGUCCGUUUCCUCCAAACGGGGGAACUCCCUGAGGAAUAGGAAGAAGCAGAGAAAGUAGCCCGUCGGUCCAGCACGUACCAGUUUGUGGAUGAUACCCAAUACAGAAGGAGACCAAACGGUGUGAAAUUGAAGUGCAUUCCUCAGGAGGACGGACUGGAGUUGUUGGCGGAAAUACAUGGAGGCAUAUGUGGCUCUCACAUAGGAUCAAGGGCCCUUGCCGGCAAGGCAUUCUGGCAAGGUUUCUUUUGGCCCACUGCCCGCCAGGAUGCAACUGCACUAGUAACCAAGUGUGAAGCGUGUCAGUUCCAUUCAAAGAAGCUCCAUCAGCCAGCUCAAUCUCUUCAGACAAUCCCUCUCUCCUGGCCAUUUUUGGUCUGGGGGCUCGACAUACUGGGGCCCUUUCCCCGUGCUGUCGGGGGCUUUGAGUACUUGUACGUUGCAAUCGAGAAGUUCACAAAGUGGCCAGAAGUGGAACCGGUGAGAAAGGUGACAGCACAAUCAGCUGUCAAGUUCUUCAAGGGACUAGUAUGCCGUUUUGGUGUGCCAAAUAGAGUCAUCACCGACAACGACACACAGUUCACAAGCCGCACCUUUAUGUAGUAUAUUCGAAACCUCGUCGGCAAGGUUUGUUUUGAUUCUGUUGCUCAUCCCAGAAGUAAUGGCCAGGCUGAGAGGGCGAACGCAAAGGUGUUGUGAGGACUCAAGACCAGGAAUUUUGACAGGCUACACAAGUGCGGAAGGCGCCGGAUUGAUGAGUUGCCAACUAUUCUUUGGUCGAUCAGAACGACGCCAAAUCGAGCCACUGGCCAGACACCCUUUGCCCUGGUAUACGGGGUAGAAGCAGUUCUCCCCACGGAACUCAUAUACGGGUCACUGAGGGAGUCCUGGACAAAGGGGUCCUCGGGCGUCCGGCCUGUUAGCCAUGGGCCGGACUGAUGGUCUAUGAAGAUACGCAGACCGAAGACCCUACCCGUGUCCGGAUGGGACUCUCCUUGGCAUGGAGGGCAAGCUUGGCGAUUAAAUAUGUAGAUUCCUUUCUUUGUACCGACCUUGUGUAACCCUAGAUCCUCCCGGUGUCUAUAUAAACCGGGGGGACUUAGUCCGGAGGGGGGAGAGACUCAUUACCAUAGUCAUACAGGCUAGACUCUUAGGGUUUAGCCAUUAUGAUCUCGUGGUAGAUCAACUCUUGCAAUACUCAUAUUCAUCAAGAUCAAUCAAGCAGGAAGUAUGGUAUUACCUCCAUAGAGAGGGCCCGAACCUGGGUAAACAUUGUGUCCCCUGUCUCCUGUUACAAUCGACCUUAGACGCACAGUUCGGUACCCCCUACCCGAGAUCCGCCGGUUUUGACACCGACAUUGGUGCUUUCAUUGAGGUUCCACUAUGCCGUCCCCAAAAGGUUUGAUGGCCCCUUCAAUCGUCAACAAUGAUGCUGUCCAAGGAGAAACCUUCCUCCCCGGACAGAUCUUCGUGUUCGGCGGCUUUGCACUAUGGGCCAACUCGCUUGGCCAUCUGGAGCAGAUCGAUAGCUACGCCCCUGGCCAUCAGGUCAGAUAUGGAAGCUUGAACUACGUCGCGGACAUCCGUGGAGACUUGAUUUUUGACGGAUUUGAGACCGCGGCGACCGCUCCUUGUCGCCACGAUGAACAUGAGUUAAAUCUGUCAUCGGACCGCAUCCAGGAGAUAGCUUCCGUAACUGCUCUGGCUCUAGAUCCGGAGCAGACCGCGCCAUCCGAGGACGGGAAGCUCAACCCCGCCAUGGAGGUCACAGAUUCUGCAGCGUUGGAGCCGCACAUAGACUUAACCUCACGCAAUAUCUGUGUCACCGGAACUCCGGACUCGUCUCCGGCUAUAAGUUCCGAACCAUGUGCGUCCGCAGAGGCCGAGCUUGAUCAGUUAUCGAUCUUCGAAUUCAGUGCCGCAGACAUCUUCUGACACUCGCCCCUCGGCCUUGUGCUGAACUCGUUAAAGAAUCUUUCCUUGGCGAGGGACUCACAGCCGAAUUAUGUCCGGUUUGAACAGGAGGCUGACGAUGGGGGAGAAUUUCGCUUCCCACCCGCCACCCACUUCAUAGCCACUGUCGAGGACUUAACCGACAUGCUUGAUUAUGGCUCCGAAGACAUCGACGUUAUGGACAACAAUGCUGAGGAGGAGCAAAGGCAAAACCCGCCAUUUACUGGACGCUGGACGACCACCUCUUCGUAUGAUGUGUACAUGGUGGAUACACCCAAAGCAACCAACGACGAUGACAAAGAAAAUACAGUUGAGAGUAAACCUCCUGAGACACAGCACAAACGUCGGCGUCCUCGGCGCCGCUCUAAGUCACGUCGUUCAAAAGACAGCAAUACUAGCACCGGAGAAAAUAAUACUCCGGACGAUGCCGAAAACAAUGAAGACCCUGUUGAGGUAACAUCCGAACAGGAGGAACAAGAAAACAGGCAAGUUAGCCCCGAUGAACAGGCCAUGCCCAACGACUCGUAGGACGGUAGUUAUCGUCCGCUCUCCGAGGAUGAGGAAUGCCUCGGCAACGAGGAUUUCAUUGUGCCCGAGGAACCUCUUGAGCAGGAGCACUUCAAGCGGCAGCUAAUAGCCAUUGCAAGGAGCCUGAAAAAGAAGCAGCAGUAGCUUCAAGCUAACCAAGAUCUGCUCGUCGACAGGUGGACUGAUGUCCUGGCAGCCGAGGAAUACGGCCUCAGACACCCAGCCAAAAGUUACCCGAAGAGCAGAUUGCUACCUCAGUUCGAUGAAGAAGCGCCAGAGCCCAUACCUCCCUUGCAUAAUGCGGCCGAUCGACCACUACGCGGUCGGGAUAGUGCGGCGGACCGACCACCAUGCGGUCGGGAUAGAGCGGCAACUCAGGCCGAACAGCAGCCCGCCCCACCGCCAUGUAAAAAUAGAGACAAAACAGUUCGGGGUCAUACAUACGACCUUCGGCAGGACCUGGAUAGUAGAGCAGGAUAUACCAGAUCGAUUUACGGAUCGCGAGGAUGUUCCUCGACACGCGAUGAUGGCUACUUAUUCGGACGUGACAAACCUAGUCACGCCCGGGCCGACAACCGCAGACGGACUCCAUCAGAGCUACGUCGCGAUGCGGCCAGAUAUAGAGGCGCCGCACACCCUCUUUGCUACACUGAUGCAGUAAUGGAUCAUGAAUUCCCCGAAGGGUUCAAGCCCGUGAAUAUUGAAUCAUACGACGGGCAACUGAUCCCGCGGUAUGGAUCGAGGACUUUAUCCUCCACAUCCACAUGGCCUGCGGAGAUGACCUCCACGCUAUCAAAUACCUCCCACUAAAGCUUAAAGGACCAGCUCGGCACUGGUUAAACAGCCUGCCAGAAAAUUCUAUCGGCAGCUGGGAGGACUUGGAAGAAGCCUUCCUCGACAACUUCCAAGGUACAUAUGUCCGGCCACCAGACGCCGAUGACUUAAGCCACAUAGUUCAACAGCCUGGAGAGUCAGCAAGGAAAUUCUGGACUAGGUUCCUAACUAAAAAGAACCAGAUCGCCGACUGUCCGGAUACCGAGCGGCCUUUAAACAUAGCAUCCACGACGAAUGCCUCGCCCGCCACCUCGGCAAAGAAAAGCCAAAAUCUAUGGCAGCCCUUACGGCACUCAUGACCCGCUUUUGCGCGGGUGAGGAUAGUUGGCUGGCUUGUAGUAAAAACACAGCCAGCGAGGCAGGCCCCUCUGAGGUCAAAAACAACAACGGCAAGCUCCGACGUAACAGACACAAACGCCGAAGCAAUGGUGAUAAUACCGACGACACUACAGUCAACGCCAGAUUGAGCGGCUCCAAGUCCAACCAACAGAAGAAACCGUACGAAAGAAACAAUCAGGGACCAUCCAGCCUAGACCGCAUACUCGAUCGUCCGUGCCAGAUACAUGGCACCCCAGACAAACCAGCCAAUCAUACCAACAGAGAUUGUUGGGUUUUUUAACAGGCCGGCAAAUUAAAAGCCGAGAACGAGGAAAAGGGAUCGCAAAGCGAGGACGAUGACGAGGAGCCCCGGCAACUGAACACAGGGGGGCAAAAGAAGUUUCAUCUCAGGUCAAAACAGUAAACAUGAUAUAUGCUACACACAUCCCCAAAAGGGAACGCAAGCGCGCACUCAGGGACGUCUACGCGAUAGAGCCAGUCGCCCCAAAAUUCAAUCCAUGGUCGUCAUUCCCGAUCACCUUUGAUCGUCGGGAUCAUCCGACUAGUAUCCGUCAUGGCGGUUGAGCCGCGCUAGUCCUCGACCCAAUCAUUGAUGGAUUUCACCUAACGCGCGUCCUUAGGAACGGGGGUAGCAGCCUCAAUUAGCUCUAUCAGGAUACAGUGCGCAAAAUGGGCAUUAAUCCAUGAAACCCACCAAGACUACCUUCAAAGGAGUCAUACCAGGUGUAGAGGCCUGCUGUACGGGCUCAAUCACACUAGAGGUUGUCUUCGGAUCUCCGGACAAUUUCCGAAGCGAGGAGUUAAUCUUUGACACGUCCCCUUUCGCAGCGGCUAUCACGCACUGCUCGGACGGUCCGCAUUCGCUCGAUUCAAUGCAGUGCCACACUAUGCUUAUCUCAAGCUCAAGAUGCCCGGUCCACAUGGCGUCAUAAUGGUCAAUGGAAAUACGAAACGCUCCCUCCGUACAGAAGAGCACACAGCUGCCUUAGCAGUAGAAGUACAGAGCGGCCUUCUCAAGCAGAACCUUAAUUCGGCUGCCGAGCCCACGGACACCGUUAAGAGGGUCCGAACUACCCUGCAGCAGGACAGCUCGGCUCGUUAGGAGCUCGACUAGCAAUUCGGCCUCCGUCUCAGUCCCGGUCAAGUGGUGGCAUUCGUACCACGCGUACAUAACUACGCACUCAAAAUUCCAUGGGCAUCGACGAAGGCAUAGCUAGUUUGUGAUCCACAGUAUGGCUCAACCAGCACCGGAUACACACAAACUUUCACUUUUAUUCGUUUCCUUUUCAGGUUUCAAUCCCGCAGGCCCCAUCUGAUGGCCUGAUCACCGGUCCUCUUGAAGGAUAAACACACCUAGACGGCAAGAAACACAGACGUUUGGGGGACUUUCAAGGUGGUUUCAUUAACGAUCACUCUACCUGUUUUUCAGGACCCACAUGCAGCUCUCCCUUGGUUUUUGGGCAUGUUAAAUAGCCUGUUGCUUAUCGCACUACUUGUAUCAAUGCGCCUUGAUGUAUUAAUCAAAUUACAAUGGAAACAGUUCGCGGCCCGAGCUUUAGGGCCCCAGCUUAUCACCUUUGCACCCUUUCUGUUUUCUUUUCUUUUUUUCUCUCCUAUGGGUAACCUUAUCAGGUAGCACCCGUACACUUUGGUACGUUUCAUAUUUGCCAUGGGCUUCACAGCACCCCGCACUACGGCAACAAAAGUCCAAACACUUUUUAUAAUAUAGUUCGGCACCCCGAAUUUAACAAUAUAUGCAUUGGCUCCGAAUCAUGUCUUUGGUCAAUAGUUGGGUUGCCCGGCUCCUGUGCUUGCUACCUUAUGUUCCGCUAUAUCGGCUAAGGUAGUAAAGGGAGAACUACUGCGAUUCGGCCUUGGUUUAUCGAAAGGAGCACCUCAGUAGAGAAUGCCGAAAACUGACUGCCAUGAUGCGGCGAGAGCCGGUCAGCUCUUCGGAGGUCGCAAAUCGUUGGAGAUUUCUUUCGCAUUACGCGAACGAUCGGUACUUCCAAAUCAGGCACUUAUAGCACUCUAGUUCGGAUACUAGGGUCUAUGCCAACAUUUUUAUUAUCAAACUCCUAUGGCUAAGUGAGGGCGUUAAAGCCGCAUAGUCUGAUUACCUGGUUCGUUGCGCUAAACAACUCCUUGAAGGAACAUAUAAUUGGAUCAAGAGUGUUUAGAUUCCAUCCCGAACACCUCCGUACUACCUACGAGGGGGCAGAAGCCGAUGACUGGCCAACCCUCAGAUUUCAUACAACACUGCCGCACAGGAGGUAAUUUUUUUAACAUAACAAACAUUAUAUUACAAACCGAAUUUGUUUUAUCAUACAAGGUAGAGGCAACUCGAAUACAUUCAUUCCAAGAUAAUGUCCUGCGAACACUGCGUCGCUACAAUACGAGACCCCUCCAGGACGUCUCCAAAAUACCACUCGGGUGUGCGGUGCACCUUGCCCUCGGGUGGCCCCUCGGUCACAAUCUUGAUGGCGUUCAUCUUCGCCCACCAGACCUUGACGCGGGCGAAGGCCAUACGCGCACACUCGAUGCAGACGGACCGCUUGACGGUGUCCAGCCGAGGACAGGCAUCCACCAGCCGCUUCACAAGGCCGAAGUAACUACUGGGUAUAGCUUCGGUUGGCCACAGCCGGACUAUUAAAUCCUUCAUGGCCAGUUCGGCCACCCUGUGCAGCUCGACCAGCUGUUUUAGCUGAUCGCUGAAGGGCACCGGAUGUUCUGGCGCAAGAUAUUGCGACCAGAACAGCUUCUCCAUGGAGCUCCCUUCUUCGGCUCGGAAGAACUCCGGAGCAUCGGCCACACUACGUGGCAGAUCAGCAAAAGCCCCUAGAGAACUCCGAAUCCGGGUUAGUUAAAGAUACUUCCUCUUCACAUACUUGCUUUGCAUACUAAAUGCCUUACCCGCCGCGAUCUUCCUGGCGUCCUGGAUCUCCUGGAGGGCGCCCUAGGCCUCAUUCCGGGCCGUCUCCACGCUCUGACGAGCCUUGGCGAGUUCGGUCUCUUGAGCCGACGCAUCAUGCUCCAAGGUCUCGCACUUCCUCACCGCGUCCUGGAGCUCUUGCUCGACCUCGUUGACCCUGGCCUUGAGCUUCUUACGGGCGGCCUGCUCCUUGACAGCCUUCCCCUCAGCUUCGGUCAGGGCCUUUUUUAGGGCCUCGACCUCGGUCGUCGCUCGUAUACAUAUCAUGACACUUCAGUCAAUAAAUAUCAUUUUACUCUUUUCGAAUAUAUAACGGGUUAUUACAUACCUUGCUUCUCUUAGAGCUGCCUCCUCACCUGGUCGAGCUCCUCCUCGGCCUACUCCAGUCUUUGCUUCAGUCCGGAGACUUCGGCACUAUGCGAGGCCGCGGCCAGCAGCGACGCCUGCGUAUUCAUUUCAGACAUAUUUAGUAGUUUCCUGCAAUAAGGGGAUUAUCAUCUGUCCGUCUUUUCUUUCCGAACACCGGACAAUGUCUCAGGGGCUACUGUCUGUAUUGGGAUCUUCUCUUUUUUCGUCGCUUACCUCAAAACCUGUUAGCAGGCUGCUGCAGGCUUCGGUUAGUCCGCUCUUGGCGGACUGAACCCUUUCAAUUACCGUGCCCAUAAGAACACGGUGCUCAUCCAUAAUGGAAGCGCCUCACAGCGCUUCCAGCAGAUUAUCCGCUGCCCCUGGUUGGACAGGGGUCACCGGCGGAAUAGGCAUACCCCUUCUUUCGAAGGAGGUUGCAUGCCGGAUUCCGGAGCCGUAUCGGUCUCCGGAAUCAAGUUCGGCUGAGGGCCGAACUGAAUAUGGCCCUCAUCACCAGUAUCCAUGGGGAUUGGCUCCCCCUGGUGUCCGGCAACGGAGGCUUCACCUUCUGGCGCCUCCUGAACCUCUCCUCGGCCUGGGAAAGUCCUUCAAGACAGCACCUCGGCGUCGCCCUUGGCCUUGGGGGAGUGAGCGGUCGGCGAUGAAUCGCUGGCCAUCGCCUUUGAAUCCAACGAACCUCUUGACGAGGAUCGCUGGGAGCUGUCGUGGGCCGACUUCAAUAGCAUAAUUAACCAUGUCAAUACAAUGAAGAGGAGAGGCUCGAUUUAUGAGUAUGUAUGAGUCUUAGCACUUACGAUGUAGCCCGAGGCUUAGUGCGGGGGCGUCGCUCCGGACUGCUGUCGACAUCCCACGCGGAGUUAUCCGCAAGGGAGCCCUUCCCCUUCUUGGACGUCUCCGCCUCCAGAUUCGUGGAGGCCGCCCUCUUCUUCUUUUCCUCAUCAGGGGGAGGGUUGUUCUCCUCCUCCUUCUCGUCGUCGUCGUCCUCAGCAGCGGAGGCAAGGGUCACUUCGUCUUCGGACGUCACGUCCGAAGCACCCUUGCGACAGGGGCCACCUUUGGCCCCCUUGGCCUUCUUCUUGGCCUUCUUUUUCGGCGGCUGAUAGGGCGCCGGAACCAGCAUCUUCGCCAGGAGCGGGAUGACUGGCUCUUCGGGCAGCGGAGCCAAACUCUGGAUCCGCUCCGCUCUCUCCGUCCACACCUGAAAAAAUACAGCAAAGAUUAGGCAUCCUCCUUGAAUAGACAAGUAGAAGGUACGCCUUAAGAAAAGGAGAACUUACCGCAUUGGCGGAUGGGUGUGAUCGUGCCCACGGUCCGAAUCUAUGACCAGCGGCUUCUUGUUGCCCUUGAAGAGCAACUUCCAGGCAUCUUCAUGAGUAGUUCUGAAGAGCCCUCCUAGGGUCUGGUGCUUCUCCGGAUUGAAUUCCCAUAAAGGGAAGCUUUGGCUUUGGUAGGCGAGAAUCCGGCGAACCAGCAUCACCUGGAUCACGUCGACGAGCUUGAUGUUUUUAUCCACCAUACUCUGAAUGCGCAUUUGCAGCGCUAUCAGCUCGUCCGACGCAGACCAGUUGGGGCCCUUCUCCGUCGAGGAGGUGAGCCGCAUUGGAGAUCCGGCCUUAAAUUCGGGAGCCACUGCCCAAGUGGCGCCGCGUGGCUCUGUGAUGUAGAACCACUGCUUCUGCCACUCCUUGACAGUCUCCACAAAAGUGCCUCUGGGCCAAGUAACGUUGGGCAUCUUGCUCACCAUGGCGCCUCCGCACUCCGCCUGCUGACCAUCCACCACCUUCGGCUUCACGUUGAAGACCUUGAGCCAUAGGCUGAAGUGGGGCUGGAUGCGGAGGAAGGCCUCGCACAUGACAAUGAAUGCCGAGAUGUUGAGGAAGGAGUUCGGGGCUAGAUUAUGGAAAUCUAGCCCGUAAUACUACAUCAGUCCGCGGACGAAGGGGUGAACUGGAAACCCCAAUCCGCGGAUGAAGUGAGGGAGGAAAACUACCCUCGCUAUAGGCUUCGGGGUGGGGAUGACUUGCCCCUUGGUAGGCAGGCGAUGGACGAUUCCUUUCGCCAGAUACCCGGCCGCACGAAGCUGGGUGAUGUCCUUCUCCUUGACGGAGGAGACCAUCCACUUGCCUUGGCCUCCGGAUCCGGACAUGAUUGAGUGCUUCCUUGAGGAGGAGAAGAUGGGAACUUGAGCUGGAGCUCGAGAAUGGAAGGACAGAGAGGAAGAGAAGGCGUGGGUAAAGAAAGAGAAUCCUUAUCUCCUUAUAAAAGCAGUGAAUAUUGAACGCCUCCCCACUCACCUUAAAACUCACCUCUUUACAAGGGCUGUGUAAACAACACGUUGGGUUACCCACCCCCGUAUUGAUGAGAAUCCCGCAAUAAGGGGACACGAUCUCUGCUUCGACAAGACGUGCCAAUGGCAACCGCGUCUCGAAACAUGGAGGAACAGACGAAAAACGGUUCGAAAUUAUGACCGGGCGAACGUGAUGUCAUGUUGCAAAAAGUUGUCAACAGAUUGGACUCGUGGAGUGUUAUAUUCUUUGCGGUUCUGUGUGGUGUGCGUGUUACAGGUUCAUACACGAUCAGUGCGUCCGAAGACUAUCUUGGAGUUCGGAAGGAGGAACCCGCCUUGCAAUGCCGAAGACAAAUCUGCGUGCUGGAUACCUCAUCAUUGAAGCCAGGUUCAGGGGCUACUGGGGGAGUCCUGGACUAAGGGGUCCUCGGGUGUCCGGCCUGUUAGCCAUGGGCUGGACUGAUGGGCUAUGAAGAUACGAAGACCGAAGACCCUACCCGUGUCCGGAUGGGACUCUCCUUGGCGUGGAGGGCAAGCUUGGCGAUCAAAUAUGUAGAUUCCUUUCUUUGUAACUGACCUCGUGUAACCCUAGAUCCUCCCGAUGUCUAUAUAAACCGGGGGACUUAGUCCGGAGGGGGGAGAGACUCAUUACCAUAGUCAUAUAGGCUAGACUCUUAGGGUUUAGCCAUUACGAUCUCGUGGUAGAUCAACUCUUGUAAUACUCAUAUUCAUCAAGAUCAAUCAAGCAGGAAGUUGGGUAUUACCUCCAUAGUGAGGGCCCGAACCUGGGUAAACAUUGUGUCCCUUGUCUCCUGUUACCAUCGACCUUAGACGCACAGUUCAGGACCCCCUACCCGAGAUCCGCCGGUUUUGACACCGACAGUCACAUCGAGUGCUCGCUUAUGAUGAGCUUGAGAAAGAGCAGUUGCGCCAAGACGAUGCGACGCUCGUCGAGGAAGAUCGUCUUCGGGCUCCUGUGCGAGCCGCUCGCUAACAGCACCUUGCGCCGCUACCAUAGCCGGAAGGUUCAUGCCCGAAGCCUUGAGGAAGGCGACCUUGUUCUUCGGCGAAUCCAAUCCGCCAAGAAUUCCAACAAGUUGACGCCAAAGUGGGAAGGCCCUUAUCGGGUAAUACGAGUCACCAGGCCCGACAUAGUCCGCCUGGAGACUGAAGAUGGUAUCCUAGUGAGUAAUUCCUGGAACAUCGAGCAUCUUCGCAAGUUUUACCCAUAAGGCUCGGUUGCCGCCCCCCGGCAAACCACCUUUUUGUACAAGCCUUGUCGGCGAGGCAUGUAACCCUUUGUACAAAGCCAGGCGCAGACCCUGAGCAACAGAUGAAUAAAUGAAGCGCUGGCGCCCUAAGUUUUAGCAUGCAUGUUAGGUUGAGUCUCCCUCUGGUAGGGUUGAUAGUGCUUAGCGGCUACUAACCCCUAGCAUAGAGGUUGAGUUUGUGUCUUUGCGUCCCUUCCAGUCCUUCUUGAUUCACAGGCUACACGGGCGCUUCAGCGGAACUUUUUGGGGAAAGGAGACGAGUUGGCACCCCGGCCCCGACAAGCCAUUCUUGCCGGGGGCAACACAUUCAGAUAAGUCUUUUUCCCAGCCACGUACUUCCGUAUGAAGCUUGAACGUAUGAACCCUCGCUUGAUCCCAUGCCACCAUGCUCCCUCCUCCCUAAAUCCGAAUCCCUUUCGGGUUGGAACUUGAUUGUAGUUGCGGUGGAAGGGAGACAGACGAAGGGCCCAAUCCUACUUUUCCACUACCCUCGCCAAGGGCUUGAGUGUAGUCGUGGUAUAAGGUGGGAGGACGGCAAGGCCUGUUGCCGGGCGACGUUGUUUACUUAAAGAAAAACAAGGAUUCGUUCCUUGGUGUGGGCCUCGCUCGCGCACAAAAAACCUGGCAAACCCCCUUUUCAUUGAUACGUUGAUUAAACAAGUACAGUUCAUACGGAAUGUGAACAUGAGCAAGGGGUUGCAAAGUCUAAAUUCGACAAGUGCGCGUAGGCUUAAUAUCUAGAAAAAGAUAAGAUGCAGGUAAUCCGUUUCUUGUCCCUCUUCUCAGGAGGCGGAUUAAGAUAGCGGCAGGGCAAAAGGAGUGGCUAGGCGAGAUACGAGCAGCAGAUGGCACCAAGUGAACGUCCCGGCAGCCGGCCAGAAGAGGGCUGGUGAUGACGGUGCCGGGGAAGAAGCCGAAAGAUGAGGCAGCGGGCCGACAAUACGAGACGAGGGCGUCGAUGCCAUCGUACUCCCACUUGACGGCCCGCCACCCGCCUUCUUCGUCUUAUCCAGCCUUCUAGCGCCAGCCGCCAGAGGCAACGACCCCGAGAAGUUCAAGGAGCUGGCUCGAGGAGCCGCGCCAAGAACUACCCCCCGGCAAAUCACUCUGUCGGGGAGAAGGCCAGGUGCAGAUGGUGCUGCUGUCGGCGUCGCCUAUGGACGGGGCGUCCGACGUCUAGUCGGACCCGUCCCCGUCGUCCUCCCCACCACCCCCCUCCUCGUCACCGUCGCACGAGGAGGAGCUCUCGUCAUCGGUCAAGCUCUCCGCGGAACACCCUAACCUGAUUCCCGAGCGCCCGAAGACCUUGACGGAGAGCAGGUCGCUCUUCACUAAUUUGAAGUGGGGAACGUGCCCCUUCAUCAAGCAGUGGGUGCGUGCGAAGGUUUUCCAACGCCGACGAAGGAGCAUUACAUGAGGGACGGGGAACCUUGUGUUCACCCACAUGUCGCCGUUACAACAACCCUUCAUGUGGAGCCUCAACCUCGGCGGUUGGUCGAUCUCCAGCACCCUCGCAAACGCCUCGGGAAGACGAAGGCGGCUAUGCGGCGGCUCGCGCAACUACAAGAUGAACUCCAACGCUGUGUCUCCAACAUGGCCGCUCGACGAAGCAUGAGGAGAUGGUGGCGGAGACGGCGGCGUUGCGGGUGUCCCCCUUCUGCCCCCACCUCUGCCUCGACCACUUCGCCGAUCGCGACUCCGUCCGGCGCCUCCGCCUUGAGCGUCUGACUCUUCCUUAACCGCCGUGGCCCUCUGGCGGGAGGAAGACCUAGUCGGCUCCACAGAAGGACGGCCGCGGCCGUGCCCUCUCGGCAUGGCAGUCGAUGGAGAAUGGAGAAGAAGGGUAGAAACGAGAGGAUGCCUCUCCUCCUUCUCCUGGUCCCCUUCUUAUAGCCAAGCAAAGAAGGCUGAAGACUGGCUCUACAUCUCCGAAGAGCCCUUUCAAGUCCGGCUUAUUAAAGCCAUUUGAUAACAAGCAAGGGCAUCGACCGCCCUCCCAACGCCAAUCAAAGGCGCAUGGGUAUCGGCCAUGGAGCGCCUUCCCAUACCCUACACAUCCUCCACCUACCCCAUGCCAUGCAUGCAGCAUACGUGACGAAAAAGGCGGGCGUGGUGGGAAACAUGGAACAGCGGUUCCAAGAUUAGCAAAGGCACAGAGGGUAAAUGAGCAGCACCCCUGCUUUUCCCUCUUUUUUAUGGGGAAGAUGUGGGCCGCCUCUUUACUAUUCGCCGCAGGGUGACGCAAGCACGCUGCAAGAGUCCCAUGCAUGAUCCCCACGUUACGCACUCAAUGCGGGUCGUGGGGAAGCGCAAGGAGUUACCACAGUUAAAACCCUGCCACGCGUGCCCGCGCACCGUUCUGGGCCUAGCCCAACAACGCUUUACGCUUAUGUGUGGCCCAGGCCCGAAGGCUCCUGUCGGUGUACAAAAGUAGGGGCCUUUCUGUACCCCUUUACUUGUGCGCGGGCAGUUGUAGCCACACCUGCGGCCACGCUUGGCGGGGCAGAGGAAGCGAAGAUACAGGACUGCCAGGGCAGUGCUCAACCCAGAGGCGCAAAGAGCAAAGGGACAAGAUGGAUUUCCCUCGGCGAGAGCCUUGUCGGGGCGACCUACAUAGCCCCGACAAGAGCCUUGCCGAGGCAACUUGCCCAACACCAGCAAGGCCGCCACCCUUGAGCCUGAGAGUUCCGACACCAUCGACAACGUCGAGACCAAGACUCAGGGGCGCCUGUGUGGUGGCAUGCAGAUCUUUGUGAGGAACAAAGGCCUGCGAAUCUGGAGAGAAACUAGAAGGCGAAGACCCCCGGCAAGAGCCUUGCCAGGGACAGGCGGAGACCCCCGGCAAGAGUCUUGUCGAGGACAGAUGAAGAACCCCGGCAAGAUCCUUGCCGGGGACGCCCGCGAGACCCCGGCAAGAUCCUUGCCCGGGGCUUUUGCGGGGCCGAGGCCAGGCCCGCACUUACCAACGUUUUGCUGCCCCGCGCCCGUGCCGACGCGGCAAUCAGCCCGCCAACCAGGCAGGCGCCUGCAUGGCAGCAAGCAACCUCUAGGCCAACUAGACAAGCACCUGCGUGGUGGCAUGCAGAUCUUUGUGAAGACCCUGCCACCGCAGCAACGUAGCUGCCAGCCAGCCAGCGUGGCGCUGCAUGCCUCGUCAGCUUGGACGCGCGUCGAAGCAAGGGGAGGCGGCGAUGGACGGGACAAGCUUCUUUGUCGUCCCCAAUAAAGCAAUAGGACACGUAGGCGGCGCAUUAAAUGCGUUUGUCGCACGAUGUUAGGGAUAGACUUGUACACUGUAGACACUUCCCACCUCCUGUGUGCCACUGUGGCAACCCCUUUGACAUAUAAAAGGAGGCCCGAGGCGUACCGAGGAAGGAUUUCGGACUUUUUGAACUGGGCAUGCACCGCAGCUAGUUCAAUAGCUCAAGAACACCAAAUAUAUACACCAGAGCAGGACUAGGGUAUUACGCAUCGCAUGCGGCCCGAACCUGGGUAAAAAAUCCCCUCACGCUGAUCUUUCAGUCCCGCUCUUUGCACAGCUCUGCGCCCAGCCAACCGUAGUAGGGAUUCCCCGUGAUCCCAUAGGUGUUGUUUCCCCCGAUAGGGAGCCGUGGAGGACUCCCCUCCACCGACGUAGCGGAUUAGGUUGAGUAACCAUAGGGGCUCUGGUAUCUUAUAUAAGCCGAGGUUGAGCUAGUCGAUAGAGCACAUUAGAAUCUCUCGGUUCAGUGAGAUCUGCUCACUGAAACAUGGUAUUGGUAUAUUGGAAAUGCAACGCAUCAUUAUGGUAGAAAGAAAAGAUUUUUACACCAGGUUAUGUUUUAGUUGUUUCGCAAAACAAAAGAAGUUUUAGUAGAAUUGGAAGCAACUUUCAGUAACAUAGGAACCAAUUCUUGCUUGAAAAGGAAGCAAAUUGCAAGGCAGGAAAGAUAACAGCAUCUCUAGCAGAUUCCCUAAAACUCAUACUCCCUCUGUUCCUUUAUACAAGGUGUUUGGGUGUAGGGCUGCUAGCUACUGCCGCAUGUCGAGUGCGUACCUUCUGCUGCAGCUGCCUUCUGCUGUUGUUGGAACUUGUCCGGGUGAGGGAGACUGGCGCGCCAUCUGGCUGUCGGACAAUGACAGGUGGUCGGUUAGGCAUGUAGCUUGGCGGCCGGCGGCGAGUAAAAUUUCACCUGGGGAAAGGUGAAUCAUAGACUGAAGAGCUUUACAUUGGGUCACCUAAGAGUAAGAGUGCUUGCUGGGAUUUUAUUUUUUUGGGGCCAAUCUCUAUUCUCCUAUGGUAUAACGGUCAAACCAAAAUAUCAAGGGCGGGCCACGGCACAUCGGGCUUUUCUCGAAAUCACUAAUUAAGGAGCACUCUUUGCAACGGUCACUCCCACCUUCCCAGGUUGCGACAAGUGGUGUCACAACCUGGGAUUUUUUUUCUGUAGAUCCGUUUAUUCAAAAUGUUUUACCUCAUAAAUCGUGCGCCUAAAUCUUGAACCGUUUUCACCAUUGGAUUCCUUGCGUCGAGAUCUUCAAAACUACACCCUAUGUUGAUAGGUUGUAACGAACUUUUUUUCACGAAAAAAACAGGCGAAAAGACCAAAUCGGGAGCACUUUUUUUUACCUUUCUGAAGGCGGCACGACUGUGCCUCUCGCGGAAGCAAAUCCGUGCCUCCAUGAGAAAUAAACUCGUGCGUCUAGUGGAAGGAAAAAAAUUCCGAGAAGCUUGGCCAUGCGUCCCGCGGAAGGAAAAAAUGACAGAAAUCGCGUUUUUUCGUCUCCAGAGACACGGCCGUGCCUCUCGCGGAAGGAGAAAAAACCGCAUUUUUAUUCGUUUCCAAAAGGCACUCGCGAAAGCAAAACCGUGCCUCUCACGGAUGGAAAAAAAUCUGUUUCCGAGACUACCGUGAAAGCAAGACCGUGCCUCUCGUGAAAGGAAAAACACAUUUUUUCCGUUCCUCUAGCGGAAGCAAAACAAAUGAAAAUGAGUUUUUUCGUGUAAAUGUUUUGUCCAAAAGCUAAAAAACCAGGUGGAAAACCGAAAACCCAGAAAACAUCAUCUAAAAACCAAAAACAUGUGCGAAAAAAAAACAAAAAUCCGAAGGACACACACCCAUUGCGUGACACGUGACGGCGAGUGAACUCUCAGGCCACCCCAAGUGAUCCUUGGGAAGGCUCCCGAAGGAGUGCUCCGUCGUGAGUUGCUCACCUUUUUCCUCAAUUUCAGUAUAGGGGAUCUUGCAAAAAUGUAGGAUCAGCUUGACUUCCCAAAAUCUGGGAUUUGUUUUCACAAACCAUGCGAGCAGUUAUUAGGAAUUGUUUGGCUUCCUAAGAUCUCCCGUCAUGGCGUCCAUGCUCUCGGGGGGCCCCGCGACUUGGCCCGCGCCGCCCACCAAGUUGUGUUGGCUGCUCGCCGGGCAGCGCUGGUGAUCGUGGCUCGCCUAGCCCCCUCAGAUCUGCCGAGCGCGACAUGUGAUGGUGAUGUACGUUCAGUGGGAGGAGACGUUUCCCUCGACUAUGAAAUCGAUUUCGUCGAUCUCAAGAUGAAGUGCCGGCUCAGUACCAAGAAAGUGCUCAUAGGAGUUGGUUGUGCAUGUGUGCGUUUAUAGGGGUGAGUGUAUGUGCGUGUAUGCAUGAACGUCUGCAUAGUGUGUUAAGGAUCUAUUUUGCUUCCUAAAAUCUAUGGUGGAAACUAGUGUGUUAAGGAUCUAUUUUGCUUCCUAAAAUCUAGGGUUUGUUUCCACAAACCAUGCGAGCCGUUAUUAGGAAUUGUGUAACGCUUGCAUAUUAAUAUACUUCCUCUGUUCCUAAAUAUAUGUCUUUGUAGAGAUUACACUAUGAACCACAUACGGAUGUAUAUAGAUGCAUGUUAAGUGUAUAUUUAUUCAUUUUGCUUCGUACGUAGUCCAGCUAGUUGAAUCUUUACAAAGACUACUUAUGUUUAGAAACGGAUCUUGCUUUAUUAGUAGGUAGGUAUAGGUAUAGAUAUAGAUUGUGUAACCAUUUAUUGCAAAAUAACCUAAAAACUUAAGACCCGUCUCUUUCCUAAAAAAACAAAAAACUUUAAGACCCGUCUCUCGUCGCCGCCAUCCACAUCUAUCAGAUCCACACUGUCGAUCGUCUCCCGACAUGGCGUCUAUCCUCUCGCGGGCCUCCCGUGACUUGGCUCGCGCCGCCCGCCAAGUCUCGUCGGCUGCUCGCCGGGCAGCGCCGGUGACCAUAGCUCGCCCAGCCCCCUCAGAUCUGCCGAGCCGCCGCCUGUCCGUCCACAGCGGCGCCACCGACGCCAACAUCCCCGGCUACACCAACCCACCCCCCGACGAGCCAGUGGAAUUCGUGGCUUCAGACAACGACCUGGAAUCUGACGAGGCCCUGUGGGCGCUCUACGAGCGCUGGUGCGAGGCUUACAACGAGGAGCGCGACCACGACGAGAUGGUUCGCCGGUUCGACACAUUCAAGGAGGCUGCUUUCAUGGUGGACCGCGUGAACAAGGCCAAUCUGCCCUACACCCUGAAACUAAGCCAGUUCGCCGACGGGAAGCUGGCAGAGUCCGUGUGCAAUAAGUGGUGUGGUGAUAAACCUCGCCCUGAUCCCGCAGCUUAUCAUCGGGAGGGUGAGUUUUACAUCUAUGAUGAUGGCGGAGAUGAUGUGCCGAAAUAUCCCACGAUGAGGUUCCUCUUCUGUGAACGUGGAGGUCCCAUCAUCCCCUUGGAAUGAAUUGAUCAUCCCAUUAGCAGCAACCCUGAAUAAAGUUCUGCGUGUAUGGUGUUAUACAUGCUUAUUUUUACAAUGAUGGGCGUUUGCACACGCUGCUACCGUAGCGAUUGUAAGGCUUCGUAAACCUUGCUGUUGUAAUCUCGCUGGUUCUUCAUGAUUAGGUUUGAUAACCACCAACUAUCCCCUCUAUCCUAAUUUACCGUGUAUUAAAAUAUUUGGUUUAUUCAUUAAAAAUCAGGUGGAAAUACUUUUGCAGGGGAGGGAUUAUUCUCCGACUCAUGCUUGUGGAUUUUCAUCAAAAUGACUUUCAUGCCAUUCAGUUUAUUUUUGAAGUUAUUUAUUAGUUUAUUUUUUUAAAUCAUUAUUUGUGGAGAUGUCGAAGUAAUGGUUAAAGAAGGAAAUUAUACUGUUUUAGGGACUGCACCGAUGUCAAGUACGUUAAUCAGCAUAUUUAAAUCCCAAUGAGUCAUCGACUAUAUAAAAUUCAUAUGCAAUGAUUAACAAAGAAAUCUCGGCCUUGGAUAUUUUAAUAGUUAAAUAAUCAUUUGCAGAGAUAUUGAAGUAGCGGUUGAAGAAGAAAGUUAUAUUUUAUAGAUAAUGAUGAUAUCGGAUGGUCGGAUUCCUUUUGGUGAAAUCUGGCUAUCCGGGAUGAAGGUUUACACUUAACAUGGCAGUGACGGAGCUACAAAUACAUUGUUGGGCGGGAGAAGCCAAAGAACACGAAAGUUUGGAAUCAAAAGAUCAAGUUAGCAGUUGUAAACAAAAGAAGCCACACCAAAAUAUAGCUUCACAUUUAGAUAUUUUAGUUAUCGAUUACAGAAGUAUGGAGAAUUGAGUGAAAUUUUGAUGCAGGGAAAAUUGUGAAUGAACCAAACCAAAUUGGAUACAUGCCUACAAUCAAUCAAUUUGGAUAAAAAUCAAGCUCUAGGUGAAAUUUAAGGCAAGGACAUUGUCAAUGUGUCGAAGAAAAUGAGUUGUGCAGCUGGCAUUCACAGAAAUUGGAGUGUGCCGGAGAUGAGAGGAUCAAAUUCAAAGAAGAAAGUUAUGCGCCUAUGCCUCACUUGUAGCAAGACCGAAGAAGCUCUCACUAAAGGAAUGCCCUCCCAGACGCAAGUAAUGUGCCCGCCCAACUUUCAGUUUAGUUCCUUUUCUUUACGUUUCUACAUUGUUUCGUUUUGUUUUGUUUUCAAAUAUAUUUUUAAUACAUGCAUUAAAAAUAUAAAUUUACUAUAAAAAUAAAACCAAAAUUUGAUUUUUUUUUUAAAAACAGUGUAAAGUUUUUGCCAGCAUAACUUAAAAUAUGUUGGUAGUUUUCAAACAAAUGCUUGUGACAUUCUAAAAAUGUUCCCGUAUUACAAAAACAUGUACAUGAAAUUUUAUAAAAAUAAAUAUACAAAGUAAAAAUAAUCCAUACAAAAUGCUAAACAUGUAUAAAAAAAAUGUUUUCGAUGACUAAGAAAAAUGUAUGAUGUGUACCAAAAAAGGUAGACGUCAAGCCAUAUAUUUAGGAAAAUGUUAAUCAUGUUUAUUAAAAAUGUUAAACAUGUAUAAAAAAUGUUGUAGAUGUAUACAAAAAAAUAUACAAUGUGUAUGAAAACAUUAGGCAUCAAAACAUAUAUUAAAAAACAGUUAAUCAUGUAUUUGAAUAAUGCUAAACAUUAUUGAAAAUUGUUUUAGAUGUAUACAAUAUGUAUGUAUGAAAACAAUAAACAUCAGACAUAUAUUUGAAAAAUAAUAAUUAAUCAUGUAUAUGAAAAGUGUUAAACCUGUAUAAAAAAUUGUUUUAGAUGUAUACCAAAAGUAAAUUCCGUAAGAAAACAAUAGCCAUCUAAACAUAUAUUUAAAAAUGUAAUCACGUAUUUAAAAAUUGUUUAACAUGUGUUAUAAAAUAUUUGAAGUGUAUACGAAAGAUGUACAAUGUGUAUGAAAAUAAUAGGCAUCAAAACAUAUAUUUGAAAAAAGUUACUAAAGUAUAUGAAAAUGAUAAACCUAUAUAAAACUAUUUUUGAAUUAUACCAAAAAUAUACAAUGUGUAUGAAACUAAUAGAUAUCUAAACAUAUAUUUGAAAAAUUAUCUUGACACAUACGAGAAAUGUACAAUAUGAAAGAAAAUAUGUAGACAUGUGUUAAAAAAGGAACAAAGAAACCCGAAGAGAAAAAAGAAAACAAGAAAAGCAGAGAAAAACAAGUGUAGAAGAGAAAAAGGAAAUAACGAAAACAAGAAAAUCAAAGGAAAACUUGAAAGAAACAAAAAAGAAGAGAAAAGAAAUAAAAGUAAAAUGUCAGUGAAAACCAAGAAAGCAACGAAUAAAACCAGUGAGAAAACAAAGAAAAUGGGAAAAUUGGUGAAGAAACAAAGAAAACAAAAGAAAAAAAAAACUAGCAGACGUCGAGCGAACGAACAUGCAAAAAUAGCCCGGCCUAAAUACUGUGGCACAGAGGAAAAAUCUGUAGGCGAGAGUAUCAUACGACUCGCUGUAUGCGCGAGAUAGUCGCCACACAUAGAUGAGUCCUAGCGUAGCGGUGCUAGUCGGUACAUCUCUAUAGGAACACCUCUUCAUUGGACCGGCCUGCGAACUACACUCACCUACCAAUUGCGCCUGUCGCUUAUCUGUAGUCCUGUCGCACUGCACUGCGAUCUUGUUCCUUUUUCAAAAUCUUGUCCCCUUCGUUUACUACAGUCAUCUUACAAAUUCAAAAUGCUUAACUUACAUGGUUUUUUUUGCAAAUCUGAAAAAUGUUUCACUAAAUAUUAAAACAAAUGUUCACCUUUUAAAAUUGUUCACGCAAUUUAAAGAAAAUGUUCAUCUCAUUCUAAAAAUGGCGACAACAUUUAAAAAAAUGUUCACAUUUUUAAAAACUUAGCUAUAGGAGGUGAAGGCAAGGGGGGCUGGUGCGUGGGGAGGGAGACUCCUGGAGCUAGGGAGCACGCCGACGCCAUUGCUCACGGUGCAAGUUCGUUUCAAUCUUCGAUCCUGCUCGCUCUUGAUUCUGGGUACAGUAAAUUUUAGCUAGCUACGCUGCAAACUAAGUGGUGUGCCUCGUAUUAAUCUAUCUAUCUAUCCUAUCUUUUAUUCGGCGAGAUGGUUGCGCCUGUGGCGGAUGUGGCCGCCGCCAUCGCCGGCACCUAACCUGGUCUAGAUCCCUCCACUAUAGGAAUCAGCUACUUGACCGUCUGCCACGGCAGACGGCAAAGGCAAGGAUGGCGGACGGCAAAGGCCUUCGCCGUCUGCCGCGGACGGCAAAAGGCUCCGGCAAAGUAGGCUACGGUAAAGAGCUUCUUUGCCGUCUGCUUUCUGAAGGAGAUGGCAAAGGGGCCUUUGCCAUCGGCGGCGGACGGCAAAGAAAGCCGACGGCAAUAAAUUCGCUGUUAGUCCGUUAGGCGUCUAACGGCAGUCUUUGCCGUCCGCCGCUGACGUCAAAGAGCAUCAAGCCUUUGCCGUCUGCCACUGUAGGCAAACUGACCAAAUGGGCCAGCAGCCAGGAAGCAUAGGUGGUUGCCGUCGGUGGCAGACGGCAAAGAGCCCGUUGCCGUCGGUGGCAGACGGCAAAGAGCCUGCAUUGCCUCUUUUUUCUUUUUUUUCUUAUACCCAUCCAUUUUCACAGCAAAUAGAUGAUACAUAUAUAUUUUUCACAUGGCAAGUUCACAGCAAACAUAUGAGAUAUCCAACACAUAUAAUUUCAUCAUACAUGCAUCGUUCCAUCAACCAUACAUAGCAAGUUCCACAUACAUGCAUCCAACCAUACAUAUUACGAUAGUGUCAUCCUACCAUACAUGCAUAGUUCAUCGAUACAAAAGAAACAUAGUUCAUCCAAACAAGCACUCCAGUUAUAAAAGCAUAAAUGGAAAAGAAGCACUCCAUCCAUGCAAGCUUCCGUGAAUUAAAUCAAAUAUGCAAAAUGAUAAACAAGAUGUUAGAAAAAGAAGAAGAAAAUGAAGAAGAAGAAGAAGAAGACUAUAAGAAGUAAGCAUACUUAUGUAAAAUGGAGCUAACCUAGUGGAAAAUGAAGAAGAAGAAGAAGAAGAAGAAGACUAGAAGAAUACUAGAAGAAGACUAGAAGAAUACUAGAAGAAGAAGAAGAAGACUAUAAUUAAGCUUAUUAUGUAAACUUGGUCAUUUUGUGCUAACAUAAGUAAUUUUGGAGUUAACCUAUAGGAAACUAAGCAUAUUAGAGAUAACUUAGCAUAUUAGAGCCAACUUAGGUAAAAUGGAGCCAACCUAGCUAAUUAUGCCAUCUUUGAGUGAACUAAGCAUAUUAGAGCUAACUUAUAGCUAACUUAUGUCAUUUUGGAGAAGAAGAAGAAGAAGACUAUAAUUAAGCUUAUUAUGUAAACUUGGUCAUUUUGUGCUAACAUAAGUAAUUUUGGAGCUAACCUAUAGGAAACUAAGCAUAGUAGAGAUAACUUAGCAUAUUAGAGCCAACUUAGGUAAAAUGGAGCCAACCUAGCUAAUUAUGCCAUCUUUGAGUGAACUAAGCAUAUUAGAGCUAACUUAUAACUAACUUAUGUCAUUUUGGAGAAGAAGAAGAAGAAGAAUAUAUGACAUUUAUGAGCUAAUUUAGGUGAAAUUGAUAGUUUGUGAGCUAACCUAGGUGAAAUGGAUCGUUUAUGAGCUAAUCUAGGUAAAAUGGGUCAUUUUAGAGUUAACUUGAGUAAAAUGCAUCAUUUUGGAGCUAACCUAGGUAAGAUGGGUCAUUUUGGAGCUAACCUAGGUAAAAUGGGUCAUUUUUAGAGCUAACAUACGUAAAAUGGAUCAUUUUGGAGCUAGUCUAGGUAAAAUGGGUCAUUUUAGAGCUAACUCGGGUAAAAUUGAUCAUUUAUGAGCUAACUAAGGUAAAAUGGGUCAUUUUAGAGCUGACUUGGGUAAAAUGGAUUGUUUAUGAGCUAACUAAGCUAAUUAUGCCAAGUCUAGGUCAUUGUGGUAAGCAUAUUGGAGGAAAUAAGGCUAAGUCUAGGUCUUUAUGCAUUUGUUAAGCAAAACACUAGAUAAACUUACCAUGAUCAUGGAGGUGUAGGGGCGGGAUGGCUCGUGCCGGUAGCUGGAAAAGGAUCGUGCGAUGCUUGUCUGGAGUUACGCUGCACCAAAGAUCAUUUCCAAUGUCUCGUUAGCAUGAUGACACUCAAAUGUUAAGACUAGCAAGUAAUGUCCAUUCAAAUUAAACCCACCAUGGUCCCAGGAGCAAUCACUGGCAUCGGCGGAGCGGUCUGACCGGUCUUCUCGCACACAGACUGCACAUUUGGUUUUGACGACUCAGUCAUACUAGUUAGUAAUGAGACAAACACUACAUGAAUGUUUUGGCUAAUCUGCAGAAGAAACUUACCACAAGGAGCUCGUACAUGGCCCUUGCCUGCAUGUCAUUCCGUGCCCUCUCCUCCUCCAACAUCUUUGUCGUCCUCUCCUCCAACUCCCGCUGCCUCUCCGCCGCCUCCGCCAGAAGAUUCUUCGUUCUAUCUCUCUCACUCUGUAUAGCAGCCUGCAACGCGACUCCUCAUUACCAUUUGUAAUCAUUGAUGGAAGCACACACAAUGUAAUGGAGAAAGAUAGCUGAGUACGUGUAACUAACCUUGAUGGCGAGUUGGACUGGCCGUUCACGAGGCCUUAUCUUAGGAGCGGAGCUCGACUGGCGCGCCUUGAUCUCCUGGAGAGUGCUAGGACAACGGAUAAGUCCAUCUUCAAUGGCUAUGGAGCCAUGGGACCUCCCGCCACCAGAUAUCAUCACCAGCUCUGGAUCAAUGGGACCCUGGCUCGGGUUAAAGUCCUCCCCUUUCCUCGCCUUCCCCUCAUCUGUAUAUUUCACGAGCUUGUCGUGGGAGGAGAUGUUGGUGAAGUUUUUUGCAUCAUCGAGGUCACACGGAGAGAAUGCCUUGACUUUCUUGAAAGAGGCAGUGUGGGCCAUGGCAUACAGGUCGUACACCUCUGGCACCUUAUCCGCCUUAUUGUAGCGUGCCUGAAAGAGAGAAACAAAGUAAAUUAGUAAUUAAAGGGCUCAAGCUAGCAUGAUGAAUGAAUUGCAUGAAUCAUGAAGCAAACCACAUACCCAGUUCUGCCCGAACUGAUAUAAGUUGGCGCUGCCUUGAUGGUGUGGCACACCUUCCAUUUGGGCACGUUUGUCCUUGGCCGCGUUGUGGACGGCUAGCCAUUCUUUUGAGCACCACUCAUUGACCAACACCUCCCAACAAUCCAUCCGAUCCGCACACCAUCUCGGAGGCGCCUAAGUUAGCAAAUAGAAACUUGAGCGCUACGGCUAUGAAUUACUAAAUGAAGGAAGUAAGUACAAGGCCUUAAGAAUUACCUUCAUGUACUGCUCCUUACUUAGGAACUUAUCGCGGCACGCCGGCUUGGGCUUCUUGAUAUAUACCACGCAAGGCGUAGUAGUCUCGAACAGCCUGCACCCGAGCCUCGUGCCGUAAGUUCUGUAGUAGGCGCUUGCAGACGUUCUCGAUAACAUUUGCCGCCUCCUCCUCGUAUCCCUCCUCACACCUGUAGAAUGUCUGCAAUCAAAUGAGACAAUAUUAAUUAGUACAAUUAAUAACUAGCUAGUUGAAGAUUUUUAAAUGUGUAAAGGAGAAAUUACCCAGAACUUUCUGAUCACCACGUCUGCCCUCGUGUCGCACAAGACACCGUCGAUAAUCUCACCCGGCGGGGCCGGGGCAGCCAAGUAGUGCUCCCAGCUCAAUCCAAGCUCUGGAAGCCGACCCUCACCAGGCAACGUGACAAACCCCGGGACGUUUUGCCGGCAAAGCACUCCAAGGACAGAGUUGGGCCGGCGGACACUAUGAUGGUGGUCCCAACCCCUACAGCAUGACAAGACCAACGCAUUAGAUAUUUGAAGAAACGUCAAUGCAGAAGGUACAAAAAGAUUAAAUGCACUUACCUCUCCCCAUCAGGGUAAAUCAACCACCUCUGCUCGCGGGUCGUCGGCACGGACGGGAGCCGUGUACAACCACGCUGGUAGACGGUGCCCCCUCCUCCUCAAUAUCAGUCGGCUCCCCGCCAUCAUCAGCAUGGCCACUCGGCCCCUCAGGCUCAUCCGGCCAGGUACCCCAUCCAGACGUGUGCUCCUCCGGGGUCUCGUGGGCCGAAGGCCCGUCGACCCGAGGCUCGUGGGCCGAAGGCUCGUGGACUGGAGUCCAUGUAGCCUCCUCCUCGGACGAGUCCACCCUAGCAGUCACGUGCUCGGGUGAAACAGCUGGGGGUGGCGGCGAGGAAGGCGCCCUAGCAGUCACCCUACCUCCUCUCCCGCGACCACGUGCUCCUCUCUUCUUCCCUCCCUUACCUCUUCCCCUGCUGGGCACUGCUCUCGACGAAGAAGGGCCCGGCGGUGUCGCCAUACUGUCCAGCAACGCUCGGCGGAGAGGUGCAUGUGGAAUGGAAGACCUCCCACCACGCGCCGACGAAGAAAGGGCCUCGGAGCGCUCCCGACCAGCGCCCAACAUCUUUCAACACCUGCCAUGACAAAGAGUAAACGAAAUUAGUACAACAUAAAAAAAAUACCGACAUUAAUAAUAAUAUAUGAUGUUUUUCAUAAAAAAAUCAAAAAAAUAUAUAUGAUGUUUAAAUCUACCCGAUCAACACAAUUAUAUAUGAUGUUUCUCAUAACAAAAUCGAAAAAUAUAUGAUGUCAGGGUGUCGGGGGUCGGGGUCGGGGUGUCNNNNNNNNNNNNNNNNNNNNNNNNNNNNNNNNNNNNNNNNNNNNNNNNNNNNNNNNNNNNNNNNNNNNNNNNNNNNNNNNNNNNNNNNNNNNNNNNNNNNNNNNNNNNNNNNNNNNNNNNNNNNNNNNNNNNNNNNNNNNNNNNNNNNNNNNNNNNNNNNNNNNNNNNNNNNNNNNNNNNNNNNNNNNNNNNNNNNNNNNNNNNAGGGGGUCACGGGGUAGGGGUGUUUCCUUCUCUCCUUCUUCUUCUUUCCUUCUCUUCUUCUUCUUCUUCUUCUUCUUCUUCUUCUUCUUCUUCUUUCCUUUCUUCUUUUUCUUUUUUCCUUCUCUUCUUCUUCUUCUUCUUCUUUUAUUUCUUCCUUAUUUUCCUUUUUCCUCUUCUUCUCAUCUCUCCUCUUUUUCUUCUUCUUCUUCUCCUCCUCCUCCUCCUCCUCCUCCUCUUCUUCUUCUUCUUCUUCUUCCCCCUUCUACAUAUUCUUCUUUUCUUAUUCAUCUUUUUUCAUCUUUUUCUACUUCUUAUAAUUAUAUAACUAAUUAACUAAAACCCAUGCACUAGUCUAAUCUAAUAUAAUCUAGCACUAAAUCGAACACUAACACAUAUCUAGUAUAAUCUAACAAUUAAACAGCAAAAAAGAAAAAACAGAAAAAAACUCACCGGAGAUGGCGUUGGCUGGGGCUUCGCAGCGGCAGGGUGGCGGUGGUGACGGGGGCCCCAGGGCUUCGGGGCGGUGGCGCCGGGGCGCUGGGAGGUGGUGGGGGCGGCGGGGCACCGCGGCGGUGGGCUGUUCGGGCGGUGGGGCGGCACGGCGCCGCAACUGUGGGCCNNNNNNNNNNAAAAAACUCACUGGAGAUGGCGUUGGCCGGGGCUUCGCAGCGGCAGGGUGGCGGUGGCGACGGGGGCCGCAGGGCUUCGGGGCGGUGGCGCCGGGGCGCUGGGCAGGUGGUGGGGGCUGCGGGGCGCCGCGGCUGUGGGUUGUUCGGGCGGCGGGUGUUGGGGGCGGCGGCGGGUGGCGGUGGUUGUCGGGGAGGAGACAGAAACAGAGAGAUGGAGGGGCGGGGUGGGGCUCGGCCGUUAGUUAGGUUAGCUCUUUGUCGUCCGCCCCACCUUUGCCGUCCGCUUUUUUUCUCUUUGCCGUCUGCUGGUAGACGGCAAAGAAGGGGCUCGUUAAGUUUUUUAUGAUCAGCUCGUUAGCGGGGGCCACCACUCUCUUUGACGUCCGCUAGCGGACGGCAAAGAAUUGGCUGAUGGCAAAGACCUUCUUUGCCAUCAGCCCAUUCGUUGCCGUCCGUUUUCCUGAAGCGGACGGCAAAGACCUUCUUUGCCGUUAGCCAGCAGACGGCAAAGAACUGGCAGACAGCAAAUAAGCUAAUUCCAGCAGUGCUCUUUUGUAUUUGAGAAAAAAAGAUUUCCCUCUUCUCUUGUGAUGAGACUGGGUGGAGAUGGUGAGAGAUGAGGUCGAUGACUUUGGGGAGAGGAUAAGGGCGGACGCCGGCGGUGAGGCGGCGUGAGGAAGACGAGGUGGUUGGCGUCGGCGAGACGUGAGGGGAGGGGAAGGGAGGGGUAUCAGUGUGCGGUGGGAGAGGGUGUGCGGCGUUCCCAGUUCGCGAGAGAGGAGAGAGGUCGGCAAGGGAGCGAUCCAUGGGAGAUUUUUUCCUUCCGAGCGAGCCUAGUUGGGCUAUCUGCGCCGUCCAAGGCCCAAUGCACCACAUGUCUUCAAAUUGGCGACCAGUAGCAGCCCUUAGAACAGACAGGGCCAGUUUGCAAAUUUAAAAAUAUAAGUUCUUAGCACGCAUGGAAAACAUAACAUGUAUCUUUCCAUACAUAAUGAACUAUAGGUACCAGCCAAAAAAACAUAAUGAACUAUAGGUUGUCACAAGAACUCAUGCCAUCCCACAGCCUCCCUCAGACCCUGCCAACAUUGCUGCAGCUGCACUCACAAGCGUUACCGUAGAUGAUCAUUUGCAUGAUUUCACGCAAAACAAAAUAAGAUCUACAAAUGAAUAGAAGCUACACAUACCUUGGUAUGCACACACAUUGCAAGCCAUACUAAGCUGAUAAGUGUUAAUAACUUGUACAACAUAUACAACACUUAAGACAAGUAAAAGCAAUUUGAUUAUUCAUGGUCUAUCAAAGCAAGCUACAUAACUACUCUAAUCUAUCUUAACAGGUCACACAUGAUGACAAUCUUUUUUGUGUGCAAGUCAAGCUUAUCUAGUUUACACGUAACAACUUGUAGAACAUUACAAAAUUGAUGUUUGUUAAUAACUUGAACACUACAACACUUGGCAUGUAAAAGGAAUUUGAUGAGUCAUGACCUACUAAAGCAAGUUACAUUACUAGUGUCAUCUAUCUUAACAAGCCACACAAGAUUACGACCUAAUUUCUGUGCAAGCAAUGCUUAUCUAGUUUACACGUAACAACUUGCAUAACAUUACAAAUUUAGUUUCAGAAAAUUAGGCAAUCUAGAUUUGUGUUUGCGCUGUAAAGUGAAUAAGAUGAGUCAUGUGUGUUAUCACAUCUUUUUGGUCGUGAAAUGAUAGUGCCACCAAACACAACAUACCAAAUUAUGAUUUCGGGAAGCAUCGAAGCACUUUCCAGACAAGUGCCAAUUGUGAAAAAGAUCAUGUCAUGGCAGCUAUAAAUAGGCCUGUAGCAUGAUGAUCAUCCUUCCUCAUCCAUCAUCUCAUAAGUAGAGCGCAUCAUUUAAGCCAAGCAAGCGGGGGUCAAUAAAAAUCCACCAUGAAGACCUUUCUCAUCCUAGCCCUCCUUGCUAUCGUGGCGACCACCGCCACAAGUGCAGUUAGAGUUCCAGUGCCACAAUUGCAGCCGCAAAAUCCAUCUCAACAACAACCACAAGAGCAAGUUCCAUUGAUGCAACAACAACAACAAUUUCCAGGGCAGCAAGAACAAUUUCCACCACAACAGCCAUAUCCGCAUCAGCAACCAUUUCCAUCACAACAACCAUAUCCGCAGCCGCAACCAUUUCCGCCACAACUACCAUAUCCGCAGACGCAACCAUUUCCACCACAACAACCAUAUCCACAACCGCAACCACAGUAUCCGCAACCACAACAACCAAUUUCGCAGCAACAAGCACAACAACAACAACAACAACAACAAAUCCUUCAACAAAUUCUGCAACAACAACUGAUUCCAUGCAGGGAUGUUGUCUUGCAACAACACAACAUAGCGCAUGCAAGCUCACAAGUAUUGCAACAAAGUAGUUACCAACAGUUGCAACAAUUAUGUUGUCAGCAACUGUUUCAGAUCCCCGAGCAGUCGCGGUGCCAAGCCAUCCACAAUGUCGUUCAUGCUAUUAUUCUGCAUCAUCAUCAACAACAACAACAACAACCGUCGAGCCAGGUCUCCUACCAGCAGCCUCAGGAACAAUAUCCAUCAGGCCAGGGCUCCUUCCAGUCAUCUCAGCAAAACCCACAGGCCCAGGGCUCUGUCCAGCCUCAACAACUGCCCCAGUUCCAGGAAAUAAGGAACUUAGCGCUGCAGACGCUGCCAGCAAUGUGCAAUGUCUACAUCCCUCCAUAUUGCUCGACCACCAUUGCGCCAUUUGGCAUCUUCGGUACUAACUGAGAAGAGAAGAACUCUAGUACUAGAUAUAUGAAACACCGUUUUCUUAAUCGACAGUUUGAUCGUUGUAGCGGUGAAAAAAUAAAGUGUCAUGCACUAUCAUGUAAGAACCCGAACUAUACUAGUUCAAACUUGGGAAUAAAAGACAUACACAUGUCUUGUCUGCAUAUGAUUAUUUGUUUGAGUUCCAUUCAUGUGCCCGUUCAGAAGUUCACCCCUAAUUAAAUAUAUUAUGCAUUAACUAGAUAUUUAUGUGGCAUUAAUCUAAAGAUAACAAAAUAGGUUUGAAACUUGAAUUACAUUGAAGUAUUUUCUUGGGCUUUCAAAUUGAGUAUUAUUAAAGUAGUAAGGACUAUCCACAUCCUUGGCUUGCCCUUGAUCGAUUAUUUACAGAGAAGCAUUCAAUUCAUCAAUCAAUUACAUUGAUUUUUGUGGCUGGUACUUCUCCGCAUCAUGAGUAUAUUCCUUGCGGCUACUCCAAAUCGACCACAUAACCGAAGCAUUAAUAACGCCCUU